This 96770-nucleotide long non-coding RNA is filed under the name Zea mays. RNAcentral's name for it is "long non-coding RNA (ZMAY_LNC003533)". Lineage: Eukaryota; Viridiplantae; Streptophyta; Magnoliopsida; Poales; Poaceae. The record is from RNAcentral.
UCGACCGGGUUUAUUUCUUUUUUUCUCUUCUCUCUCUCUUCUCAUUCCUUAGUCGAGUUAUUUGAAAAGGAGACGCCGCCCCUUCUCUAUCCCCCUCUCAAACCCUCCCCUCAACCAAAAUAUUGAGCCAAAUCCAUUGAAACUUGGAGGACUUCAUCAUGUUGAGGUCCUCCACCUAUUCCCUCCAUUGAUUUGAAGUUUCGCGAGUGGAAUCGAUAGAUCGAGGUAAAGCUCUCUUCUCUAUCUUUUGCCCUGAUCUUUGGUUAUAGCUAAGGUCUUGUGAAUCCCUUUGAGUAAAAGGAUCUUGUGGAUGUAAGAAACAUAUUGCUCUAAGGGAUUUCUCUAAUUUAUUGACGUACUCGACGAAAAAGGGUAAUGAAUCGUUCAUGUGAGGUUGACCCGAAUAGUUGAACGGCAUAUAUUCCGUUCACUCUCUCUUCCUAUCAUUUGUUGAAUCACCAUUUGGUUAUUCUUUUUAUCUUAUACCUGUGUUUUUAGUUCAAGAAUGAAGAACUAGCCGGCGAUAAAUAUUUAAAAAAUAUUUGAAAACAGAGGUAAUAGUUUACAAUACAGUUUGAAACGGACAAAAAAAUUACAUGCACAGCCAGUAUUGAGACAUCUUCUACUCUCCUGUGCUUGCAAGUCGACGUGAUAAUUGGCGGUGCUUUAUUAAUUUGCUUAGGAGAUAAGGUCAUCCUCCUUGUGCGUCUCGAUGACGACGUCGGAGGUGGGGUACGCCACGCAGGUGAGCACCCAGCCGGCGGCGAUCUGGCCGUCGUCGAGGUAGCUCUGGUCGGACUGGUCCACGGAGCCGGAGACGACCUUGCCGGCGCAGGAGGAGCAGGACCCCGCGCGGCAGGAGUAGGGCAGGUCGAUGCCUUCCUCCUCGGCGUAGUCCAGGAUGUAGACGUCGUCGGGCACCUGCAGCUCCACCUCCCCCUCCGGCGUGAUGAGCUUCACGUUGUAGGUGGCCUGCGCGCGCAGCCUGCUGCUGGCGCCACCGCCACGGGUCAUGGCCACGGUAGUGGGCGCUGGCGCGGCGCGGAGGGAGAAGGAGAAGGCCGGCGCGCGGGGGCUGCUCAGGACGGUGGCCAUUUGUUUGCUAGCUGCGGGUAAUGGCUGGAGUGAGCGGCUGCUAGUGCUGGUCUGGUGGACAGAUAGCUUCCCUGCCCCAGAUAUGCGAAUGAGAUGAUGGAUGGAGUGAGUGCAGCCAGCGUGUAGGCUCUUAUCUUCUUGGCGCCAGAAUUUAUUUCGUCCACCCAUUCAAAAGACGCCGUUCGGCUGGCUUGCUUACAGUGGAUGCCCACAUAGCAUUCCAAUUUAUUUUGGAAAUCGGACUCCGACGCUCGCUAUAUGGUUGGAUCUUUGUUGCGACGGGACUUUUCUUUGAAUAUACUGUACCUGUUAUUUUUUAUUUGUCGUGGUUUAGUGCAAAAAUAAAUUAGUCAUCAACAAAUAUUUGAGAAUAAAGAUAGUAGAUAAUAAUAAAUACGUAAAAAGUUAGUUCGUCUGGUGAAUGAAAGAGCAACUCUGAUUCAAGCCCUAAACACAAACAAAUUAAAAUAUAGGGCUUGUUCAACAAAAAAUAUCUCCAACAAGAGCCCUAUUUCAAUAAAAUCCAUCCAAACAUGUUAGGGCCCAACCUCGUGAGUACUAUAUUUGUGUCGGCGUUUCGAGACCGGGAGUCCCUAAGCCGACGAGUGAAUGUCGCCGCGUGCCCCAGCACAGAUGGGUCGACGCGAGGCCGAGCGCGAAGGGGGGAAAGUGAGGCGACCGGAGACCGGCGUGAGAGAGGUGGGAAUCCCGCGGCCUUCGUGUUCGUCCCGCGCCCAGGUCGGGUGCGCUUGCAGUAGGGGGUUACAAGCGUCCACGCGGGAGAGGGAGCGAGCGGCCUCACGCGAGCGCCUGUCUCGUCCUCGUCCCCGCGCGGCCAACCCUCUCUAAGAGGGCACUGGUCCUUCCUUUUAUAGGCGUAAGGAGAGGAUCCAGGUGUACAAUGGGGGGUGCAUCAGAGUGCUACGUGUCUAGCGGAGGAGAGCUAGCGCCCUAAGUACAUGCCGUUGUGGCAGCCGGAGAGAUUUUGGCACCCAGCUGGUGUGAUGUCGUGGCCGUCGGAGGAGCGAUGGAGCCUGGCGGAGGGACAACUGUCGGAGCUGUUGAGUCCUUGCUGACGUCCUCUUGCUUCCGUAAGGGGGCUGAGAGCCGCCGUCGUCACGGAGUAUGCGGGGCGCCAUCAUUGCCUAUCUGGCAGAGCGAGCCAGAUGGGACACCGGUCUUGUCCCCCGUGGCCCGAGUCAGCUCGGGGUAGGGCGAUGAUGGCGCCUCCUGUCAACGUGGCUGGUCUGCGCCCUAGGUUGGGCGAUGUGGAAGCUCCUCCGAAGCCGAGGUCGAGUCUGUCUUCCGUGGCCGAGGUCGAGUCCGAGCCCCUGGGUCGGGCGAGGCGGAGACCGUCGGCUAAGGCUAGGGCGUAGUCCGAGCCCUGGGGUCGGGCGAAGCGGAGUUCGUCGUCUUCUGGGGAUGAGCCCGAGUCCGAGCCCUGGGUCGGGCGGAGCGGAGUUCGCCGUCUUCCGGGACUUAGCCCGUGUCCGAGCCCUGGGUCGGGCGGAGCGGAGUUCGCCGUCUUCCGGGACUUAGCCCGAGUCCGAGCCCUGGGUCGGGCGGAGCGGAGUUCGCCGUCUUCCGGGACUUAGCCCGAGUCCGAGCCCUGGGUCGGGCGAAGCGGAGCUUCCUAUGGUGCCUUCGGCCGGGCCUGACUGCCUGUCAGCCUCACUCUGUCAAGUGGCACCGCAGUCGGAGCGGCGCAGGCGGCGCUGUCCUUCCGUCAGGCCGGUCAGUGGAGCGGCGAAGUGACGGCGGUCACUUCGGCUCUGUCAGCUGGGGGCGCGCGUCAGGAUAAAGGUGUCAGGCCACCUUUGUAUUAAAUGCUCCUGCGAUUUGGUCGGUCGGUGCGGCGAUUUGGUCAGGGUUGCUUCUUGGCGAAGACAUGGCCUCGGGCGAGCCGGAAAUAUAUUCGCCGCUGGAGGGGGGCCUCGGGCGAGACAGAAAUCCUCCGGGGUCGGCUGCCCUUGUCCGAGGCUAGGCUCGGGCGAGGAGUGAUCGAGUCCCUCGAACGGACUAAUCCCUGACUUAAUCGCACCCAUCAGGCCUUUGCAGCUUUAUGCUGAUGGGGGUUACCAGCUGAGAAUUAGGAGCCUUGAGGGUACCCCUAAUUAUGGUCCCCGACAGUAGCCCCCGAGCCUCGAAGGGAGUGUUAGCACUCGCUUGGAGGCUUUUCAUCGCACUUUUUUGCAAGGGGACCAACCUUUCUCGGUUGCGUUUUGUUCCGGUGGGUGCGCGCGAGCGCACCCGCCGGGUGUAGCCCCCGAGGCCUCGGAGGAGUGGUUUCACUCCUCCGAUGUCUUAUUGCCUCGCGUAGUGCUUCGGCUGGUCUGGUCAUUCCCUCAUGCGAGCUGGCCGUAGCCCGGGUGUACGGUCGGGUCCCAAGUUCUCGGGCUGGUAUGUUGACGCUGUCAACGGUUCGGCCGGAGCCAGGUUUGCGAGAGCAGCCCCCGAGCCUCUGCACAGGGCGAGAGGGCGAUCAGGGACAGACUCGACUUUUUUACAUACGCCCCUGCGUCGCCUUUCCGCAAGGAGGAGGGGGGGAAAGCGCCAUGUUGCCCUCAAUGGGCGCCGAACAUGGUGUUUCCGGUGAGCUGCAGGCGGGUAAUCCGAGUGGACGUCCGUGCCCCAUUCGUUAGGGGUCGGCUAGGGGCCCGGAGGCACGCCCAAAAGUACCUGCGGGUGAUCUGCCGGACCCGGUCCCCUGGCGACGGGGUCCGAGGGCUCGAUGCCUCCCUCUGAUGGGAUUCCGUUACAAGAUCGUUCCCGCUGGUCUCGGAAAUGUCCUAGGGUACCUCGGGAGUGCAGCCCGAGCCUUGGUUAUGUAUCGAACGUACCCAUGGUCAUCCCUCGCUCUGUGUCUGAGGCGACUGUGAACCCUUCGGGGGCCAGCCUUCGAACCCCUGAUCAGUAGUGGGCGCGGAGCCCGAGUAGCCUGAGGCGGUCGUUGAACCCUUCCGAGGGGCCGGCCUUCGAACCUCUGACCAGUAGUGGGUGUAGGGCCCACGUGAUCUGAGGCGGCUGUCGAACCCUUCCGAGGGGCCAGCCUUCGAACCUCUGAUCAGUAGGGAGGCUCGGAGCCUGGUUCCUUCACGGGGAAGGAUCCUUUUCGGGAUAUCCCCCUUUCCCGGUCCCUGUUGCAAGAGAGAGAAAGAGGAAAAAGGAAAAGGAUACGAAAUCGAACGACGCGGUGUACCUUUUUUGUCGCGGUCAUUAUGGCAAAGGCGAAGCGUCGUUCGCUUCUCCUGCCAGAGGCGCCGCCUGUCCCGCCGCGGAGUUAAUGCUACGGGGCGAGUGGUUCGCGGGGCGGCCGUUGCGCGUGCGCGAGCCGUUCGAGGAACGGAACACGGGCGCGUUGUCUUCACGCCGUGAGAGAGGGUUCUCUCGUUGCCGCCGGUUGGGACGUGAGCUUGGCUGACGACGCGGCCGCUGCUCCUGCCCGCCUGCCACCGCCAUUACUGCCGGCCCAUUUUCGGCCGCAUUGACCAUCGCGCCAGGCUGGCGCUGCUGGGUCGUGCGCUGGGUCGCCUCGAGUCGCGGUAUUGGUUCCGCAGUCGAGGAGGCGCGGUGGUGGCACAAGUGGCGGUGCAGUUGCAUGCACGAAGCACUCGGCGCGCCGGUUGCAUGACGCGUGGGCCUGGGUCUCCAUGCCGGGCGUGUUGGCAGUCGGAGAAGUGCGCCCACUUGGCGCGGUUGCAUGCCGCCUGCAUGGCUGCCCGCCCUCUCGCCCGCUGGUCUGGGCAAAAGUGGAAAGUCGCUUGUAACCGCUGGGCGGUUGUACGCACCGCGCACGACGAUUUGGCUUCUUCUGCUUUGAGCCGGCUUGCAUGACGUAUGGGACCCAGCCUCCGCGCCAUAGGAGGAGGGCCUUGGAGCGUGUUGGAGAAGACUCAGCCCGCGACGGUUGGGGACACAAGUAAGGAGAGUCGCCUUUAAAAGGAGGGUGACCCCCUUAGAAGGCGACCAUGUCUUCGCGCUUCCUUACGCAUCGCGUCUUUCCACCUUCCAAGCCCCCAGAUGGGGGAUACCCGCCGUCUUUCCGCCUUGUCGUCGGGGGAACGCAACUCCGCGGGAGUUGGUACCUUUCGGCCAUCAUUCGGCUUCAAGGAUUUUCAUCAUGCAGCCCGGCUGCACCCCUCCGCCGGCGGUCACCCAAGACGGUGACCUCCAGUUUGAUGGUGGGGGAAAGCGAGUCGGGCUGCAGCCUCUGCCCCUCCCUCAGCCUCAAGGAUUUUCAUCACCAGGGCUGGGGAGGGGAGUGUGUCGAGUUGGGGCUGGCCCAUGCGUGGGCGGCGGCCCGCUCCUUCCCUCAGUGAUCGGGGGGAAGGGCGGUUGUUGUCUGUGGCACCAGCAGCUGCCGCGUGCCUGGCUCUCGGACGCGAGUGGCUUCGGAGCCGCUCCUGGCGCCGGCGUCUGCCACGGCAGCUGGAAGAGGUUCUUCCGCCGACGAGAUAGCCAGGGCCGCCCACGGAUCGACCUCCAACUCUACGGCCUUCUGCCCGUCCUUGCCUCACGAGUUUGGGCAUAGGCGGGGGCCUCCUGGCAGCAGCAUCCGCCCUGAGGUCAUCGCUGCCGCUGUUUGGCCCCCUGGAGCAGAAGUCGUCGUCGUCGCCGCUGCUGGAGCGGGCGACGGCGCGCCGUUCGUCGGUCUUCUGUUGCUCCGCAGGCCCCCCCCCCAUCGAGUGGGGUUGUUCAUACCUGCGGAGGUGGAACCGGAGUUCCGUUUGUAAUGGCACUUUGAAUGCCAGUGUUUUUGUUCAUUGUGGCUGUCGAGGCCUGAACAUGUAUGUAAUUUUGGCACGGAGCCGUGUUUUUUCCUCAUUUUCGAGCACUAAGACUCGCCUGUUGGUUGUCUGAACCGCUUCACCAAGCGUGAGUCGCCCCGUGCAAAGGUGACGAGUGAGGUAUCCGUAUCCCGGAGGCGUAGGAGUCCCUCGGCUCGGUCGGCCUUGUUGCCCGAGGCUUCUCUUGCUCAGUUAAAGGAACCCAUCGGCCGCUCUUCGAUGAGCCGAGGCCAGGGGUAGCGGUGUCAGCGCGAACAGAGGCAGAGUUGGCUUUGAAAAGAAGACCUGGUCGGCCGGAGCCUGGCCGGGUCGUCUGUUAGCGGGACCGACGCUGGAAUUGACCAGCCGAGGCCUCGGGUCGGGCUGACGUCCUUGGAGGACAGCUGGCCGAGGCCCCGGGGUGACCGGCCGAGCCGCCUGCUCGGGCCGGAUUCCCGGAGAAGACCCUGGCAGCGAUGGCCUGGGCUUGGUGAUGACGCCGUCCUUCAGAGUGGAGAUCUUCGGACCGCGUCGCCGUCCGAGGCUAGGUCGGACCUCGCCGAAGGUGUUGUCGACGCCGAGGGUGCUACUGCUCCCUUCAAGCGUCAGGAUCCGAGCCUGCGGGAUCGGAUUGUCUUGUAGCGUGUGUUUCCUGCGGCCGCCGAGGCCAAAACACACCCUCACCGUGUUGUAAAGCUGCGUCUCUUUUCCUCUUGUUUCGAGUACCUGGACUUUUUUGUCGGUGACAGAAAUGUUUGUGCGAGCGAGAGUUGCUUCUCGCGGAAGGUGAUGAGUGAGGUAUCCGUAUCCCGGAGGCGUAGGAGUCCCUCGGCUCGGUCGGCCUUGCCGCUUACGCGCACUCUUACCCGUCCAUGGGGCUCUGUCACCGACGCAGUCGAGAAGGCUCGAAGAAUCGCUUCAGCAGAAGAGCUUUCGAAUGUGAAGACUUGUUCGGUCCGCGGAAUCACUUAUCCGAACAUGAGUUACUUAUCGCAGAAGGUGAUGAGUGAGGUAUCCAUAUCCCGGAGGCGUAGGAGUCCCUCGGCUCGGUCAGCCUUGGCUGCUUACGUGUACUCCGUCGUUUUCAGGAUCCACUUUCGAAGUAGUCAAAAAGCACGAAAGACAUUCUGGCAGAAAAGAUCUUUUUUCGAGGAAAAUUUCGACGCAGAGGGGGUUCCCCCCUUUUAGCCCUCGAGGGAGGGUCGGGCUUUGCCGAGGCGAGGCCGACCCUUCCUUGAUGACUAAACUUUGCGUGAGAGCGAGGUAUAUGAACAACUUGAAAACAUCUUAAGGGUAGAAGCGACGUAGCUGUUGGAUGUUCCAAGCGUUGCUGUAGACCUCGCCUUGACUGUUGGCCAGCUUGUAUGUUCCGGGCUUCAGAACUUUGGCGAUGACGAACGUCCCCUCCCAGGGGGGCGUGAGCUUGUGCCGCCCUCGGGCGUCUUGUCGUAGCCGAAGCACCAGGUCGCCCACCUGGAGGUCUCGGGACCGGACCCCUCGGGCGUGGUAGCGUCGCAGGGACUGCUGGUACCGCGCCGAGUGUAGUAAGGCCCUAUCCCGAGCCUCUUCCAGCUGGUCCAGCGAGUCUUCUCGACUAGCUUGGUUGCUUUGGUCGGUGUAGGCCCUUGUCCUCGGGGAGCCGUACUCCAGGUCUGUGGGCAAGACGGCCUCGGCCCCGUAGACUAGGAAGAACGGCGUGAAGCCCGUGGCUCGGCUCGGCGUUGUCCUCAGACUCCAGACCACCGAGGGGAGUUCCUUCAUCCAUCGCUUGCCGAACUUGUUGAGGUCGUUGUAGAUCCGAGGCUUGAGCCCUUGUAGAAUCAUGCCGUUGGCACGCUCUACUUGCCCAUUUGACAUGGGGUGAGCCACGGCGGCCCAGUCCACCCGGAUGUGGUGAUCCUCGCAGAAGUCCAGGAACUUUCUGCUGGUGAACUGGGUGUCGUUGUUGGUGAUGAUGGAGUUCGGGACCCCGAAGCGAUGGAUGAUGUUGGUGAAGAAUGCCACCGCCUGCUCGGACCUGAUGCUGUUUAGGGGUCAGACCUCGAUCCACUUGGAGAAUUUGUCGAUGGCGACCAACAGGUGCGUGUAGCCCCCGGGUGCCUUCUGCAAGGGGCCGACGAGGUCCAGACCCCAUACAGCAAAAGGCCAGGUGAUGGGUAUCGUCUGCAGAGCCUGAGCGGGCAGGUGGGUCUGCCUUGCGUAGAACUGACACCCUUCGCAGGUGCGGACAAUUCUAGUGGUGUCGGCCACCGCAGUCGGCCAGUAGAAGCCUUGUCGGAAAGCAUUCCCGACGAGGGCUCGAGGUGCUGCGUGAUGGCCGCAAGCCCCCGAGUGUAUCUCUCGAAGGAGUUCCUGACCUUCGGUGAUGGAGAUGCAUCGCUGGAGGAUGCCUGAGGGGCUGCGGUGGUAGAGCUCCUUCCCAUCUCCCAGCAAGACGAACGACUUGGCACGCCGCGCCAACCGCCGAGCUUCGGCUCGGUCGAGGGGUAGCUCUCCUCGGUGGAGAUAUUGCAGGUACGGGGUCUGCCAGUUUUGAUCAGGCGUGACCCCGCUUUGCUCCCCCUCGACGCGCAGUGUCUCGCCCUCAAGGGCCGAGGGUACCUCGGGCCGAACCGAGGGUGCCUCGGGCUAUGCCGAGGGUGCCUCGGGCUAUGCCGAGGGUACCUCGGGCUGGGCCGAGGGUGCCUCAGGCUCGGGCGUAUCGUCGAUCUUGACGGAGGGUUGAUGCAGAUCCCGGGAGAAGACGUCCGGGGAACCGAUGUUCGCCCCGAGGCUAUUUUAGCCAGCUCAUCUGCAGUCUCGUUGUAGCGCCGGGCGAUGUGGUUGAGCUCGAGCCCGUAGAACUUGCCUUUCAGGCACCGAACCUCAUCGCAGUAGGCCUCCAUCUUCGGGUCGCGGCAGUGGGAGUUCUUCAUGACUUGGUCGAUGACGAGCUGUGAGUCACCGCGAGCGUCGAGGCGUCGAACCCCUAGCUCGAUGGCGAUCCACAACCCGUUGACCAGAGCCUCAUACUCGGCCACAUUGUUGGACGCCGGGAAAUGGAGGCGUAGCACAUAGCGUAGGUGCUUCCUGAGGGGCGAGAUGAAGAGUAGGCCUGCACCGGCUCCUGUCUUCAUCAGCGACCCGUCGAAGAACAUGGUCCAGAGCUCCGGCUGGAUCGGAGCUGUUGGGAGCUGAGUGUCAACCCAUUCAGCUAUGAAGUCCGCCAAGACCUGGGACUUGAUGGCCUUCCGAGGGGCGAACGAGAUUGUCUCGCCCAUGAUUUCCACCGCCCACUUUGCAAUCCUCCCUGAGGCCUCCCGGCACUGGAUGAUCUCCCCCAGGGGGAAGGAUGACACCACAGUUACCGGAUGAGACUCGAAGUAGUGUCGCAGCUUCCGCCGCGUUAGGAUCACCGCGUACAGCAGCUUCUGAACUUGUGGGUAGCGGAUCUUGGUUUCGGACAGUACCUCGCUGACUAAGUAGACUGGCCUCUGAACGGGCAAUGCAUGCCCCUCUUCUUGCCUCUCGACCACAAUCGCGGCGCUAACCACCUGAGUGGUCGCGGCGACGUAGACCAAGAGGGCUUCUCCGGCAGCUGGGGGCACCAAGAUAGGCGCCUUUGUGAGGAGCGCCUUCAGGUUCCCGAGGGCUUCCUCGGCCUCAGGGGUCCAAGUGAAGCACUCGGCCUUCCUUAAGAGGCGGUACAGAGGGAGACCUCUUUCGCCGAGGCGUGAGAUGAAGCGGCUCAGAGCCACGAGACAUCCCAUGACCCUCUGUACGCCUUUCAAGUCCUUGAUGGGCCCCAUGCUGGUGAUGGCUGCGAUCUUCUCCGGGUUGGCUUCGAUGCUUCGCUCGGAGACGAUGAACCCCAAGAGCAUGCCUCGGGGCACCCCGAAGACACACUUCUCGGGAUUGAGCUUGACGCCUUUCGCCUUGAGACAUCGGAAUGUCACUUCAAGGUCGGAAAGGAGGUCGAAGGCUUUCCUCAUCUUGACUACGAUGUCAUCGACGUAGGCCUCGACCGUGCGGCCAAUGUGUCCGCCGAACACAUGGUUCAUGCACCGCUGGUACGUCACGCCCACAUUCCUCAAGCCGAACGGCAUGGUGACAUAGCAGUACAUACCGAAGGGUGUGGUGAAAGAAGUCGCGAGCUGGUCGGACUCUUUCAUCCAGAUUUGAUGAUACCCUGAGUGGGCAUCGAGGAAAGACAGGGUUUCGCACCUAGCAGUGGAAUCCACGAUUUGAUCGAUGCGAGGCAGAGGGUAGGGAACCUUCGGACAUGCCUUGUUUAGACCAGUGUAGUCUACACACAUCCGCCAUUUCCCCCCUUUCUUUCUCACAAGCACAGGGUUGGCAAGCCAUUCGGGAUGGAAUACCUCUUUGAUGAACCCUGCCGCCAUUAGCUUGUGGAUCUCCUCGCCUAUGGCUCUGCGCUUCUCCUCGUCGAAUCGGCGCAGAGGCUGCUUGACGGGUCGGGCUCUGGCUCGGAUGUCCAGCGAGUGCUCGACGACAUCCCUCGGUAUGCCGGGCAUGUCCGAGGGACUCCACGUGAAGACGUCGGCGUUCGCGCGGAGAAAGUCGACGAGCACUGCUUCCUAUUUGGGAUCGAGCUCGGAGCCGAUCCGGAUCUGCUUGGAGGCGUCGCCGCUGAGGUCGAGGGGGACGGCCUUAACCGUCUCCGCUGGCUCAAAGUUGCCGGUGUGACGCUUCACGUCUGGCACCUCCUUAGAGAGGCUCUCCAGGUCGGCGAUGAGGGCCUCGGACUCGGCGAGGCCCUCGGCGUACUCCACACACUCCACGUCGCAUUCGAACGCGUGUUUGUACGUGGAGCCGACGGUGAUGACCCCGCUGGGGCCCGGCAUCAUGAGCUUCAGGUAGGUGUAGUUGGGGACGGCCAUGAACUUCGCGUAGCAUGGCCUCCCCAGUACCGCGUGGUAGGUUCCUCGGAACCCGACCACCUCGAACGUCAGGGUCUCCCUUCAGAAGUUGGAGGGUGUUCCGAAGCAGACGGGAUGGUCGAGUUGUCCGAGGGGCUGGACGCGCUUCCCGGGAAUGAUCCCAUGGAAGGGCGCAGCGCCUGCCCGGACGGAGGACAGAUCGACACGCAGGAGCCCGAGGGUCUCGGCGUAGAUGAUGUUGAGGCUGCUGCCUCCGUCCAUGAGGACCUUGGUGAGCCUGACGUCGCCGAUGACGGGGUCGACGACGAGCAGGUAUUUCCCCGGGCUCGGCACAUGGUCGGGGUGAUCGGCUCGGUCGAAGGUGAUGGGCUUGUCGGACCAGUCUAGAUAGACUGGCGCCGCCACCUUUACCGAGCAGACCUCCCGGCGCUCUUGCUUGCGGUGCCGAGCCGAGGCAUUCGCCGCUUGCCCACCGUAGAUCAUGAAGCAGUCGCGGACCUCGGGGAACUCUCCUGCCUGGUGAUCUUCCUUCUUGUCGUCGUCGCGGGCCCUGCCACCCUCCGCGGGUGGCCCGGCCCUGUGGAAGUGGCGCCGAAGCAUGACGCACUCCUCAAGGGUGUGCUUGACGGGCCCCUGGUGAUAGGGGCACAACUCCUUGAGCAUCUUGUCGAAGAGGUUGGCACCUCCGGGGGGUUUCCGAGGGUUUUUGUACUCGGCGGCGGCGACAAGGUCCGCGUCGGCGGCGUCGCGUUUCGCUUGCGACUUCUUCUUGCCCUUCUUCUUGGCGCCGCGGUGAGUUGACGCCUCGGGGGCAUCUUCCGAUGGGCGGCCCUGGGGCUGCUUGUCCUUUCGGAAGAUAGCCUCGACCGCCUCCUGGCCGGAGGCGAACUUGGUGGCGAUGUCCAUCAGCUCGCUCGCCCUAGUGGGGGUCUUGCGACCCAGCUUGCUCACCAGGUCGCGGCAGGUGGUGCUAGCGAGGAACGCGCCGAUGACAUCCGAGUCGGUGAUGUUGGGCAGCUCGGUGCGCUGCUUCGAGAAUCGUCGGAUGUAGUCCCGGAGAGACUCUCCCGACUGCUGUCGGCAGCUUUGGAGGUCCCAGGAAUUCCCGGGGCGCACGUACGUGCCCUGGAAAUUGCCGGCGAAAGAUUGGACCAGGUCAUCCCAGUUGGAGAUCUGCCCCGGAGGCAGGUGCUCCAACCAGGCGCGAGCGGUGUCGGAGAGGAACAGGGGGAGGUUGCGGAUGAUGAGGUUGUCAUCGUCCGUUCCACCCAGUUGGCAGGCCAGACGGUAGUCCGCGAGCCACAGUUCCGGUCUUGUCUCCCCCGAGUACUUUGUGAUAGUAGUCGGGGGUCGGAACCGGGUCGGGAACGGCGCCCGUCGUAUAGCCCGGCUGAAGGCCUGCGGACCGGGUGGUUCGGGCGAGGGACUCCGAUCCUCCCCGCUGUCGUAGCGUCCCCCACGCCUGGGGUGGUAGCCUCGGCGCACCCUCUCGUCAAGGUGGGCCCGACGGUCGCGGUGAUGGUGCCCGUUGCCGAGGCGACCCGGGGCUGCAGGCGCUGUGUUGCGCGUGCGCCCGGUGUAGACUGAGGCUUCCCGCAUGAAUCGGGAAGUCGCGGCAUGAGGUUCUGAGGGGUACCCCUGCCUUCGGGAGGCGGAGCUCUCGACCCGUCGGACCGCGGCGCCUUCCAGGAGAUUCUUGAGCUCUCCCUGGAUUCGCCGCCCCUCGGUGGUUGAUGGCUCCGGCAUCGCGCGGAGAAGCAUUGCUGCUGCCGCCAGGUUCUGGCCGACCCCACUAGAUGUGGGUGGCGGCCUGACCCUGACGUCGUCGGUGAUGCGGUGCUGGAAGCCCUAGGGUAGAUGACGUAUUUCUCCGGCCGGAGGUUGGCCCGCCCAUGCCUGCCCGACGUCCCGGCGGAUCGGCUCAAGCGCUCCUGCUCCCUCGUCGAGCCUGGCCUGCGCCCCACGGAUUUGCUCGAGCUGUGGGUCAUGGCCCCCCGCCUGAACGGGGACCACAGCUAGCUCCCGUGGGAUGUCAACGCGAGGCACCGGCCUAGGGAGAUCACCGUCCUCCGGCAUGCCGAGAUGGUUGCCUUCGGAGGGACCCCCUAGAUCGACGUGGAAGCAUUCGCGACUUGGGCCGCAGUCCUCGUCGCUGAGGCUACGGCUUCCGUCGGAACAAUCGGAAAGGCAGUAGUCGCAUGCGGUCAUGAAGUCCCGCAUGGCACUGGGGUUGCCAAGUCUAGAGAAAUCCCAACAGAAGCUGGGCUCGUCGUCUUCCUCGGACCCAGAGGGCCCGUAGGUCGAGACGUCCGUCAGCCGGUCCCAAGGUGACCGCAUACGAAACCCCAGAGGGUUUGGACUCGCCUCGACGAGAGCGCCCGCCAAAGCGAAGCCGCUAGGCGGGUCGAGGCUGAAUCCGAAAGACAUGGGAUUGGAAUCGACCGGUACCUCUUGGUCGACGGGCGGUGAUGAAGUCACGUCAGGGACUGACUACACCAUCGUCUCAGGUAUGAGGGUGACAUCCAGCAAGCCUUUCGCGAGCGCGCUGGCGUCGUCCGUUUGCUCGGAGUUGGCGUGUCGCGGGGAGACGGCGCUCGCCUUCGUCUCAAACGCGAGGUCGAUGCCCGACGCGCCCCCCGUUGGGGCGCUGGGGCCGUCGACUCGCUCGACAGUCGACGAGGCGCUGCCUUCUGCUUGGCCUUGGUUGCCCCGCCUCCUCCUCCGUUGGCGGGGGAGAGGACGGGGCGAGCUCGAAUGUUGUUCUUCCACCACGCGGGGAAGAUGUCGUCGAUUCCGCCGCCGGCGGGCGGGCUGUCGGCCGCCAUUGUCGUUGGCGCGCGGCGGUGGAAGGAGUAUCAUGUCGUAGCUGCCGUCGAGAGACAUGAACUCAAGACUCCCGAAACGGAGCGUCGUCCCGGGUUGGAGAGGUUGCUGGAGACUGCCCAUCUGGAGCUUGACGGGAAGCUGUUCGUCAACACGCAGCAGGCCCCUACCUGGCACGCCAACUGUUGGCGUUUCGAGACCGGGGGGUCCCUAAGCCGACGAGUGAAUGUCGCCGCGUGCCCCAGCCCAGAUGGGUCGACGCGAGGCCGAGCGCGAAGGGGGGAAAGUGAGGCGGUCGGAGACCGGCGUGAGAGAGGUGGGAAUCCCGCGGCCUUCGUGUUCGUCCCGCGUCCAGGUCGGGUGCGCUUGCAGUAGGGGGUUACAAGCGUCCACGCGGGAGAGGGAGCGAGCGGCCUCACGCGAGCGCCUGUCUCGUCCUCGUCCCCGCACGGCCAACCCUCUCUAAGAGGGCCCUGGUCCUUCCUUUUAUAGGCGUAAGGAGAGGAUCCAGGUGUACAAUGGGGGGUGCAGCAGAGUGCUACGUGUCUAGCGGAGGAGAGCUAGCACCCUAAGUACAUGCCGUUGUGGCAGCCGGAGAGAUUUUGGCACCCAGCUGGUGUGAUGUCGUGGCCGUCGGAGGAGCGAUGGAGCCUGGCGGAGGGACAGCUGUCGGAGCUGUUGAGUCCUUGCUGACGUCCUCUUGCUUCCGUAAGGGGGCUGAGAGCCGUCGUCGUCACGGAAUAUGCGGGGCGCCAUCAUUGACUAUCUGGCGAAGCGAGCCAGAUGGGACACCGGUCUUGUCUCCCGUGGCCCGAGUCAGCUCGGGGUAGGGCGAUGAUGGCGCCUCCUGUCGACGUGGCUGGUCUGCGCCCUAGGUUGGGCGAUGUGGAAGCUCCUCCGAAGCCAAGGUCGAGUCUGUCUUCCGUGGCCGAGGUCGAGUCCGAGCCCCUGGGUCGUGCGAGGCGGAGACCGUCGGCUGAGGCCAGGGCGUAGUCCGAGCCCUGGGGUCGGGCGAAGCGGAGUUCGUCGUCUUCUGGGGCUGAGCCCGAGUCCGAGCCCUGGGUCGGGCGGAGCGGAGUUCGUCAUCUUUCGGGACUUAGCCCGAGUCCAAGCCCUGGGUCGGGCGGAGCGGAGUUCGCCGUCUUUCGGGACUUAGCCCGUGUCCGAGCCCUAGGUCGGGCGAAGCGGAGUUCGCCGUCUUCCGGGACUUAGCCCGAGUCCGAGCCCUGGGUCGGGCGGAGCGGAGUUCGCCGUCUUCCGGGACUUAGCCCGAGUCCAAGCCCUGGGUUGGGCGAAGCGGAGCUUCCUAUGGUGCCUUCGGCCGGGCCUGACUGCCUGUCAGCCUCACUCUGUCAAGUGGCACCGCAGUCGGAGCGGCGCAGGCGGCGCUGUCCUUCCGUCAGGCCGGUCAGUGGAGCGGCGAAGUGACGGCGGUCACUUCGGCUCUGCCAGCUGGGGGGCGCGUGUCAGGAUAAAGGUGUCAGGCCACCUUUGCAUUAAAUGCUCCUGUGAUUUGGUCGGUCGGUGCGGCGAUUUGGUCAGGGUUGCUUCUUGGCGAAGACAGGGCCUCGGGCGAGCCGGAAAUAUAUUCGCCGCUGGAGGGGGGCCUCGGGCGAGACGGAAAUCCUCCGGGGUCGGCUGCCCUUGUCCGAGGCUAGGCUCGGGCGAGGCGUGAUCGAGUCCCUCGAACGGACUGAUCCCUGACUUAAUCGCACCCAUCAGGCCUUUGCAGCUUUAUGCUGAUGGGGGUUACCAGCUGAGAAUUAGGAGCCUUGAGGGUACCCCUAAUUAUGGUCCCCGACAAUUUGAGACUCCAGAAGUGCUGGCCCAAUAUUGUUACCACGUUUUCCAACUUCCACGGAGCUUUCACGCAGGCUUCCAUCUCCUAUUCUCUCGGCUCCGUUGGCUCGCACAUCGUCUGCGGGUCGGGAACUGCAACGUUUGCCGCAUCAUCCGGCACGAUUUCUCGUCGACGAUAGAGUCCAACAAGGACGACGGAGGCGGAGUGAGGCACUGAGAGCACCUAGAGGGGGGGUGAAUAGGUGAUCCUGUAAAGCUUAAACUUAUAGCCACAAAAACUUGUUAAGUGUUAGCACAAUAAAUGCCAAGUGGCUAGAAAGGAGUCUCAACAAAACACAAUACCACAAGAGAUCAAUCACAGAGUUGACACAGUGGUUUAUCCCGUGGUUCGGCCAAGACCAACGCUUGCCUACUCCACGUUGUGGCGUCCCAACGGACGAGGGUUGCAAUCAACCCCUCUCAAGUGGUCCAAAGACCCACUUGAAUACCACGGUGUUUUGCUUGCUUUUUCUCUAUCCCGUUUGCGAGGAAUCUCCACAACUUGGAGCCUCUCGCCCUUACAAUUGAAGUUCACAAAGAACACAGAGCAAAGGGGGAAUGAGCAACGCACACAAGACUUCAAAAGAUCAGAGCAACAACGCGCACACAAGUCGCAACAAGAGCUCGCAACACAACUCAAAGAGUUCGCAACUCAACAAGAGCUCUAGAUGCUAUCACAAUGAAACGAAUGCGCGAGAGCGAUGUCUUGGUGCUUAAGAAUGUUGUAGGAAUACUUGGUGUGUUCCUCCAUGCGCCUAGGGGUCCCUUUUAUAGCCCCAAGGCAGCUAGGAGCCGUUGAGAACAAAUCAGGAAGGCCAUCCUUGCCUUCUGUCAUCGGGCGCACCGGACAGUCCGGUGCACACCGGACAGUGUCCGGUGCCCGAUUCCUUUCCUUAAAUGGCGAAGCCGACCGUUGCAGGUCUGGGAGCCGUUGGCGCACCGGACAUGUCCGGUGCACACCGGACAGUCCGGUGCCCCCUUCCGACCGUUGGCUUGGCCACGUGUCGCGCGCAGAAUCCGCGGCCGACCGUUGGCCCUGGCGACCGUUGACUCACCGGACAGUCCGGUGAAUUUUAGCCGUACGCCGUCAGCAAAAUUCCCGAGAGCGGCCUCUUCGGCCGAGGCAGCCUGGCGCACCGGACACUGUCCGGUGCACCACCGGACAGUCCGGUGCCCCAGACCGAAACAGCCCCUUGGCUGUACAUAGCCAACUCUUUUUCUUCCUGUUUCCAAUACUUAGACAAGUAUAUUAGUACACAAAACCAAUGUACUAAGACAUAGAAACAUACCUUUGCUCUUGAUUUGCACUUUGUCCAUCCACAAGCAUGAUUUCACAUUUAAGCACUUGUGUUGGCACUCAAUCACCAAAAUACUUAGAAAUGGCCCAAGGGCACAUUUCCCUUUCAAUCUCCCCCUUUUUGGUGAUUUAUGCCAACACAACAUAAAGCAACUAGAACAAGUGCAAAAUCACUUCAAAUAAAAAUAAAUUUGAGUUUUAUUCAAUUUUGGCAUAUAUGGAUCAUCCUUUGCCACCACUUGGUCUGUUUUUGCAAAUCAAACUCAAAUCUCUAUCUCUAGGUCAAACACACAUGUUGAAGCAUAUAGAGAGUUAUUCCAAAAGAGAUUGGUCACAGAUUUCAAAAACUCCCCCUUUUUCCCAUAAUCAACAUUUCUCCCCACAACAAGCCAACUUUUGAUAAGAGAGACAAUAAAAGAGUUUUGCCAAAACGAAAAGCUCUAUUCUACUAUUUUCAAAAUCUCAAGUGGUAGCUGAUCCAUUUAUCGCUUUGGCCUUUAUUUUCUCCCCCUUUGGCAUCAAGCACCAAAACGGGAUCAAUCUUGGCCCUUUUAACCCCAUUGCCUCACCAAAAUCUUCAAUUAAGAGUACAAAGGCAAUAAGAUCAUAGAGAUGAACUUGGAAUAAGUUACCCUCUCAUCGGAGUGCAGUGGAAGUCUUGCAUGGUCCAAGUCCACCUUUUCCCUUUCAAUUCUCCUUCGAGACUAAAUCAAGCAAACUCAAACAAAUGGUUAGUCUCAAAGGGUCAAGUUGUAGCACAUCUCCCCCUAAAUGUGUGCAUCACUUGCAAAAGGACUUGUGAGGUCCGGGGAGUGCUUGUACAACUUGAGCACCAUCAAUAAGCAACAAAAUGCAUAAGGAACAUGAUCAAUGGCAUAAACACAUGUAUGCUAUAAGUCAAUCCAAGUUCCGCGAAUCUAAGACAUUUAGCUCACUACGCAGCCUGCAAAAGGUCUUCUCAUCUAGAGGCUUGGUAAAGAUAUCGGCUAGCUGGUUCUCGGUGCUAACAUGAAACACUUCGAUAUCUCCCUUUUGCUGGUGGUCUCUCAAAAAGUGAUGCCGGAUGUCUAUGUGCUUUGUGCGGCUGUGUUCAACAGGAUUUUCCGCCAUGCGGAUAGCACUCUCAUUAUCACAUAGGAGUGGGACUUUGCUCAGAUUGUAGCCAAAGUCCCGGAGGGUUUGCCUCAUCCAAAGUAGUUGCGCGCAACACUGUCCUGCGGCAACAUACUCGGCCUCAGCGGUGGAUAGGGCAACGGAAGUUUGUUUCUUAGAAUUCCAUGACACCAGGGACCUUCCUAAGAAUUGGCACGUCCCCGAUGUACUCUUCCUAUCGACCUUACAUCCAGCAUAGUCGGAGUCUGAGUAUCCAACUAAGUCAAAGGUAGACCCCUUUGGAUACCAGAGCCCGAAGCAAGGCGUAGCAACUAAAUAUCUAAGAAUUCGCUUUACCGCCACUAAGUGACACUCCUUAGGAUUGGAUUGAAAUCUAGCACACAUGCAUACGCUAAGCAUAAUAUCCGGUCUACUAGCACAUAAAUAAAGCAAAGAACCUAUCAUGGACCGGUAUGCUUUUUGAUCAACGGACUUACCUCCUUUGUUGAGGUCUGUGUGUCCGUCGGUUCCCAUCGGCGUCUUUGCGGGCUUGGCGUCCUUCAUCCCAAACCUCUUUAGCAAGUCUUGCGUGUACUUCGUUUGGGAGAUGAAAGUGCCGUCCUUGAGUUGCUUCACUUGGAACCCAAGGAAGUAGUUCAACUCGCCCAUCAUCGACAUCUCGAAUUUCUGCGUCAUCACCCUGCUAAACUCUUCACAAGACUUUUGGUUAGUAGAACCAAAUAUUAUGUCAUCGACAUAAAUUUGGCACACAAACAAAUCACCAUUGCAAGUCUUAGUAAAAAGAGUUGGAUCGGCUUUCCCAACCUUGAAAGCAUUAACAAUUAGAAAGUCUCUAAGGCAUUCAUACCAUGCUCUUGGGGCUUGCUUAAGUUCAUAGAGCGCCUUAGAGAGCUUACACACAUGGUCGGGGUACCGUUCAUCCUCGAAGCCAGGGGGUUGCUCCACGUACACCUCCUCCUUGAUUGGCCCGUUGAGGAAAGCGCUCUUCACAUCCAUUUGGUACAACCUGAAAGAAUGGUGAGCGGCAUAUGCUAGCAAGAUACGAAUUGAUUCUAGCCUAGCCACAGGAGCAAAAGUCUCCUCGAAAUCCAAACCUGCGACUUGGGCAUAACCUUUUGCCACAAGUCGAGCCUUGUUUCUCGUCACCACCCCGUGCUCGUCCUGUUUGUUGCGGAACACCCACUUGGUUCCCACAACAUUUUGCUUGGGACGAGGCACCAGUGUCCAAACUGCAUUGCGCUUGAAGUUGUUGAGCUCCUCCUGCAUGGCCAACACCCAGUCCGGAUCUAGCAAGGCCUCCUCUACCCUGAAAGGCUCAAUAGAAGAGACAAAGGAGUAAUGCUCACAAAAAUUAACUAAUCUAGAUCGAGUAGUUACUCCCUUGCUAAUGUCACCCAGAAUUUGGUCGACGGGAUGAUCCCUUUGAAUCAUCGCUCGAACUUGGGUUGAAGGUGCCGGUUGCGCAUCUUCCUCCAUCACAUGAUCAUCUUGUGCUCCCCCUUGAUCACACGCCUCCUGUUGAUGAACCUGUUCAUCGUCUUGAGUUGGGGGUAGCACCAUAGUUGAGGAAGAUGGUUGAUCUCGUUCAUCUUGUUCCUGUGGCCGCACUUCUCCAAUCGCCAUAGUUCGUAUAGCGGCCGUCGGAACAUCUUCUUCAUCUACAUCAUCACAAUCAACAACUUGCUCUCUUGGAGAGCCAUUAGUCUCAUCAAAUACAACGUCGCUAGAGACUUCAACCAAACCCGAUGAUUUGUUGAAGACUCUAUACGCCUUUGUAUUUGAGUCAUAACCUAACAAAAACCCUUCUACUGCUUUGGGAGCAAAUUUAGAAUUUCUACCCUUCUUUACUAGAAUGUAGCACUUGCUCCCAAAUACACGAAAGUACGAUACAUUGGGUUUGUUACCGGUCAGUAGCUCAUACGACGUCUUCUUGAGGAGGCGGUGAAGAUAGACCCUGUUGAUGGCGUGGCAAGCCGUGUUCACGGCUUCCGACCAAAAUCGCUCGGGGGUCUUGAACUCUCCAAGCAUAGUCCUCGCCAUAUCAAUUAGCGUCCUGUUCUUCCUCUCUACCACACCAUUUUGCUGUGGUGUGUAGGGAGCGGAGAACUCAUGCUUGAUCCCUUCCUCCUCAAGGAACUCCUCCACUUGAAAGUUCUUGAACUCGGACCCGUUGUCGCUCCUUAUCUUCUUCACCUUGAGCUCAAACUCAUUUUGAGCUCUCCUGAGGAAGCGCUUGAGGGUCCCUUGGGUUUCAGACUUAUCCUGCAAAAAGAACACCCAAGUGAAGCGGGAAAAGUCAUCAACAAUAACUAGACCAUACUUACUCCCUCCUAUGCUCAGAUAGGCGACAGGUCCGAAGAGGUCCAUAUGCAGCAGCUCCAGGGGUCUUGAAGUGGUCAUCACAUUCUUGCUGUGAUGUGCUCCUCCCACUUGUUUACCUGCUUGACAAGCUGCACAAGGUCUAUCUUUUUCGAAUUGCACGUUAGUCAAACCUAUCACGUGUUCUCCCUUUAGAAGCUUGUGAAGGUUCUUCAUCCCCACAUGUGCUAAGCGGCGAUGCCACAGCCAGCCCAUGCUAGUCUUAGCUAUUAAGCAUGCAUCUAGACCGACCUCCUCUUUUGCAAAAUCAACUAAAUAAAGUUUGCCGUCUAAUACACCCUUAAAAGCUAGUGAAUCAUCACUUCUUCUAAAGACAGACACAUCUACAUUUGUAAAUAGACAGUUAUACCCCAUGUUGAAUAAUUGACUAACAGAUAGCAAAUUAUAUCCCAAGGACUCAACUAAAAACACAUUAGAAAUUGAGUGCUCAUUUGAGAUUGCAAUUUUACCUAAUCCUUUUACCUUGCCUUGAUUCCCAUCACCGAAUAUAAUUGAAUCUUGGGAAUCAUUAUUCUUGACGUAGGAGGUGAACAUCUUCUUCUCCCCCGUCAUAUGGUUUGUGCAUCCGCUAUCAAUAAUCCAGCUUGAACCCCCGGAUGCACAAACCUGCAAGGCAAAUUUAGGCUUGGGACUUAGGUACCCAACUCUUGUUGGGUCCUACAAGGUUAGUGCAAAUAUCCUUAGGGACCCAAAUGCAAGUUUUAUCACCCUUGCAUUUUGCCCCUAACUUUCUAGCAAUUACCAUUCUAUCCUUUCUAUAAAUUGCAAAGGAAGCAUUCAAAGCAUGAUAUAUUGUAGAAGGCUCAUUAACUUUCCUAGGAAUAUUAACAACAUUCCUUCUACCAACAUUUCUAUCAUGCACAACAUGAGAACUAGAAGCAGUCAUAGCAUAAGAAUCAUAAGCAUGUGAAUCAUAAGCAUCAUAACUUCUAAAAGCAUUUCUAGAAUUUUUUCUAUCAUGAUACAAAAAGGCAUGGUUCUUUUUAACACUAGUAGCCAUAGGGGCCUUCCCUUUCUCCUUAGCGGGAAUGGGAGUCUUAUGGCUUGUUAAGUUCUUGGCUUCCCUCUUGAAGCCAAGUCCAUCCUUAAUUGAGGGGUGUCUACCGAUCGUGUAGGCAUCCCUUGCAAAUUUUAGUUUAUCAAAUUCAUUCUUGCUAGUCUUAAGUUGGGCAUUAAGAUUAGCCAAUUCCUCAGUUAGUUUGGAAAUUGAAACUAAAUGAUCACUACAGGCAUCAACAUCGAAAUCUUUACACCUAGUGCAAAUCUCAACAUGUUCUACACAAGAUGUUGAUUUACUAGAUUUUUCUAGUUUAGCAUUUAAAUCAUCAUUUUUGCUCUUUAAACUAGCAAUUGAAUCAUGACAUGUAGACAACUCACAAGAAAGCAUUUCAUUUCUCUUAAUCUCUAAUGCAAGUGAUUUUUGUGCUUCUACAAAUUUGUCAUGUUCCUCAUACAACAAAUCCUCUUGCUUUUCUAAAAGCACAUUCUUAUCAUUCAAGGCAUCAAUCAAUUCAUUAAUUUUGUCUAUCUUAGAUCUAUCUAAACCCUUGAAUAAGCAUGAAUAGUCUAUGUCAUCAUCAUCACUAGACUCAUUAUCACUAGAAGGAGCAUAAGUGGAGUCUCGAGUACUCACCUUCUUCUCCCUUGCCAUAAGGCAUGUGUGACGCUCGUUGGGGAAGAGGGAUGACUUGUUGAAGGCGGUGGCGGCGAGUCCUUCAUUGUCGGAGUCGGAGGAGCAAUCCGAAUCCCACUCCUUUCCGAUGUGUGCCUCGCCCUUGGCCUUCUUGUAAUUCUUCUUCUUUUCCCUCUUGUUUCCCUGUUCCUGGUCACUAUCGUUAUCGGGGCAGUUAGCGAUAAAAUGACCAAUCUUACCGCACUUGAAGCAUGAGCGCUUUCCCUUUGUCUUGGUCUUGCUUGGCUGCCCCUUGUGACCUUUUAGCACCGUCUUGAAGCGUUUGAUGAUGAGAGCCAUCUCUUCAUCAUUAAGUCCGGCCGCCUCAAUUUGUGCCACCUUGCUACUUGUUGCCUUGAGAGCAAGGGGUUGAUGCUCGUUGAUCGGUCCAUUCAAGGCGUCGUCCACGUAUCUUGCCUCCUUGAUCAUCAUCCGCCCGCUUACGAAUUUUCCGAGUACCUCCUCGGGCGUCAUCUUCGUGUACCUGGGAUUCUCACGAAUAUUGUUCACGAGAUGAGGAUCAAGAACGGUAAAUGACCUUAGCAUUAGGCGGACGACGUCGUGAUCCGUCCAUCGCGUGCUUCCAUAACUCCUUAUUUUGUUGAUAAGGGUCUUGAGCCGGUUGUAUGUUUGGGUUGGCUCCUCGCCCCUUAUCAUUGCAAACCUUCCAAGCUCGCCCUCCACCAACUCCAUUUUAGUGAGCAUGGUGAUGUCGUUCCCCUCGUGAGAAAUCUUGAGGGUGUCCCAUAUCUGCUUGGCAUUGUCCAAGCCGCUCACCUUAUUGUACUCGUCCCUGCACAAAGAGGCUAGCAACACAGUAGUAGCUUGUGCAUUUUUAUGAAUUUGUUCAUUAAUAAACAUAGGGCUAUCCGAGCUAUCAAAUUUCAUUCCAUUCUCUACAAUCUCCCAUAUGCUUGGAUGGAGAGAGAAUAAAUGACUACGCAUUUUGUGACUCCAAAAUCCGUAGUCCUCCCCAUCAAAGUGUGGAGGUUUGCCAAGAGGAAUGGAAAGCAAAUGCGAAUUCGAACUAUGUGGAAUACGAGAAUAAUCAAAUGAAAAGUUCGAAUUGACCGUCUUCCUGUAGUCGUUGUCGUCGUCCUUUUGGGAAGAAGAGGAUUCGUCGCUGUCGUAGUAGACGAUCUCCUUGAUGCGCCUUGUCUUCUUCUUCUUCCCAUCUUUACGUCUGUGGCCCGAGCCAGAGUCGUUGGAUUUGUCAUCUUUUGGCUCGUUGACGAAGGACUCCUUUUCCUUGUCGUUGAUCACGAUUCCCUUCCCCUUAGGAUCCAUCUCUUCGGGCGGUUAGUCCCUUUCUUGAAGAGAACUGCUCUGAUACCAAUUGAGAGCACCUAGAGGGGGGGUGAAUAGGUGAUCCUGUAAAGCUUAAACUUAUAGCCACAAAAACUUGUUAAGUGUUAGCACAAUAAAUGCCAAGUGGCUAGAAAGGAGUCUCAACAAAACACAAUACCACAAGAGAUCAAUCACAGAGUUGACACAGUGGUUUAUCCCGUGGUUCGGCCAAGACCAACGCUUGCCUACUCCACGUUGUGGCGUCCCAACGGACGAGGGUUGCAAUCAACCCCUCUCAAGUGGUCCAAAGACCCACUUGAAUACCACGGUGUUUUGCUUGCUUUUUCUCUAUCCCGUUUGCGAGGAAUCUCCACAACUUGGAGCCUCUCGCCCUUACAAUUGAAGUUCACAAAGAACACAGAGCAAAGGGGGAAUGAGCAACGCACACAAGACUUCAAAAGAUCAGAGCAACAACGCGCACACAAGUCGCAACAAGAGCUCGCAACACAACUCAAAGAGUUCGCAACUCAACAAGAGCUCUAGAUGCUAUCACAAUGAAACGAAUGCGCGAGAGCGAUGUCUUGGUGCUUAAGAAUGUUGUAGGAAUACUUGGUGUGUUCCUCCAUGCGCCUAGGGGUCCCUUUUAUAGCCCCAAGGCAGCUAGGAGCCGUUGAGAACAAAUCAGGAAGGCCAUCCUUGCCUUCUGUCAUCGGGCGCACCGGACAGUCCGGUGCACACCGGACAGUGUCCGGUGCCCGAUUCCUUUCCUUAAAUGGCGAAGCCGACCGUUGCAGGUCUGGGAGCCGUUGGCGCACCGGACAUGUCUGGUGCACACCGGACAGUCCGGUGCCCCCUUCCGACCGUUGGCUUGGCCACGUGUCGCGCGCAGAAUCCGCGGCCGACCGUUGGCCCUGGCGACCGUUGACUCACCGGACAGUCCGGUGCACACCGGACAGUCCGGUGAAUUUUAGCCGUACGCCGUCAGCAAAAUUCCCGAGAGCGGCCUCUUCGGCCGAGGCAGCCUGGCGCACCGGACACUGUCCGGUGCACCACCGGACAGUCCGGUGCCCCAGACCGAAACAGCCCCUUGGCUGUACAUAGCCAACUCUUUUUCUUCCUGUUUCCAAUACUUAGACAAGUAUAUUAGUACACAAAACCAAUGUACUAAGACAUAGAAACAUACCUUUGCUCUUGAUUUGCACUUUGUCCAUCCACAAGCAUGAUUUCACAUUUAAGCACUUGUGUUGGCACUCAAUCACCAAAAUACUUAGAAAUGGCCCAAGGGCACAUUUCCCUUUCGGGCACACGCGCUGAUAGUGUGUAGGGCCAUCACGGGGAGGAUCCACCGCCCGCUGGAUAACCUGUGAGCAGGGGCGGAGCCAGAAAGAAGAUAUAGGAGAGGCCAACAAGACCAUAGUAUAUAGUAGUGUAAGAAAUAAUAAUAAUUAUAAGUAUCAAAUCAAUCCUAUGUAUAUAGUAAGUAAAAUUUUAGUAAUUUUACAUUCACAUAAUUUAAAUUCAGCAAAACAAAUUGUUAAAAGAACUCACAUGUUUUACUUGAGUGCUACUCUGCGUGUUUGAAUUGCAUCGAAGUCAUCAAUAAGUUUAUCUGUUGCAAACUGAAUUGCUAUCUCCUUCUCGAUGUAAGUUAUUAAGCAAUUUCUUAAGAACUCAUCUUCCAUCCUACUUUGAAGCCUUGUCUUAACAAGUUUCAUCGCAGAAAAGGCACGCUCCGUCGUUGCUGUUGAAACUGGUAGAGUUAGAACAAGCCAAAUCAACCUGUUGAUGAAAUGUAUGAGUUUUUCUGUACCGAUAGAAAAAUAAUUAACUAAAUUAAAUAUAAAAUGGUAUAUAACCUGUCGAUCAAAUAACAUUCAUCUGAUUUCCUAGUUUCUGCUAGCCGGCGACAAAGAUUAGCAACAGUUGUCAAAUUCUGAAACUUCGAAUUUGUAGGUACAUCAAAUUCAUAAUGUUGCAACUGAAGCCUUAAGGUACUUCUUUCUUGCUCAGAAAAAUCAGUAGGGUAAAACUUUGAAGCAAGAGAGCACACAUCAUUAAUUUUCAAUGAGUUGAAUGAAUUCUUAGGAUCUAAAGAAGCACAUAAUAUCAGAAGUUCUGUAACUUGUUCACUAAACCUGUGGUUUAGUUCUUGAGCUUGUUGAUCAACUGCACUAGUGAAAAUAUCAUAUCUAUAGUGAUGUUCAAUUGUGAUCUCAUUCCCUGCACGAGAUCGAAUGUAGUCCACAUAUAAUUCAGUCAUGUUUGGAACAAUGAUUUCGUGCUUAUUGCAAAAUACUGUCACAUCAUUAAUAAGUCUAUCCCAACCAUGGUCUCUCAUGUUCUGAAUCAACCUUUUGGUAGUGGCAACAUCAUCCAUAGCAUUCACAAUGUCCUGAGAUUUAUGUUGUAGCUUUUUGCAGAGUAAAUCUAUAAGCCCCAUUAAUUCCUUCAUAACAUGCAUAAUAAAUAUAAAGUCAAAUGACAUCAUCAGCUUAAUAGCACCAGCAGCCUUCGCACGUCCAGCAGCUGUGGUUCCUGAACCUUUUGCAAUAGCAAUAUCUUUCAGCACUAAGAAUGUCGGCUUGUAAAGCUUUAUAAGGCUACAAAUGGAAUUAUAAUGAGAACUCCACCUAGUUUCACCAGGACGUUGCAGAGUUCCAAUUUGAUUAAUACCUCUUCCUGUUUCAAUCUCGUUAAGCUCAAUGAGGUGCUCUAUUUCAGCAACUUGAUUAGCACGUAGAUCAUCAUUUCUCUUAGUAGAAGACACAACCGUGUUGACGAUAAGAGCAAGAUGUUCAAAAAAAUUAUGAACUUAUGUUACCUCUUUAGAUGCAGCUACAAGAGCUAGCUGUAAUUGAUGAACAAAGCAGUGAACAUAAUAUGCAUAAGGGCACUCUUCUACAAACUUUGCUUGUAAUCCAUUCCACUCUCACAACAUAUUACUAGCACCAUCAUAUCCUUGUCCACGAAUAUUUUGAACAUCUAAUUUAUGAUGUGAUAAAACAAAGUCCAAUUCCUUCUUAAGAGUGGCAGAUGAUGUAUCAUGAACAUGAAUAAGAUCAAGAAAACGCUCUCGAAUGAAACCCCCUUUGUCAACAAACCGAACAACAAGUGCCAUUUGUUCUCUUCUUGACUUGUCUCUUGAUUCAUCAACAAUCAAGCAAAAUUUGGCAUCACCAAUUUCAUCACGAAUAGUUGUUUGCACAUUAAAAGCUAUAAGGUCCAAUAUCUGCUUCUGAAUUUGAUGUGACGUGUAUUUAGCAUUCUGUGGAGCAUUACUCAAUACAACAGCUUUGACCUCCUCAUCAUAUGAUGCAAUUAGCUUUACCAUCUCAAGAAAAUUACUUUGGUUCUUUGAAUUAGCAGACUCAUCAUGUCCACGAAAGGGACAAGCUUGAAAUACUAACCAACGGACUGCAUCAAUUGAUGUUCUAAGCCGCAAUCUAUUUGCCUUGACUUCAUCACUUGUUUGCUUCUCAAGAAUCGGUUCAAUAUGGUAUAACCGAUUCUUCAAAUUAUCAUAGCAUUUAACAGAAUACCGAUGAGCUGACCCACUCUCUCCUACAUGAAUUUUGAAGGCACAAUUAUCCCCACUUUUAACCUUCUUCCAAUUUUUAAAUCCUUUGACAGUAAACACAUCAGAUCCUGCUUUUCCUACUGGCUUCUUAGAUAAAAAGCAAGGAAAGCAAAAGGUUGCAUCUUUUGUUGGCGAGUAUUCUAACCAAGAAAAAGUUUCAAACCACUGUGACUGAAACCUCCGUGGAUGAUUCUUUGGACCUGAAGGUGGGUAUACAUCUCUAAAAAAUUGGUAUGGGCCAUGUUUCAUGUAUGCUCUAAUAACUUGUUCUUGCUUAUCAGGGGUGUAAGAAAAAAUCUGGCAACGUAAGCCUGGGUCUCUUUCUACAACCAACACACCAGUAUCUUCAAAAUUUACUCGACGAACCUUAGGAGAUGGUUGUUCUGGAGCUUCCUCUUAUUGUGCAGCAAGCCAAUUAGCAAUUUCAUAUUACUCAGAAUCAGAACUAUUUUGUUCUUGUUCUCUUGGGACAUCGACAACAAUAUCUUUAUUAUAAAAAAUAUCAAUUGUUGUUCUUUUGAAUACCAUGAUUGUCCUUUAAGAUAAAAACAUAAUAUGACAAAUUAGCAUCUACCGAUACAUACAUUACUCAACCAAUAUCGAGUAAAUUAAAAUAUUAAAUAAAUAAAGUAUUGCACAGUGCACAACAAAAACAGUAGUCAAAUGAUUGAAACCUUUAGAGUAGAUUGUGCUGAAGAGGAGGCCUGAACAGUAGACAAAUUAAAUAAAUUAGCUAUCUAGGCAUCUACCGAUACAUGACGGUGGGGUUGAGGAGAUCGGCGAGUACUAGCGGGCAGCGGUCAGCGGAUGAUGGAGAGCGCCAGCGCAGCGCUGGCCGCCACGCACAGGCGCACAGCCCCGAUGCUACGGCCUACGGUUGCCUGCUUGACUGCUUCACUGCUUGGCGGCGAGUCAGCAAGACCGCAAGAGGAGAAAGCAGCGAGCGUCGAGUAGGUCUGCAGGUGGAUUCGUGGUGCACAAUGCACUGAUGCCUAUAGGCUGCGGCGACUAAAAUAAAUUAGGUCAGCACAGAAUUAGGAAUAAACAACGGUGUGAACCUGGGCUGUGAGCCUGUGAUCACGUGGCCCAUAUAAUAACAUGUUGCCGUUGGCAGGGGCAUGGCCCCCGCUGCCCCCCCCCCACCCCCCUCCCUCUGCCCCUGCCUGUGAGACGUCGCGGGGCAGUCGGGGUUCGACUCGGUUGUCGGCCCUAUGGGCGCCGACUCUAGCAUCGAGGAGCUCUACCUGAUCAACCCGAGGGCUCUCCUCCCUUGCUUUGUGGUCAUAUGCAAAGCUUAGAUCAUAUUCUUGCGCCUGGGUGCAUGUCAUCGCCAUCGUAGAGAAGCAGCAUCGCAUACGAUUUAUAUUAGCACUAUCCUAUACUUUAAUUCCAUCAUCGUGUAAAGUUAUAGUUUAGUUCAUUAGUUGAUGGAGAACACUAGGCACCAUGCAUGUUCUCCUUCCAGGUUUAGUUCAUUAGUUCAUCGAUCGAUCUAGUGUACAUUCUUGUUUGUAUCUUCCAGCAUCAGCAGUGACUCACCAGCAGAUUUCUGAAGAGCUAUUUACUCUCUAAAUAGAGCCUGAGAGCUUGUUCGCACUGGUAGAAAAGGGCUUAAAGCCUACGGUGCGGUAUAUUUUAUAGGCGGAUUCGGUUAUCAACCGCCUGUGCUAUUUUUAGUGGCGAUUUUUUAAGAAAACCGCCACUAGAAAUCGUAUUUCUAGAGACGGUUCCAUAUAAAAACCGUUUGUAGAAAUCCAUGAUUUCUACUGGUGGUUUUCUUAAGAAACCGCCUGUAGAAAUCGAUUUCUAGUUACGGUUUUCUUAAGGAACCGCCACUAGAAAUCAUUUUUAUCCUUAAUUUUUCGAGUUUUUCAAACGACCUCGUAUGACGAAACCAUCAAAAUAAAAGUUAUAGAUCUCUAAAAGUUAUAAAACUUUGUAGUUGACAACUUUUUUAUUUGAAAUCAUUUCGGCUCUCAAAAAUUGUAUCUAAAUUUAUCAAAUUUAAAAUUCAAAUUUUGCAAACGACCUCGGAUGAAAAAAGUGUCAAAAUAAAAGUUUUAGAACUUCAAAAAUUAUUCAACUUUGUAGUUGACAACUGUUUUAUUUGAAUUCGUUUAUGGUCUCAAACAAGAAAUUUACACUCAGUUGGUUGUAAUAUGUUGGCAACAAAACUACAAACUAGACACAAAGGAUUUCAUAGCCGGAGUGAUAGAGGAUGAUAUGCGUGAGGGUGAGGUCAGGGGUUCGAUUCCUAGCAACCACGUAGUGCACAAAAAAUUCCUCGACCUGCGACUUCGAUGGAGACGGACCGUUGGGGUGGGUGGGUCGCGAGGCCUCCCCAAUAAAUUUUUUUUGCUAUUUUUAAAAUCUGUUUUAUGUUUCCUGGAAUCGAUUUUCAUUGACGGUUUUAUUACGUCGACCGUCAGUGAAAAUCGAUUUCCACUGGCGGUUCUUAGUUACCCGCCUGUAAAAAUGAUGAUUUCUACUGGCCCCUAGCACUGGCGGCUAUGAAAAACGCCACUGUAAAUAGGUUUACAACCGCCACUAUAGAGCUUAUCUGUACUAGUGUCGGUUCUACCCCAAUCCAUAUGGAUUGAGGGUAAUUGAGGGAGUUUUAAUCUCUAGUAAGUUAAAAUCUCUAUCAAUCCGUAUCAAUCGCCUCCAAUCUAUAUGGAUUGAAAAUAACCGAACAAGCCCUGAAGGGGAGGACACAGGGCGUCAGUGCCUAGACGGGGAUGACACAAAAUGGUAGUUGUGAUUUUAAGGCCCAAAUGUUGGAAACAAAACAUGUGUUUAGAUCUUAAACAAAUUAAGUGAGUUGCUAAAUCAAAAUAUAGAGCCAAUUAUGAGACUCAUGGUUGGAGUUGCUCUAAACCUUGUGAUUAAAUCUUGUAAUUUAGAAUAUACUCAGUUUGGAACAGGGAAAAGUACAUGCAUGCAUGCAUAUAUAUAUAUAUAGCUAGAAUUAUUGAGACGACACGUCUCAUCUCCUGCGCGGGCGGUACUGCAUGUGGUGGCACAAGACGACGGGCCCUGGCGGUGUAUAGCUAGCUAGAAUUAUAGGAGGUCAUCCUCCUUGUGCGUCUCGAUGACGACGUCGGAGGUGGGGUACGCAGCGCAGGUGAGCACCCAACCGUCGGCGACCUGGUUGUCGUUGAGGAAGCUCUGGUCGGACUGGUCGACGGAGCCAGAGACGACCUUGCCGGCGCAGGAGGAGCAGGACCCCGCACGGCAGGAGAAGGGCAGGUCGAUGCCUUCCUCCUCGGCGAAGUCCAGGAUGUAGACGUCGUCGGGCACCUGCAGCUCCACCUCCCCCUCCGGCGUGAUCAGCUUCACGUUGUAGGUGGCCUGCGCGCGCAGCAGCUGGCGCCGCAUGGGGGCCGCCAGCGGCUUGGCAACCGCGACCCUGAGCCUGAGUGGGGACGAGAAGCAGGGCGGCGGCGCGCGGAGGAUGCUCAUGCUCAGGGCGGUGGCGGCCAUUGGAUGGCGAUGGAGGAUGGACUCACUCGACUGGCCGGCCGGGCGCUAGCUGCUGCGACUACACACUACACGACACGGGCGGCCACACGGCUCGCUAGCUAGCUGACAAGGGAGAGUUAUUGGCGGAGGGAAGGGUGGGUGGGGGUGCUACGUGGCGGGCGGUGAGCGGUCGGCUUAUCUGCAGUGCAAUGCAACCCCCAUCGAGGAUCACACGUUGCUCAUCGUCGCUACCAGCCAUCCGCCUGCCCCUCUUGGUUGGAUUUGGAUAGGCGUGUGGAGGCCAUACAUCCAUCGUAUGAUAUAUAUCGUCUAGCUACUCGAUCACUUAGCUGUCAGAUCUAUAUAUGGUAACACUAUAGUACAAAUUAACGCAUAUAUAUAAGAGUAUGGUAUACUCACUCAAUUCAUAAAUAUAUGAGAUUGUUGACUUUUUUUAAAAAAAACUUUGACCGCUCAUCUUAUUAAAAAAAUAAUGUGUUAUUAUUUUUUUUUGUGAUUUGUUUUAUCACUUAAUCUAGUUUGUGCUUAACUUAAAAUUUUACAUUUUUAAAUAAGAUAAGUGGUCAAAGUUUUCGAAACAAAAAAAAGUCAACAGUUUAUAUAUUUGUGAACGGAUGUAGUACCUAGCUAGUAUGUUUCCUUAUAUAUUGUUAUGUGGAGGCCACGUUGCUUACUAGUACUUCCUUUCAUUCAGUUUACUUGUGUGAUUCGUUUUGUUUGUUUGCUUGUUCUUCGCCGACGGGAGUUUUGAUUAAAAUCUGAUUUUAGUUAUGAGCUGUGAAAAAGUUGUUGUGAGCUGAUAAUUAUAAAAAGACUGAAAUUUGUUGGGUAAUACAAUUGUCGACUAUAGAUUCUAUAAGACUGUGAUAACUUGUGAUGUGGAUGACAUAAAUCUAAAAAAAUUAGGAUCGAAGAUGAUUCUGAUCAUUUAAACUAAAGAACCUAUAUUUUUUUAGAAAUCUAUUCUGUUGGUUAAGAUUUUCAGUAAAUGUGGUUCAUAAAGCUGAACCAAACACAGCUUACCUUUUACCUUUUGUAGGUCGGGCUGAGAAAGGGCCCUAGCCUCUCCAUCUCCUUUUUUCUGUUGGUGGGCUUUAUUUGGUAACUUGCGAUGCAUACAUAGCCAGCCCAGCCCAGCCCAGUACGCCUGCAUAUCCUGUGCGGGGGUUGUAUGAACUCAGUCAAAUUCGUUCACGCGGACAAGGAAGAACCAAAGGAAAAUGACACGCUUCCAUGGCGUUUAGUUUAUCUCCUGAUAUUUAUUAAUAUCUAUAUCACUCAUCGUAUACGUUCAUAUAUGAUACAUGAUCUUUUUUUUUAUUUGUAGGAGACCAAGACGUGAAGAUUGCUCCAAGACGACACACUUGUAAUGGUCUCGGUCAAACCGUGUUUAUAUUUCCUUUCGUCCAAGGCUCCAACGAGAUAUUGACAGUCUUAUAGAAUUCCUAAGGCUUUGUUUGGGUAUAGAGGGAUUGAAGUGGAUUAAGGUGUAUUGAAGGGGAUUGAAAAAAAAAUUAGUUCAUAUUACACUUCAACACACCACAUACCACCUCAAUCCACUCCAAUCUAAGAUUAUCCAAACAAGCCCUAACGGAGUCAGUCAUUCCCUAACGGAGUCUGUCAAAUGAAUCCCAAUUUCUUAAAGUUGUCAUUACCUAAGGGCUUGUGCGGUUCUACCGCAAUCCAUAUGGAUUAAUGGGGAUUAAGAGGGUUUAAUCCCUAGUAAGGCGUCGUUCGGUUGUUACGGAUUGGUAGGUCGUGACGAUCCCUAACCGGAUUGCUUCUCUAAUUUAUAUAAACUUUGAUUAGCUGGAACGAUUCCGGGUGCAAUCUGGCACAAACGAACAAGGCCUAAGUCAAAAUCUCUCUCAAUCCGUAUCAAUCCUCUCCAAUCCAUAUGGAUUGAAAAUAACCGAACAAGCCCUAAUGGGGUCUUAUAGAAUCAUCUUCGAUCCCUAACGGAGUCAGUCAUUCGAUAGGAGGGUGUCAUGAAAUGGAUCCCUGACGGAGUCAGUCAUUGCCACAAACUUAACACAAUCAGGACAUGGCGGACCCUGUCUUAGGUCGCGCCUCCAAGGGAGGUCGAGUUGGAGGCCUCCAAAGGCCUCCCUGAUGCCGUAGAUGUCUCCCGAUGAAAAUUAUGUACUCAUAAGACAAAUCGGUACUAAAGACUUGAUAUUAGUACCGGUUGGAGACACCAACCGGUAUUAGCAACUUUUGCACGGACUCGACAUUUAAAACCGGUGCUGAUGCUUAUAUCAAUACCGGUUUUUAAAACAAUCAGAAUAAAUGUUGAUAGUCUGGAUGAAAGCUCAUUCUCUCGGCCUCCCUCCAUGAAUGCAUAACUCAUCUGAAGAAUCGGUGAGGUGACCAGAAGCGGAGUGAAUGAGAGCUAAUCAAAUUUUGCUUCUAAAAAUGAAAUUGAGCACUUCACUUCAAUUGAGAUGAAGAAAACGCUCAAACCAAAAACAUAUUAAAACAAACGGAUCACAAAUCAGACACCGAAAAGUCUCAAUCGGCCCAAAACCGUGUCGCGAACAAGUGCUGAUUUUAGCAACACGAGAUUCUGUUCUCGAAUGCGAAACUGAACCAAACGAACUCCAAUUGAAAUGAAAUCUAACGCACACCUUGUCGGGGACCAUAAUUAGGGGUACCCCCCAAGACUCCUAAACUCGGCUGGUAAUCACCAUCAGCACAAGCUGCAGAAGCCUGAUGGGCGCAAUUCAGGUCAAGGCUCCGUCCACUCAAGGGACACGAUCUCGCCUCGCUCGAGCCCAGCCUCGGGCAGGAACAGUAGACCCAGGCGGAUUCAUGCCUCACCCGAGGGCCUCCUCAAGCAGCGGGUGCACCUUCGACUCGCCCGAGGCCCAGCUCGGGCAGGCUUCACAGUGAAGCAACCUUGGCCAGAUCGCCUCGCCAACCGACCGUAUCGCAGGAGCAUUCAAUGCAAGGAUCGGCUGACACCUUAUCCUGACGCGCGCUCCUCAGUCGGCAGGGCCGAAGUGACCGCAGUCACUUCGCCCCUCCACUGACUGACCUGACAGGAAAACAACGCCGCCUGCCCUGCUCCGACUGCUGUGCCACCCGCCAGGGUGAGGCUGACAGCAGCCGAGUCCAGCCUCAGGCGCCAUAGGAAGCUCCGCCUCGCCCGACCCCGAGGCUCGGCCCCUGCCUCGGCCUCGGAAGGUGGUCUCCGCCUCGCCCGACCCCAAGGCUCGGCCUGAACCUCGACCUCGGAAGACGGUCUCCGCCUCGCCCGACCCCAAGGCUCGGCCUCAACCUCGACCUCGGAAGACGGUCUCCGCCUCGCCCGACCCCAGGGCUCGGCCUCAACCUCAACCUCGGAAGACGGUCUCCGCCUUGCCCGACCCCAGGGCUCGGCCUCAACCUCGACCUCGGAGGAGUCACCGCCUGGCCCGACCUUGGGCUCGGACCGACCACGCCACAUGGGGGUACAUCAUUACCCUACCCCUAGCUAGCUCAGGCUACGGGGAACAAGACCGGCGUCCCAUCUGGCUCGCCCCGGUAAACAAGUAAUGAUGACACCCCGCGUGCUCCCAUGACGACGGCGGCUCUCAGCCCCUUACGAAAGCAAGGAGACGUCAGCAAGGUCCCGACAACCCCGACAGCUGUGCUUCUACAGGGCUCAAGCGCUCCUCCGACGGCCAUGACAUCGCAUGCACAGGGCUCUAGCACCUCUCCGAUAGCCACGUUGGCAUGUACAUAGGGCUCUGGCUCCUCUCUGCCGGACACGUUAGCAUAUUGCUACACCCCCAUUGUACACCUGGACCCUCUUCUUACAUCUAUAAAAGGAAAGUCCAGGGCCCUCGUACGAGGGAGGUGGCUGCGCGAGACUCUCUCUCUCUCUCCCUCGCGAACGCUUGUAACCCCCUACUGCAAGCGCAUCCACCCUGGGCGCAGGACAACACAAAGUCGCGGUUUUCCCCUCUUUGUGUUCCGUCUCGCGCCGACCCAUCUGGGCUGGGGCAUGCAGCGACAAUUUACUCGUCGGUCCAGGGACCCCCCGGGGUCAAAACGCCGACAGUUGGCGCGCCAGUUGCGUGUUGACGAACAGCUUCCCGUCAAGCUCCAGAUGGACAGUCUCCAGCAACCUCUCCAGCCCGGGACGCUGCUCCGUUUCGGGAGUCUCGAGUUCAUGUCCCUCGACGGCAGCUACGACAUGGUACUCCUUCCUCCGCCGCACGACAGCGACAAUGACGGCCGACAGCUCGCCCGGCGGCGGCGGACUCGGCGACGUCUUCCCUCCAUGGCGGAAGAGAAACAUCCGGGUUUGUCCCGUCACCUUCCCCACCGCAGGAGGAGGAGGCGGGGCAACCAUGGCCAAGCAGGAGGUGGCACCUCGUUGGCUGUCGAGCGAAUCGACGACACCGGCGCCCCAGCGGGGGACACGUCGGGCGUUGACCUCGCGCCUGAGACGACGACGAACGUCGUUUCCCCGCAACACGCCAACCCCAAGCAGACGGAUGACACCAGCACGCUCGUGAAGGGCCUGCUGGGUGUUAGCCUCGUACCUGAGAUAACGGCGCAGUUUGUCCCCGACACGACUUCGUCACCGUCCAUCGAUCAGGAGGUACUGUCCGUUUUCCACCCUGUGCCUUUUAGAUUCAGCUUCGAUCCACCAAGCGAUCCUGCUUCGGUGAGCGCUUUCAUAAAGGCAUAUCCUAACCUUCCGGGGUACCAUAUGUGGUCAACCUGGGACCGACUGACGAUCGUCUCGACCUACGGGCCCCCGGGCUCCGAGGAAGACGACGAGCCCGACUCUGGUUGGGAUUUCUCUGGGCUCGGUAACCCCAGUGCCAUGCGAGACUUCAUGACCGCAUGUGACUACUGCCUCUCCGAUUACUCCGAUGGUGGCCAUAGCCUUGACGACGAGGACUGUGGCCCAAGUCACGAAUGUUUCCACGUCGAUCUAGGGGGUCUCGACGAAGGCAACCACCUUGGUAUGCCGGAAGACGACAAUCCCCCUAGGCCUGCGCCUCGUGUUGACAUCCUUCGGGAGCUAGCUAUGGUCCUAGUCCCUGCGGGGGUCAGGACACACAGCUCGAGCAAAUCCGCAAGAUGGAGGCCAAGCUCGACGAGGAAGCAGGACAACUUGUGCAGCUCCGGCAGAACAUCGGGCAGGAGUGGGUAGGCCGAGCACUAGCCAGAGAAGCGCGUCAUCCGGCCCAGGACGUCCAGCACCGCAUCACAAACGAUGCCAGGGCAAGGCUGCCCCCGGCUUCCAGUGGGGUCGGCCAGAACCUGGCUACAGCGGCAAUACUACUCCGAGCGAUGCCGGAGCCAUCCACCACCGAGGGGCGGCGUAUCCAGGGAGAACUCAAAAAUCUCCUGGAGGAUGUCGCGGUCCGACGGGCCGAGAGCUCUGCCUCCCGAAGGCAAGGAUACCCCCCGGAGCAUCGCGCCGCGACUUCUCGAUUCAUGCGGGAAGCCUUGGUCCACACCGGGCGCACGCGGGACGCGACUCCCGCAGCCCCGGGUUGCCUCGGCAACGAGCACCACCGCCGCGACCGGCGAGCCCACCUCGACGAGAAGGUGCGCCGAGGCUACCACCCCAGGCGUGGGGGACACUACGACAGCGGGGAGGAUCGGAGUCCCUCGCCCGAACCACCCGGUCCGCAAGCUUUCAGCCGGGCCAUACGACGGGCGCCGUUCCCGACCCGGUUCCGAGCCCCGACUACCAUCACUAAGUACUCGGGGGAAACAACGCCGGAACUGUGGCUCGUGGACUAUCGGCUGGCCUGCCAGCUAGGUGGAACGGACGAUCACAACCUCAUCAUCCGCAACCUCCCCCUGUUCCUCUCCGACGUCGCCCGAGCCUGGCUGGAACAUCUGCCUCCUGCGCAGAUCUCCAACUGGGACGACCUGGUCAAAGCCUUCGCUGGAAACUUCCAGGGCACAUACGUACGCCCUGAGAACUCCUGGGAUCUCUGAAGCUGCCGCCAGCAGCCAGGAGAAUCCCUGCGGGACUACAUCCGACGAUUUUCAAAGCAGCGCACCGAGCUGCCCAACAUCACCGACUCAGAUGUCAUCGGCGCGUUCCUCGCCGGCACCACUUGCUGCGACCUGGUGAGCAAGCUGGGUCGCAAGACUCCCACCAGGGCGAGCGAGCUGAUGGACAUCGCCACCAAGUUCGCCUCUGGUUAGGAGGCGGUCGAGGCCAUCUUCCGGAAGGACAAGCAGCCUCAGGGACGCCAGCAGGAAGACGCCCCCGAGGCAUCCGCCCAGCGCGGCACGAAGAAGAAGGGCAAGAAGAAGUCGCAAGCGAAGCGCGACGCUGCCGACGCAGAUCUUGUCGCCGCCGUUGAGCACAGGAACCCUCGGAAGCCUCCCGGAGGGGCCAACCUGUUCGACAAGAUGCUCAAGGAGUCGUGCCCCUAUCAUCAGGGUCCCAUCAAGCACACCCUUGAGGAGUGUGUCAUGCUUCGGCGCUACUUCCAUAAGGCCGGGCCCCCAGCGGAAGGUGGCAAAGGCCAUGACAACGACAAGAAGGAGGGAAACAAAGCAGAGGAGUUCCCCGAGGUCCACGACUACUUCAUGAUCUACGGUGGGCAAGUGGCGAACGCCUCGGCUCGGCACCGCAAGCAGGAGCGUCGGGAGGUCUGCUCGGUGAAGGUGGCGGCGCCAGUCUACCUAGACUGGUCCGACAAGCCCAUCACCUUCGACCAAGGCGACCACCCCGACUGCGUGCCGAGCCCAGGGAAGUACCCGCUCGUUCAAGGCUCAGUCCACUCAAGGGACACGAUCUCGCCUCGCCCGAGCCCAGCCUCGGGCAAGGGCAGCCGACCCCGGAGGAUUCACGUCUCGCCCGUGGGCCCCCUCAAGCAACGGACACACCUUCGGCUCGCCCGAGGCCCAGUCUUCGCCGAGAAGCAACCUUGGCCAGAUCGCCACGCCGACCGACCGUAUCGCAGGAGCAUUUAAUGCAAGGAUCGCCUGACACCUUAUCUUGACGAGCACUCUUCAGUCGAUAGAGCCGAAGUGACCGCAGUCACUUCGCCGCUCCACUAACCGACCUAACAAGAAGAUAGCGUCGUCUGCGUCGCUCCGACUGCUGUGCCACUUGACAGAGUGAGGCUGACAGCAGCCAAGUCCGGCCUCGGGCGCCAUAGGAAGCUCCGCCUCGCCUGACCCCAGGGCUCGGGCUCAGCCUCGGCUCCGGAAGACGACGAACUCCGCCUCGCCCGACCCUAGGGCUCGGGCUCAGCCUCGGCUCCGGAAGACGACGAACUCCGCCUCGCCCGACCCCAGGGCUCGGCCUUAGCCUCGGCUCCGGAAGACGACGAACUCCGCCUCGCCCAACCCCAGGGCUCGGACUCAGCCUCGGCUCCGGAAGACGACGAACUCCGCCUCGCCCGAGCCUAGGGCUCGGACUCAGCCUUGGCCUCGGACGACGGUCUCCGCCUCGCCCGACCCGAGGCUCGGACUCGACCUCGACCUCGGAAGACAUACUCGACCUCGACCUCGGAGGAGCCUCCGCCUCGCACGACCCAGGGCUCGGACUGACCACGUCACAGGGGGGCCAUCAUUACCCUACCCCUAGCUAGCUCAGGCUACGGGGAACAAGACCGGCGUCCCAUCUGGCUCGCCUCGGUAAACAAAUAAUGAUGGUGCCCCGCGUGCUCCAUGACGACGGCGGCUCUCAGCCCCUUACGGAAGCAAGGAGACGUCAGCAAGGACUCGACAGCCCCGACAGCUGUCCUUCCGCAAGGCUCCAGCGCUCCUCCAACGGCCACGACAUCACAUGAACAGGGUGCCAAAACCUCUUCGGCUGCCACGACGGCAUGUACUUAGGGCUCUAGCUCCUCUCUGCUAGACACGUUAGCACACUGCUACAUCCCCCAUUGUACACCUGGGCCCUCUCCUUAUGCCUAUAAAAGGAAGGUCCAUGGCUCUCGUACGAGAAGGUUGGCCGCGCGGGAGAACGGGCCGGCGCGUAGGGCUCUCUCUCUCUCUCCUGCGCGGACGCUUGUAACCCCCUACUGCAGGCGCACCCGACCUGGGUGCAGGACAACACGAAGGCCACGGGUUUCCCCUUUUGCCUGUCUCCUUCCCCCCUUCGUGCUCCGUCUUGCGCCGACCCAUCUGGGUUGGGACACGCGACGACAAUUUACUCGUCGGUCCAGGGACCCCCCAGGGUCGAAACGCCGACAGUUGGCGCGCCAGGUAGGGGUCUGCUAUGUGUUGACAAACAGCUUCCCGUCAAGCUCCAGAUGGGUAGUCUCCAACAACCUCUUCGACUCGGGACAAUGCUUCAUUUCGGGAGUCUUGAGUUCAUGUCCCUCGACGGCGACAACGACAUGAUACUCCUUCCUCCGCCGCGCGACAGCGACAAUGGCGGCCGAUAGCCCGCCCGCCGGCGGCGGAAUCAACGACGUCUUCCCCACGUGGCAGAAGAACAACAUUCGGGUUUGUCCCGUCACCUCCCCCGCUGACGGAGGAGGCGGGGCAACCAUGGCCAAGCUGGAGGCAGCACCUCGUCGGCUGUCGAGCGAGUCGACGGCGCCGGCGCCCCAACGGGGGACACGUCGGGCGACGACCUCGCGUCUGAGACGAAGACGAGCGUCGUUUCCCCGCAACACGCCAACUCCAAGCGGACGAACGAUGCCAGCACGCUCGCGAAGAACUUGCUGGGUGUCAGCCUCGUACCUGAGACGACGGUGUAGUCCGCCCCUGACGCGACUUCGUCACCGCCUGUCGACCAAGAGGUACCGACCGGUUCCCAUCUCGUGCCUUUUAGAUCCAGCUGCGACCCACCGAGCGACCCCACUUUGGUGGACGCUUUUAUAAAGGCAUGUUGAACCCUCCGGGGUAUCAUAUGCGGUCACCCUAGGACCGGCUGACGGCCGUCUCGACCUACGGACCCUCGGGUUCCGAGGAAGAUGACAAGCCCGACUUUUGCUGGGAUUUCUCCGGGCUCGGUAACCCCAGUGUCGUGCGGGACUUCAUGACCGCAUGCGACUACUGCCUUUCCGAUUGUUCCGACGGUAGCCGCAGCUUCGGCGACGAGGACUGCGGCCCGAGUCGUGAAUGUUUCCACGUCGAUCUAGGGGGUCCCGGCGAAGGCAACCAUCUUGGUAUACCGGAAAACGGUGAUCCCCCUAGGCCUGCGCCUCGCGUUGAUAUCCUUCGGGAGCUAGCUGUGGUCCCAGUCCCUGCGGGGGGUCAGGACGCACAGCUCGAGCAAAUCCGCGAGAUGCAGGCCAGGCUCGACGAGGGAGCAGGAACACUUGAGCCGUUCCGACGGAACAUCGGGCAGGAAUGGGAAGACCAAGCUCCGGCCGGAGAAGCGCGUCAUCUGCCCCAGGGCAUCCAGCACCGCAUUGCCGACGACGUCAAGGCAAGGCCACCACCGGCUUCCAGUGGGGUCAGCCAGAACCUGGCUGCGGCAGCAAUACUACUCCGCGCAAUGCCGGAACCAUCGACCACCGAAGGACGGCGUAUCCAGGGAGAGCUCAAGAAUCUCCUGGAGGAUGUCGCGGUCCGACGGGCCAAAAGCCUUGCCUCCCGAAGGCAGGGGUACCCCUCGGAGCAUCGCCCCGCGACUUCUCGAUUCAUACGGGAAGCCUCGGUCCAUACCGAGUGCACGCGCAACACGGCGCCUGCGGCCCCGGGUCACCUUGGCAACGAGCACCACCGCCGCGACCGUCGAGCCCACCUCGACGAAAAGGUGCGCCGAGGCUACCACCCCAGGCGUGGGGGACGCUACGACAGCGGGGAGGAUCGGAGCCCCUCGCCCAAACCACCCGGUCCGCAGGCUUUCAGCCGGGCCAUACGACGGGCGCCGUUCCCGACCCGGUUCCGAACCCCGACUACUAUCACAAAGUACUCGGGGGAGACGAGGCCGGAACUGUGGAUCGCGGACUACCGACUGGCCUGCCAGCUGGGUGGAACGGACGAUGACAACCUCAUCAUCCGCAACCUCCCCCUGUCCCUCUCCGACACCGCUCGGGCCUGGCUGGAGCAUCUGCCUCCGGGGCAGAUCUCCAACUAGGACGACCUGGUCCAAGCCUUCACCGGCAAGUUUUAGGGCACGUACGUGCGCCCUAGGAACUCCUGGGAUCUCCGAAGCUGCCGCCAGCAGCCAGGAGAGUCUCUCCGGGACUACAUCCGGAGAUUCUCGAAGCAGCGCACCGAGCUGCCCAACGUCACCGACUCGGAUGUCAUCGGCGCGUUCCUCGCCGGCACCACCUGCCGCGACCUGGUGAGCAAGCUGGGUCGCAAGACCCCCACCAGAGCGAGCGAGCUGAUGGACAUCGCCACCAAGUUCGCCUCUGGCCAGGAGGCGGUUGAGGCCAUCUUCCGGAAGGACAAGCAGCCCUAGGGCCGCCAACCGGAAGACAUCCCCGAGGCGUCCACUCAGCGCGGCGCCAAGAAGAAGGGCAAGAAGAAGUCGUAAGCGAAACACGACGCCGCCGACGCGGACCUUGUCGCUGCCGCUGAGUACAAGAACCCUCGGAAACCUCCCGGAGGUGCCAAUCUCUUCGACAAGAUGCUCAAGGAGUCAUGCCCCUAUCAUCAGGGGCCCGUCAAGCACACCCUUGAGGAAUGCGUCAUGCUUCGGCGCCACUUUCACAAGGCCAGGCCACCUACAGAAGCUGGCAGGGCCCACAGCAACGACAAGAAGGAGGAUCACAAGGCAGAGGAGUUCCCCGAGGUCCACGACUGCUUCAUGAUCUACGGUGGGCCAGUGGCGAACGCCUUGGCUCGGCACCGCAAGCAAGAGCGUCGGGAGGUCUGCUCGGUAAAGGUGGCGGCGCCAGUCUACCUAGACUGGUCCGACAAGCCCAUCACCUUCGACCAGGGCGACCACCCCGACCGCAUGCCGAGCCCGGGGAAAUAUCCGCUCGUUGUCGACCCCGUCAUCGGCAACGUCAGGCUCACCAAGGUCCUCACGGACGGAGGCAGCAGCCUCAACAUCAUCUACGCCGAGACCCUUGGGCUCUUGCAGAUCGAUCUGUCCUCGAUCCGGACAGGCGCGACGCCUUUUCACGGGAUCAUCCCCGGGAAACGCGUCCAACCCCACGUACAACUCGAUCUGCCCGUCUGCUUCGGGACUCCCUCCAACUUCCGAAGGGAAACCCUCACGUUCGAGGUGGUCGGGUUCCGAGGAACCUACCACGCAGUACUGGGGAGGCCAUGCUACGCCAAGUUCAUGGCCGUCCCCAACUACACCUACCUCAAGCUCAAGAUGCCGGGCCCCAACGGUGUGACAGAACCUCCCAAGUAAUUAGGCCCACCUACAGUUGUCCUUGUCUAACAGACAUCAGACACCCUGUAGAUGUUCCUAAGUCACUUGACAAGUUCGGUAUCUUUCCUUACCUUACCAGGAACGUUUCACCCGUCUUGCAGACAUUACAGAACAUCGGAGAUAAAGAAAUGCGGAAGCGAAUUACAUAAACUUACAUUUUAUUUCAAAAGCAAGCUUGAGUUAUUUUUAUUACAGACCAGACUAAAAGUGAGUGCAGAGCAGUAUUAUACAAACCAAGGGAGGCACAAACUCCUCCCGAUAAGCAAAAGAUCCUAAGUGGAGGACCGAGUCCUCCCGCACUUCAGUCUUGUUUUUCCUCGUUAGGUACCACCUUGGAGCAAAAGCAACAAAAGUUUGUCGCUUCCUCACCUAAAAACAACAAAGGGAUAAACCCUGAGUAUGGAAUACUCAGCAAGUCUUACCCGACUAAGGAAAAGACUCUCAAGGGUAUGCUGGAUAAAUAGGAGUCAAGGAGAGGCUUUAGCAAAAAUCAACUUAUACUUUUGCAGAAGUAGCUUACUAAAGUGAGUCCUUACUUUCAGUCUUUUAACGCCAUGUUAAGUAUUAAUAGACUCCAUUUGCAUCUAGUCUAAUUUCGCAUCACAUCAAGACAACAUCAUUUUUAUCCAUCGUGUUCACAUCCUGACUCUAGGUUGCAGGGAAGUGACCAAGUCUUCAUAACCGCGAAGGUACGGCGAUCCGAAUCGAUUAUACUCAGCUGAGGAUCUCCAAUCACACGACAUAUGUAGCACUUAACCCUUGCAUAUGUCAACCCGCCACCGGGGUUCUUAAGACCGGAUCAGGUUCACGCAAACCGAGAGCACAGAUACACCACCGUCCAGCCUCUUGCCACGGAGGGUACACGCUACUCUCGCCACCGCUCCACGCCCAUUUCGUGUUAUCUUAUUCCGGCCUUAGUCUGCCCGAGGCAAGGCUUACCCAUGAGGAGGCAUGUGACCAGUUAAAGGGUCCUCGAUCAUCAAGCCUACAUCGACAAGGUCCUUAAUUGACUCAGACGGAGACACUACACCGAGACUCUCUUCUCGUGCAAGUCACCCGCCCGGUCUCAGCUUAAUCAUUUCAAACCCAAAGCUUGGUACCUGACAGAGGUACAUCUUUUCCGAUGUUGAACCCAUCAAGGCCUUUGAUAGAUCCAUCAUCAAGUUUUGUUUUUGAAAAACAUCCCACCCACUUUUGCCACAUCAUAUUUUGUAAAAACAAAACCUUUUGUUUUUCUAAAGCCCAGCUAAGCAUCAAAAAGCUUUUAUAAAACAGGUGAUUAAGGAAGGUAAUCAAAUUCAAGGAAGGUAAUGCAGGAAUGGUUUUAUCAAGCAACUCCUAUCACCUAAUGCAGCAAUCAAGUGAGAAAGAUUUUAAAAUAGCAAGGAAGGUGGCAAAUGCACCGGGGCUUGCCUUCGUUCACAGGUGAAUCAGGCUCAGAUCCACAGAUGUCAAAGUAGAAAUGAUUCCCGGCCUGAGACUCCGAAGGUGGUGGUGGUGUCCUGUCUUCGGUGACUUCUACCUCUUCUUCACGUUCUAAUCAUAACCAUACAUAUGUAUAAGAAUGGAUGCCAUGGGAUGCUCAUGAGGAUGCAAAGAUAACAUAAACUUAUUAUUUAUGUCUUGAAUACAACUUGCCUUCACGGAGUUCCGGGAACUUAGGGUUUCCGGAGUCGGUAAAGGAGUUCAUAGGGCAGGGGGGGUGUUUUGGGGUUUGGUGAUCAAACAAGGUCCAAAUCCAUCCAAACUUUACCCAAGGUCUCUAAAUAUUGUGAAAAGCUCACAUAAAAAGUUUGAGAAAUUUUGGGAUUAUUAUCUAAUUUCUAAAAAUCCAGAACUGUUAGUUUAAGCUAUUUUAAAUGCCUCAAAAUUUCUUAUUUCCACUAAAAAUCACAAAAUUAUUUUUAUUAAAUUCUAGGGAAAAUACCAAGCCUAGGAAAAUUGGUUUCAUAAUUUUAGGAUUUUUCUACAUUUUUCUAUAAUUGUUGGAGUUCUGCUGGAAAAAGAAAAAGAUAAAGAUUGAACAGUAUCGGGCCAGAAACAGCCCAAAUGGCCCAAGCCUAAGGAAAAUGCGCGCGCACCUGCGCCCGCGCUGGUGGCUUUACAGAAAAGCCCCCGAUGUUUCGGCUAACUAGGAACAGGUUCAUUCACUGUUUUCGCAAGUCACUGACGCUUUGCACAGGGGUCCUCCAACUUCUGUUUCUUCGCACUGGGAGGUCCCCGACGGUGUUCAAGUGCGGCUGAGCUCCGGCGAGCUACUGCACCGGCCGAUUGAGGCUAAGACUGGCGCUCAGCUUCGGCUGAGACCAAAUCCGAGUCCGUAUGAAUGUUUCCCCCAACUUAAUUUCACCAAUCACGUACUAAAACUCCCUGGCCACGGCGACAGUGCGGUAGACCAAAGGAAUAGCACGUUCCCGAUUAUCUAAGGCAACUCGGUUCAAAUGGGUGGGUCAAGGAGCAUGAGGAGGGCCUAGGGACGCUAGAACAAGAGACGGAGAGCCUUGGACGAACCUGAGUUAGGCUGGCCGCGGUGAGGGUGUUCUUGCGGUGGCGCAAACCGAAUUUGGGGAAAUUGCGAAAUUCACGCUUGCUAGCGAUCAACUGGGGACAAUAGUGGGUGUCGGGGUGCUUGACUACCCUACGGAGCUUGCAGUGGCUUCAAUUUAUAGGCAGCGGCCGCGAGGACAACGAAUUUGAGCGGCGGAUCGUGAUCUGUAACACGGGGUGAGUCACUGGUGGCCGCGCAACGUGGCUUUUACCGUGGCGGUACCUCCAGCGAUCACCGGACAUGCGAAGCACGGUUAGCCGCGACGUGGUAAAGCGUCCGGACACGCGGCGGAUGACGGUGAUGGUUCAACGGCGGUAAGAAUCUUAUCCGAGGGAUCGGUGAGCAAGGGGGAAUGGACUACGGCGGGCCGAGGUGGCAUCCAGCUCACCGGCGGCAAAGAUUUUUACCGGGCGGAACUUAUCCGAUGGCCACGGCGCACGAAUCUCGGCGACCGGCAAUCAACGACGACGGCCACCGGCGACGAGCACGGGAUGGGAUCUUUUUCAGUUUAACCGUACUGUACCAUGGCGUUUCAUUCAGAUGACCCUGACAGUGCAUUUUGAAGCUCAAUUUACUCCUAAUUUUGGGUGAAACCUAUGCCAACUUUCUGCAACAAAGUUGUAGAGCUAUAACCCAUCUAUAACUUUGAUACAAUGUGCUUCCACAAAAAGUCACUGGAUCCCAUUCAUAAUCGAGCUCAAAGUUCAUCCCAUCACACUGCUACUGAAAAUUCAGUUCAGAGAUUGACUGACAGCCCGACUUUGAGCUUAAUUAUCUCUCAAAUACUCUUAACAACUAUGCUUUCAACCUUAAGCAAAGUUGUUCUCCUAAUAUUGAUCUUCAACUUUGAUGUGGUCACCUAGGGCAAAAACUCUAUGCUUUGAAAGUCACAAGGGCUCAAAGUUGUGCUCACAACACUGAUUUCAGACUUAGGCUAUAUAGAGGUCAAGUGGUACUUUUUGCAAAUAAACCCAAAACUUAGGGUUUUGCUUUCAAGUCCACAUAUUUGUGAACCAAAGGACUUAAGAUACUUAUUUGGCUUGGUUUUUGCACUUUAGUCCAAAAGUGGACUAAUUUUGCAUAUAAGCCCCUAGGGUUUGGUUUCAGGGUUUUCCAGGGUUCCAAUUAGGGUUUCUGGUAUCCCAGGGGUAUAAAAGUGAUUCAAGUUUAUUUUUGGGGUCAUUUUAUGACUUUUACCCUAAAGCUUUUAGAUUUUCUCAACUUGGGUUAAGUUUUACCCCUUUAACCACUAUUUAGGGUUAAGUCCAUUAACCAGGGUUCCAUUUGCAAAAACAUUAAAACAAUACAACUUGUUUGAAAUUUUUGCCUAGUGAAUGCACUCUAGAUGUGUCAAACAUAUGUAAUGCCAAUGCUUAUGAUGCCAUGCUCAAGUUUUAGUUAUAGUAACACCAGGGGUGUUACAUCCUUCCCCCUAUAAAAGAAUCUCGUCCCGAGAUUAAAAUCCUAGGGUAGGUAAUGGUAAAGAAAACACAUCACAUUUUUAUUUCCUUAAUUUUGGUAUAAGGCAGGGGUAAUGUGGGGGUUACUUCUUUAUUACAAUAGCUAUACAGGCUUUACAAUUUACAUGAGGCUAAAAAGCCUGGGAAAUUCUUAUCUAAGAAGUCUUGGGUUUCCCAUGUAGCCUCAUCUUCCGAAUGCUGGUUCCACUGUAUCUUGUAGAAUUUGAGAGUCUUUCUUCGGGUGACCCUGUCCUUUUGAUCCAGAACUCGAAUAGGAUGUUCCGAGUACGUUAAAUCUGGUUCCAGGACAACAUCAGUCACUUCAACGGUUCGAUCAGGAACCCGAAGACACUUCUUCAAUUGUGACACGUGGAACACAUUGUGCACAGCAGACAAUGUUUCGGGGAGCUAAAGUCGGUAUGCCACUGGUCCACAUUGCUCAAGCACCAGGAAUGGACCAAUGUACCUGGGUGCAAGUUUCCCUUUAACCCCGAAACGCGAUACACCCUUCAUUGGUGAGACCUUCAGGUAAACAUAGUCUCCUUCCAGGAAAUAUAAGGGCCUUCGCCGUAUGUCUGCAUAACUCUUCUGACGAGCUUGUGCCUUUUUCAUAUUAUGAAUAAUUCUCUGAACCUUUUCUUCGACCUCUUUCACCAUAUCAGGCCUAAAGAAAUAUCUUUCUCUAGGUUCAGACCAAUUUAGCGGAGUUCGACACCGACGUCCAUAUAAAGCUUCAAAAGGUGCCAUCUUGAUACUUUCUUGAUAACUGUUAUUGUAUGAAAACUCCGCCAAAGGCAAACAUUCAUCCCAUUUUUGCGAGAAGUCCAGAACACAUGUCCGCAGCAUAUCUUCAAGCAUUUGAUUCACUCUCUCAGUUUGUCCACUGGUUUGAGGAUGAUAGGCCGAACUGUGGAGUAAUUUGGUACCCAAGGAUUUAUGAAGUUCUUCCCAAAACUUGGAUACGAACUGAGGUCCACGAUCCGACACUAUGGUCUUUGGAACACCAUGCAAACUGAGAAUACGGGCAAUGUAUAACUCCGCAUAGGUAAUGACGGGAUAUUUAACUUUGACAGGGAGGAAGUGGGCGAUCUUUGUGAGUCGAUCAAUAAUAACCCAAAUAGAGUCAUACCCCUUUGCUGUCCUGGGUAGUCCCACAAUAAAAUCCAUACUGAUGUCCUCCCAUUUCCAUGUUGGGAUUGGCAAGGAUUGUAAUGGACCAGCAGUUUUCAUGUGUAUGGCCUUGACACGUCUGCAAGUGUCACACUUAGCCACAUAGCGUGCAAUUUCAAUCUUCAUCUUUGUCCACCAGUAGUGUUGCUUUAAGUCUUGAUACAUCUUAGUGCUUCCGGGAUGAAUAGAAUAACGACUAAGAUGUGCUUCAUCAAGAAUUUGCUGGCGGAGCUCUUCAUUCUUUGGCACUACUAUGCGGUUUUUAAACCAUAUCACACCUUGAUCAUCUUCCUUGAAACACUUGGCUACUCCAGCCUUUAUCUUCUCUCGAAUGUGCUUCAUACCCAGAUUAUCCUUUUGAGCAUCAAUUAUUCUUUGCAAAAUGAUUGACUCAAGCUUUAACUGAUUUAGAGUCCCUUGUUGGAUGAUUCCCAGGUUUAGCUUUUCCAUUUCCUGACACAAAGUGUUCUCGGAGGUCUUCGCCAUAAGACAGUGGCAGGAAGUCUUACGACUCAACGCAUCUGCCACCACAUUGGCUUUACCUGGGUGAUAAUGGAUCUCCAGUUCAUAGUCUUUAAUGAGCUCAAGCCAUCGUCUUUGCCUCAUAUUUAACUCUGACUGGGUGAAGAUGUACUUCAGACUUUUAUGAUCUGUAUAUAUGUGACAGAUAUUACCCAGCAGAUAGUGACGCCAAAUCUUUAGGGCAUGAACCACAGCAGCUAGCUCCAGAUCAUGAGUUGGAUAGUGCUCCUCAUGUCGGCACAACUGCCUUGAAGCAUACGCAAUCACUCGGCCCUCUUGCAUCAGUACACAGCCGAGUCCACUGCCAGACGCAUCACAAUACACGUCAAAAGGUUUAGUGAUGUCCGGUUGAGCCAAUACCGGAGCAGUGGUCAAUAGUGUCUUCAGUUGCUCAAAGGCUUCGUUACACUUAGAAGACCAAUUGAACUUAAUGUCAUUCUUCAACAAACUUGUGAUUGGCUUCACAAGCUUAGAAAAAUCUGGUAUGAAUCUGCGAUAAUACCCAGCUAGUCCAAGAAAACUCCGGACUUGAUGAACAGUUGUUGGGGGUUUCCACUCCAGAAUAUCUUUGACCUUGCUAGGAUCUACCGCAAUUCCUUUAGCCGAUAACACGUGCCCCAAAAAUUGAAUUUCUUCCAGCCAGAACGCGCACUUACUAAACUUGGCAUAUAGUUGAUGUUCCCUGAGGCGCGUCAAUACAAUCCGUAAAUGCUGAGCAUGGUCCAGCUUCCUCCUCAGCAGGUGGUGCAGGCUCACUUGGGUGUAGUUGUGAGUAUAGUAUAUGGACUUCCUCGUGCAACGUGUUGCAGUAAACCUGCAGGUUAUAAACAGUCGAGCUAAGUUCUUUAACUCGGGCCUGAGCCCUUGCUUCCUUAGCACACAUUAGCAAACGAGACUGUACGGCCCAGUCAAGUGCUAAGUCUCGAUCAGCGAGUUGAUCCUGCAAGUGUCGGAUGUCCCUUCUCAGUUCGUUGAUUCUAUCACCGUCAGCGACCCAAGCAUCAGUCCUAUGUUGAAGCGCUGCUUGAAGUCGACUCACACGAGCUUCAAGGUCUCCGAUAGGGUCGUUACUUCCACUGCUGCUACUUUCAUGUCGGGGAGCCAAUUGAUGCCGAGGCACCCCAAUUGGUCCCGUAGACUUGCGUGCCGUUAGCCUGGUACAUGGCGGCAUCUUUUCUAAGGGGGAAAAUGUUAUUAGAAUAGUGCUUAGCAUGAUGCAUGUAUAAUUACAGAAUCAACCUUAGUCGAUUCAACCUUCUAUAUGUUGCACUCUUCCUAUCUGGUCUUUAAGAUAGACUUCUUCAGAAUACUUAGGUAAGAAGAGAAAAGAAUUUUAGGUAAGACUUUCGAAAAUUCUUUUGAAGAUGCCUCAUAAUAUCUGCCAAGAAGGGCUACGCUCCGAUACCAGCUGUGACAGAACCUCCCAAGUAAUUAGGCCCACCUACAGUUGUCCUUGUCUAACAGACAUCAGACACCCUGUAGAUGUUCCUAAGUCACUUGACAAGUUCGGUAUCUUUCCUUACCUUACCAGGAACGUUUCACCCGUCUUGCAGACAUUACAGAACAUCGGAGAUAAAGAAAUGCGGAAGCGAAUUACAUAAACUUACAUUUUAUUUCAAAAGCAAGCUUGAGUUAUUUUUAUUACAGACCAGACUAAAAGUGAGUGCAGAGCAGUAUUAUACAAACCAAGGGAGGCACAAACUCCUCCCGAUAAGCAAAAGAUCCUAAGUGGAGGACCGAGUCCUCCCGCACUUCAGUCUUGUUUUUCCUCGUUAGGUACCACCUUGGAGCAAAAGCAACAAAAGUUUGUCGCUUCCUCACCUAAAAACAACAAAGGGAUAAACCCUGAGUAUGGAAUACUCAGCAAGUCUUACCCGACUAAGGAAAAGACUCUCAAGGGUAUGCUGGAUAAAUAGGAGUCAAGGAGAGGCUUUAGCAAAAAUCAACUUAUACUUUUGCAGAAGUAGCUUACUAAAGUGAGUCCUUACUUUCAGUCUUUUAACGCCAUGUUAAGUAUUAAUAGACUCCAUUUGCAUCUAGUCUAAUUUCGCAUCACAUCAAGACAACAUCAUUUUUAUCCAUCGUGUUCACAUCCUGACUCUAGGUUGCAGGGAAGUGACCAAGUCUUCAUAACCGCGAAGGUACGGCGAUCCGAAUCGAUUAUACUCAGCUGAGGAUCUCCAAUCACACGACAUAUGUAGCACUUAACCCUUGCAUAUGUCAACCCGCCACCGGGGUUCUUAAGACCGGAUCAGGUUCACGCAAACCGAGAGCACAGAUACACCACCGUCCAGCCUCUUGCCACGGAGGGUACACGCUACUCUCGCCACCGCUCCACGCCCAUUUCGUGUUAUCUUAUUCCGGCCUUAGUCUGCCCGAGGCAAGGCUUACCCAUGAGGAGGCAUGUGACCAGUUAAAGGGUCCUCGAUCAUCAAGCCUACAUCGACAAGGUCCUUAAUUGACUCAGACGGAGACACUACACCGAGACUCUCUUCUCGUGCAAGUCACCCGCCCGGUCUCAGCUUAAUCAUUUCAAACCCAAAGCUUGGUACCUGACAGAGGUACAUCUUUUCCGAUGUUGAACCCAUCAAGGCCUUUGAUAGAUCCAUCAUCAAGUUUUGUUUUUGAAAAACAUCCCACCCACUUUUGCCACAUCAUAUUUUGUAAAAACAAAACCUUUUGUUUUUCUAAAGCCCAGCUAAGCAUCAAAAAGCUUUUAUAAAACAGGUGAUUAAGGAAGGUAAUCAAAUUCAAGGAAGGUAAUGCAGGAAUGGUUUUAUCAAGCAACUCCUAUCACCUAAUGCAGCAAUCAAGUGAGAAAGAUUUUAAAAUAGCAAGGAAGGUGGCAAAUGCACCGGGGCUUGCCUUCGUUCACAGGUGAAUCAGGCUCAGAUCCACAGAUGUCAAAGUAGAAAUGAUUCCCGGCCUGAGACUCCGAAGGUGGUGGUGGUGUCCUGUCUUCGGUGACUUCUACCUCUUCUUCACGUUCUAAUCAUAACCAUACAUAUGUAUAAGAAUGGAUGCCAUGGGAUGCUCAUGAGGAUGCAAAGAUAACAUAAACUUAUUAUUUAUGUCUUGAAUACAACUUGCCUUCACGGAGUUCCGGGAACUUAGGGUUUCCGGAGUCGGUAAAGGAGUUCAUAGGGCAGGGGGGGUGUUUUGGGGUUUGGUGAUCAAACAAGGUCCAAAUCCAUCCAAACUUUACCCAAGGUCUCUAAAUAUUGUGAAAAGCUCACAUAAAAAGUUUGAGAAAUUUUGGGAUUAUUAUCUAAUUUCUAAAAAUCUAGAACUGUUAGUUUAAGCUAUUUUAAAUGCCUCAAAAUUUCUUAUUUCCACUAAAAAUCACAAAAUUAUUUUUAUUAAAUUCUAGGGAAAAUACCAAGCCUAGGAAAAUUGGUUUCAUAAUUUUAGGAUUUAUCUACAAUUUUCUAUAAUUGUUGGAGUUCUGCUGGAAAAAGAAAAAGAUAAAGAUUGAACAGUAUCGGGCCAGAAACAGCCCAAAUGGCCCAAGCCUAAGGAAAAUGCGCGCGCACCUGCGCCCGCGCUGGUGGCUUUACAGAAAAGCCCCCGAUGUUUCGGCUAACUAGGAACGGGUUCAUUCACUGUUUUCGCAAGUCACUGACGCUUUGCACAGGGGUCCUCCAACUUCUGUUUCUUCGCACUGGGAGGUCCCCGACGGUGUUCAAGUGCGGCUGAGCUCCGGCGAGCUACUGCACCGGCCGAUUGAGGCUAAGACUGGCGCUCAGCUUCGGCUGAGACCAAAUCCGAGUCCGUAUGAAUGUUUCCCCCAACUUAAUUUCACCAAUCACGUACUAAAACUCCCUGGCCACGGCGACAGUGCGGUAGACCAAAGGAAUAGCACGUUCCCGAUUAUCUAAGGCAACUCGGUUCAAAUGGGUGGGUCAAGGAGCAUGAGGAGGGCCUAGGGACGCUAGAACAAGAGACGGAGAGCCUUGGACGAACCUGAGUUAGGCUGGCCGCGGUGAGGGUGUUCUUGCGGUGGCGCAAACCGAAUUUGGGGAAAUUGCGAAAUUCACGCUUGCUGGCGAUCAACUGGGGACAAUAGUGGAUGUCGGGGUGCUUGACUACCCUACGGAGCUUGCGGUGGCUUCAAUUUAUAGGCAGCGGCCGCGAGCACAACGAAUUUGAGCGGCGGAUCGUGAUCUGUAACACGGGGUGAGUCACUGGUGGCCGCGCAACGUGGCUUUUACCGUGGCGGUACCUCCGGCGAUCACCGGACAUGCGAAGCACGGUUAGCCGCGACAUGGUAAAGCGUCCGGACACGCGGCGGAUGACGGUGAUGGUUCAACGGCGGUAAGAAUCUUAUCCGAGGGAUCGGUGAGCAAGGGGGAAUGGACUACGGCGGGCCGAGGUGGCAUCCAGCUCACCGGCGGCAAAGAUUUUUACCGGGCGGAACUUAUCCGAUGGCCACGGCGCACGAAUCUCGGCGACCGGCAAUCAACGACGACGGCCACCGGCGACGAGCACGGGAUGGGAUCUUUUUCAGUUUAACCGUACUGUACCAUGGCGUUUCAUUCAGAUGACCCUGACAGUGCAUUUUGAAGCUCAAUUUACUCCUAAUUUUGGGUGAAACCUAUGCCAACUUUCUGCAACAAAGUUGUAGAGCUAUAACCCAUCUAUAACUUUGAUACAAUGUGCUUCCACAAAAAGUCACUGGAUCCCAUUCAUAAUCGAGCUCAAAGUUCAUCCCAUCACACUGCUACUGAAAAUUCAGUUCAGAGAUUGACUGACAGCCCGACUUUGAGCUUAAUUAUCUCUCAAAUACUCUUAACAACUAUGCUUUCAACCUUAAGCAAAGUUGUUCUCCUAAUAUUGAUCUUCAACUUUGAUGUGGUCACCUAGGGCAAAAACUCUAUGCUUUGAAAGUCACAAGGGCUCAAAGUUGUGCUCACAACACUGAUUUCAGACUUAGGCUAUAUAGAGGUCAAGUGGUACUUUUUGCAAAUAAACCCAAAACUUAGGGUUUUGCUUUCAAGUCCACAUAUUUGUGAACCAAAGGACUUAAGAUACUUAUUUGGCUUGGUUUUUGCACUUUAGUCCAAAAGUGGACUAAUUUUGCAUAUAAGCCCCUAGGGUUUGGUUUCAGGGUUUUCCAGGGUUCCAAUUAGGGUUUCUGGUAUCCCAGGGGUAUAAAAGUGAUUCAAGUUUAUUUUUGGGGUCAUUUUAUGACUUUUACCCUAAAGCUUUUAGAUUUUCUCAACUUGGGUUAAGUUUUACCCCUUUAACCACUAUUUAGGGUUAAGUCCAUUAACCAGGGUUCCAUUUGCAAAAACAUUAAAACAAUACAACUUGUUUGAAAUUUUUGCCUAGUGAAUGCACUCUAGAUGUGUCAAACAUAUGCAAUGCCAAUGCUUAUGAUGCCAUGCUCAAGUUUUAGUUAUAGUAACACCAGGGGUGUUACAAACGGGGUCAUCACCGUUGGCCCCAUGUACCGACACGCGUACGAAUGCGACGUGGAGUGCGUGGAAUACGCCGAGGCCCUCGCCGAAUCCGAGGCCCUCAUCGCCGACUUGGAGAGCCUCUCCAAAGAGGCGCCAAACAGGAAGCACCAUGCCGGCAACUUCGAGCCAGCAGAGACGGUUAAGUCCGUCCCUCUCGACCCCAGCAACGACACCUCCAAGCAGAUACGGAUCGGCUCCGAGCUCGACCCCAAAUAGGAAGCAGUGCUCAUCGACUUUCUCCGCGCGAACGCUGAAGUCUUUGCAUGGAUUCCCUCGGACAUGCCUGGCAUACCGAGGGAUGUCGUCGAGCACUCGCUGGAUAUCCGAGCUGGAUCCCGACCCGUGAAGCAGCCCCUGCGCCGUUUCGACGAAGAAAAGCACAGGGCCAUAUGCGAGGAGAUCCACAAGCUGAUGGCUGCAGGGUUCAUCAAAGAGGUAUUCCAUCCCGAAUGGCUUGCCAACCCUGUGCUUGUGAGAAAGAAAGGAGGGAAAUGGCGGAUGUGUGUAGACUACACUGGUCUAAACAAAGCAUGUCCGAAGGUUCCCUACCCUCUGCCUCGCAUCGAUCAAAUCGUGGGUUCCGCUGCUGGGUGCGAGACCCUGUCUUUCCUCGAUGCCUACUCAGGGUAUCACCAAAUCAGGAUGAAAGAGUCCGACCAGCUCGCGACUUCUUUCAUCACACCUUUUGGCAUGUACUGCUGCGUUACUAUGCCAUUUGGUUUGAGGAAUGCGGGUGCGACAUACCAAAGGUGCAUGAACCACGUGUUCGGAGAGCAUAUUGGUCGAACGGUCGAGGCUUACGUCGAUGACAUCGCAGUCAAGACGAGGAAAGCCUCCGACCUCCUCUCCGACCUUCAAACGACAUUCCGGUGUCUCAAGGCGAAAGGCGUGAAACUCAAUCCCGAGAAGUGUGUCUUCGGAGUCCCCCGAGGCAUGCUUUUGGGGUUCAUCGUCUCCGAGCGGGGCAUCGAGGCCAACCCAGAGAAAAUCGCGGCCAUCACCAACAUGGGGCCCAUCAAGGACUUGCAAGACGUACAGAGGGUCAUGGGAUGCCUUGCAACUCUGAGCCGCUUCAUCCCGUGCCUCGGCAAAAGAGGCCUACCUCUGUACCGCCUCUUAAGGAAGACCGAGCGCUUCACUUGGACCCCCGAGGCCGAGGAAGCCCUCGGCAACCUGAAGGCGCUCCUCACAAACGCGCCCAUCUUGGUGCCCCCGCUGCCGGAGAAGCCCUCUUGAUCUACGUCGCCGCUACCACUCAGGUGGUCAGCGCUGCGAUCGUGGUUGAGAGACAAGAAGAGGGGCAUGCAUUGCCUGUCCAGAGGCCGGUCUACUUCGUCAGUGAGGUACUGUCCGAGACUAAGAUCCGCUACCCACAAAUUCAGAAGCUGUUGUACGCGGUGAUUCUGACGCGGCGGAAGUUGCGACACUACUUCGAGUCUCAUCCGGUGACUGUGGUGUCAUCCUUCCCCCUGGGGGAGAUCAUCCAGUGCCGAGAGGCCUCGGGUAGGAUUGCAAAGUGGGCGGUGGAAAUCAUGGGCGAGACAAUCUCGUUCGCCCCUCGGAAGGCCAUCAAGUCCCAAGUCUUGGUAGACUUUGUGGCUGAAUGGGUCGACACCCAGCUUCCAGCAGCUCCGAUCCAACCGGAACUCUGGACCAUGUUUUUCGACGGGUCGCUGAUGAAAACAGGGGCAGGCGCGGGCCUGCUCUUCAUCUCGCCCCUCGAGAAGCACCUCCGCUAUGUGCUGCGCCUCCAUUUCCCGGCGUCCAACAACGUGGCUGAGUACGAGGCUCUGGUCAACAGGUUGCGCAUCGCCAUCGAGCUAGGGGUUCGACGCCUCGACGCUCGCGGUGACUCGCAGCUUGUCAUGGACCAAGUCAUGAAGAACUCCCACUGCCGCGACCCGAAGAUGGAAGCCUACUGCGACGAGGUUCGGCGCCUGGAAGACAAGUUCUAUGGGCUCGAGGUCAACCACGUCGCCCGACGAUACAACGAGACUGCGGACGAGCUGGCUAAGAUAGCCUCGGGGCGAACAACGGUUCCCCCGGACGUCUUCUCCCGAGACCUACAUCAACCCUCAGUCAAGACCGACGACACACCCGAGCCCGAGAAGGCCUCGGCCCAGCCCGAGGCACCCUCGGCUCAGCCCGAGGCACCCUCAGCCCCCGAGGGUGAGGCACUGCGCGUCGAGGAAGAGCGGAAUGGGGUCCCGCCUAAUCGAGACUGGCAGACCCCGUACCUGCAAUAUCUCCACCGAGGUGAGCUGCCCCCCGACCGAGCCGAAGCUCGGCGACUGGCGCGGCACGCUAAGUCGUUCGUCUUGUUGGGGGACGGGAAGGAGCCCUACCACUGCAGCCCCUUAGGCAUCCUCCAGCGAUGCAUAACCAUCGCCGGAGGCCAGGAGCUCUUACAAGAAAUACACUCGGGGGCUUGCGGUCAUCACGCAGCGCCUCGAGCCCUUGUUGGAAACGCUUUCCGACAAGGUUUCUACUGGCCGACCGCGGUGGCCGACGCCACUAGAAUUGUCCGCACCUGCCAAGGGUGUCAAUUCUACGCAAGGCAGACCCACCUGCCCGCUCAGGCUCUGCAGACAAUACCCAUCACCUGGUCGUUUGCUGUGUGGGGUCUGGACCUCGUCGGUCCCUUGCAAAAGGCACCCGGGGGCUACACGCACCUGCUGGUCGCCAUCAACAAGUUCUCCAAGUGGAUCGAGGUCCGACCCCUAAACAACAUCAGGUCCGAACAGGCGGUGGCGUUCUUCACCAACAUCAUCCAUCACUUUGGGGUCCCGAACUCUAUCAUCACCGACAACGGCACCCAGUUCACCGGCAGAAAGUUCCUGGACUUCUGCGAGGAUCACCAUAUCCGGGUGGACUGGGCCGCCGUGGCUCACCCCAUGACGAAUGGGCAGGUAGAACGUGCCAACGGCAUGAUUCUGCAAGGACUCAAGCCGAGGAUCUACAACGACCUCAACAAGUUCGGCAGGCGAUGGAUGAAGGAACUCCCCUCGGUGGCUUGGAGUCUGAGGACAACGCCGAGCCGAGCCACGGGCUUCACACCAUUCUUUCUAGUCUAUGGGGCCGAGGCCAUCUUGUCCACAGACUUGGAAUACGGUUCCCCGAGGACGAGGGCGUAUGACGACCAAAGCAAUCGAACCAACCGAGAAGACUCACUGGACCAGCUGGAAGAGGCUCGGGACAUGGCCUUACUACACUCGGCGCGAUAUCAGUAGUCCCUGCGACGUUAACACGCUCGAGGGGUUCGGUCCCGAGACCUCCAGGUGGGCGACUUGGUGCUUCAGCUACGACAAGACGCCCGAGGGCGGCACAAGCUCACGCCUCCCUGGGAAGGGUCGUUCGUCAUCGCCAAGGUUCUGAAGCCCGGGACAUACAAGCUGGCCAACAGUCAAGGAGAGGUCUACAGCAACGCUUGGAACAUCCAACAGCUAUGUCGCUUCUACCCUUAAGAUGCUUUCAAGUCGAUUCGUACACCUCGUUCACAUACAAAGUCUAACCAUCAAGGAAGGGUCAGCCUUGCCUCGGCAAAGCCCGACCGUCCCUCGGGGGCUAGAAGGGGGGAACCCCCUCUGCGUCAAAAUUUUCCUCGGAAAAGGUCUUUCUGCCAGAACGUCUUUUGUGCUUUUCGACUACUUCGAAAGUGGGAUCCUAAAAACGACGGAGUACACGUAAGCAGGACCGAGCCGAGGGACUCCUACGCCUCCGGGAUACGGAUACCUCAUUCAUCACCUUCUGCGAUAAGUAACUCAUGCUCGGAUAAGCGAUUCCGCUGACCGAACAAGUCUUAAUGCUCGGAAACCUUUUUGCCGAAACGGUUUUUCGGGUUUUCUCGGCUACAUCGAUAGCAGAAUCCUACGGAUGAGUAAGAGUACACGUAAGCGGCAAGGCCGACCGAGCCCAGGGACUCCUACGCCUCCAGGAUACGGAUACCUCACUCAUCACCUUCCGUGAAAAGUAACUCUCACUCGGACAAACAAAUCUAUUACCGACAAAUAAGUCCAGAUACUCGAAACGGGGGGAAAAGAAACGCAGCUUUACAACACAACGAUGAUAUGUUUGGGCCUCGGCGGCCGCAGAAAACAUACGCACGCUACGAGAUGAACCGAUCCUGCAGGCUCAGACGUCGAUGGAGGGGGAGCAGCGACACCCUCGGCGUCAACUCCACCUUUGGCGAAGUCCGACCGAGCCUCGGACGGCAACACAGGCGAAGGAUCUCGCUUCGAAGGACGACGUCAGCGCCACGCCUGGGCUAUCGCCGCCAGGGUCUCCUCCAGGAAUCCGGCCCGAGCAGACGGCUCGUCCGGCCGCCCCGAAGCCUCAGCCAGCUGUCCCCCGAGGACAUCAGCCCAGCUCAUGGCCUCGGCAACUCGACUCUAGCGCUGGUCCCGCCAGUGGACGGCCCGGCCAGGCUCCGGCCGACGAAGUCUUCUUUUCGAGCCAACUCUGCCUCUGUCCACACUGACACCGCUGCCUCCGGCUCCGGCUCAUCAAAGAGCGGCCGAGGGUUCCUUUAACUAAGCAAGAGAAGCCUCGAGCGGCAAGGCCGACCAAGCCGAGGGACUCCUACGCCUCCGGGAUACGGAUACCUCACUCGUCACCUUCGCACGAGGCAACUCACACAUGGUGAAGUGGUUCAGUUAGCCGACAGGCGAGUCCUAGUGCUCGAAAUGAGGAAAAAAACACGGCUUCAUGCCAAAAAUACAUACAUGUUCAGGCCCCAACAGCCACAAUGAACAAACACCGGCACUCAAGGUGCCAUUACAAAUGGAACUCCGGUUCUGCCCCCGCAGGUACGAACAACCCCCCACAUUGGAGGGCCUGUGGGGCGACGAAACCCCUGGUGGCUCGCCGACGCCCGCUCCGGUAGCAGCGACAACGACCUCCGCUUCAGGUGGCCAGACAGCAGCAGCGAUGGCCUCAGGGCGGACGCUGCCGCAACAAGGCCCCCGCCCACGUCCCCACUCGAGGGGCGAGGACAAGCUAUCAAAGCCAAAGAGCCGGAGGCCCGGAGCACGGAUGGUGGCGGUGACCCCAUCGGCGACGAGGACUUCUUCAGCCGCCACCACCUCAGCGCCGACGACGGAAGCCAUCUGACCACCGGCAGAUCCCCACUCGGAUCCUCCCGGACGGGCGAACACCGACCUCUGCGCAGAGGCGCCGUACUGGGGCAAAGGCAACUCUCCCCACUUGCAUCCUCAGUCGUCGUGGGCUGAGUCCUCUCCAACACGCUCCAAGGUCCUCCCCCUACGACACGGGGGCUGGGUCCCACGCGUCAUGCAAGCUGGCCCAGGGCAGAAGAAGCCAAACCGCCGUGCGUGGCGCGCGUAACUGCCCAGCGGUUACAAGCGCUCCUCCACUUUUGCCCAAACCAGCAGGUGAAAGGGCGGACCGCCAUGCAGGCGGCAUGCAACCGCACCAAGGGGGCGCACCCUUUCGACUUCGACGCGUCCAGCAUGGAGGCCCAGGCCCACAUGUCAUGUAACCGGCGCGUCGGUUACUACGUGCGAGAAACUGCACCACCGCUCGCGCCAGUAUCGCGCCUUCUCGACUGCGGGACCGGUGCCGUGACUCGAGGCGACCUUGCGCAUGACCCGACAGUGCCAACCGAGCACGUCGGUCACGGGUCAGUCAGCUGCGGGAGAAGGCGCGACGGUCGAUACGACCAGAAAUGGGCCGACAGUAAUGGCGGUGGCAGGCGGGCGGAAGCAGCAGUCAAGUCGUCAGCAGGCUCACAUCCCCUCCUGGGACAGCGGGAGAGCCCUCUCCCACGACGUGAAGACGACGCGCCCGUUUUCCGUUCCCCGAACAGCUCGCGCACGCACAACGGCUGCCCCACGAACCACUCGUCCCGUCGCAUUAACUCUGCGGCAGGACAGGCGGCACCGUUGGCAGGCGAAGCAGGCGACGCAUCACCUCCGCCAUGAUGACCGCGUCAAAAAAGGUGUGCCACGUCAUUCGAUUUCGUAUCCUUUUCCACUUCCUCUUUCUCUCUCUUGCCACAGGGACCGGGAAAGGGGAUACUCCGAAAGGGAUCCUUCUCCACGAAGGAAGCGGGCCCCGAGCCCCCCUACUGAUCAUAGGUUCGAAGGCUGGACCCUCGGAAGGGUUCAACAGCUGUGUUGGGGACUUGUUCUCAAAUGCUAUGAAUUAAGAACAAGGCAACGUAAAAUGUUAAAUAUCAAUGCCCUUCGUCCGCCGAAGCAUUAUUUCCACAAGGAUUUAAUGAACCUCGGACGAAGGUCACAGGCAUAAUGUUACGAAGGUUUUCACCUUCGUAAGUGAGCUUAUAAAAAUAAUACAAAGUAAAGUAAAACAUGAAAUAUUAAAGUUAAAUACAUUGAAAAUAAACGACAUCAUUCACAUAUCUUAUUAAAUGAAUUUAUAAUAUCCGAAUACAAUGUUUAGGUACAUUUAUACCUUUGCCUUUAACAAACAAUAAUUCCCGAGUGGUGCGUUAGCAAUUACAGGAAUGCCUGAACAGUAAAGGAAUACUGUUCACUAUUUAUAGGCACAGGACACAGCUCAUGAGGAAUUACAAUUAUGCCCCACAUAAAAGUUUACAACAAUGACUCAGACCCUUAUGGGCUAAAAGGUCAUUCUAUCUUUAAGUCAGUUCGACCCUUCGUCUUCGGAUAUGCUGUAGUUCCGAAGCUUUGUGAACGGUGUCUUCGGCAUCAUGUUCAAGCAGCUUCAGCCGAAGCUGUUUCUUUCCCCAGGACCUUCGGCGACGAAGCAUGGUCCCAACAGUAGCCCCUUCGCGGUGCUAGAUCGUUUUUCGUAACGAGCUUGAUCUGUGAAAAAAGUCUCUUAGGCUUCAGGAAGCCGAAGGUCCGAAAAACACCUUCCCUGAGCUCGUUGUCGAGAAACGAUACAGUUUCCGAGCGCAGAGCGGUCCCACCGUGCAGGUUUACUAUUUGGUUUUUGCGGCCCACCGUGCAGCGGGUGCGAGCAACUGUUUGCCUGGUGUAAAAGUCCUGAUGAUUCACCUUCUUACCUGCAGCACUAUAUAAACAGACAGGUAGGUGUGAAGUUACCACAUCAUUCAUUGCUAUUGCACUGUUUUGCUGCCAAAAAUUUUAACCAUAGCCGAAGCUUAACUUUCGCGUUCAAACAAAGCUCCUGUUUGGUGUUUGCUUCGUCAGAAGAAGAGCUUCGGAAGAAAAGGUUAUUAAUUUCCAAGAAAUUUUUUAAGAAAUUCAAAAUUAAAUGGCCAGAGUGCGCUCUACUGCUAGAGUUGAGCACGAGGGAGACGAAGCCGAAGGUGCGGAAACUGUUCCUAUCUCUAAAGCAAUGAAGCGAUCUGGAUUGAUGACAUCGGAAGACAUCCCUGCUGCUGAAGCAGAACAAGCAGAUAUUGAGGAGGUUGAUUCUGACGGUGAUUACAAUAUUGCAGUACCGAGCAAGCCUAGUCAUCUGGACUUCGGGAAGUCGACCAUCUCGAAGGCUGAUUUCCCAAAGAUGGUGAAGUCGGGCUACUUUAGCGAAGAUGAGAAAAAGAUGAUUCGUUUUGGUGGAGAAGAAAUUACCCCGAAGCCUCAGAAAGAUGAAAUAGUGAUUUUCAAGAGUUUCCUCAAAGCUGGUUUGAGAUUUCCUUUGAAUAGGAUGAUUGCUGAUGUACUAAAAAAGUUUGGGAUCUAUUUUCAUCAACUAACUCCUAACGCUAUUGUUAGGCUUAGUGUUUAUAUUUGGGCUCUCCGAAGCCAGGGGGUGGAGCCAUUUGCCGAAGGUUUCUGCCGAGUACACGAGCUACACUACCAAACUAAGGCCAGAAAGGAUGGGAUACAUGAAAAUUUUGGUUGUUACAAUUUUGCCUAUCGAAAAACUACAAAAUUUCCUAUGAUCAGCUACCGAAGCAAGUGGUCGGUAGGCUGGAAAUCGGAAUGGUUCUACAUCAAAGUUGAUGACGACAAGGAGAAGCUUGUACAGAGUCCGCUUGAACUAAUCUUCGGAGAAACCCGACCCCAGUGCAAUAUGACACCAGAAGGUCCAACCCAAACGGCGUUGGCUGAAUUCAGAGUUAUUGCAGAGCACAUUGGCACUAGGGAUUUGGUGCAGGAAUUUCUGGCUUUCAAAGUAUUUCCAACUAUGAAGGAAUGGGCUAUGUCGAAGCUUAAAGGAGAGAAGAAAGAGGGGGAGCUUGUCCGACUACCCUAUCAUUAUAAAUUCAAGAAAUAUUUUAAGGCACCCUGCCAAGAAUGGCUCGAAACAAUCGAAAUAAUGAGUACUGGAAUUCUUGGAAAUUACUCUAAAAAAGAGGAUCAAUUGAUGACAGCAGCCUUCAGCACCCGGCCGAAACGAAGGCUAAACAGAGUGUUUGAUGCUAUAGGCUUUGAAUAUCCUGAUUAUGGGCGAUUGGGCGGAGAUGCUGGAGGCCCGAAGAGAAAAAGAAUUGCCAGCGCUGUUGACGAAGAAAGCACCAAAGUGACCAAAAAGAAAAAGGAGAUUUCUGAAAAGCUGAGCCCUGAGCCGAAGGUGGCUGCUGCAAGAAAAAGGAAAACUGCAUCUCCAGAACCAAAAACGUUGGUUCGAGAGGAAGACACUCCCGCGACACCUUCUGCUGCCGAAGUAGAAGAGAUUCUGAAGGUAAUGACUGAACCCUUGCCUGUCAAGCUAAGUCCGCUGGCGCUGGAAUUGAUGAAGUUUUUUCAGAAGGACAAAGAAGCUUCGGCAACAUAAAGUCCUGCACUGCCGAAAAACGAAGAAUUAUUCAAAUAGCAAAUGUGAUUCAUCAGACGCCGCCACCGGCGACAGUUUCAAAAAUUGUUUUUGCCGAGACCGCUGAAGCCGAAGCUACCAGAGUGAAAACCACCGAAGCUGAAACCGGCGAAGCCGAAGCUACUAGGGCCGAAGCCGGGACCACGGAAGGUUCGAAUCUGGAAACCACUCUUGAAGUUAUUGACAAUAUUCUCCUGAAAAUGGUUGAAGAAGAAGCUGUUGUGGCUGCGGUAAACACGACAACUGAAAAGGGAAAAGAGCAGAUCGAUGACAUUUUAGAAGAAGAAAAUUUUAACUUUCAAGAUUUGCUUGGACAAGAGCUAACAGGCGCCGAAAAAGAAGAGUUGAAAAAAUACGCCAUAUCUUGCGGGUAUAAGCCAGGGGCUACGCUAUUUGGUGGGGUCAACGAAGGGAAGCUAAGAUGCCUUCGGAACCGCACCGAGGCCAAAGUUGUUAGAACCCUCUCCAAAAGCGUUGGCCUGCCGAAGCUAGAAGCGGACCUCUGCAGGUACCAGCGACACCAUAUCGCCGGAAGCCUGCUCUAUGCUAAUUUUAAGGUAACAAAUUUUAUUAUUGUUAUUAUAUAUAUAUAUAUAUAUUUUUAGGUCGUUUUCUGACGAAGAUUGUUUUGGCAGAGUAUAUUAUUAAGUAAGGUUCUAAAAAUGCAACAAGAUCUCGAAGAGGAGAAGAACAAAACUAUCAUCGAAGAUUUGGAAGAAAAAGUUGAAAAUUACGAAGCUGUUCUGAAAAAGGACUUCACCAUCUAGGACCUUGAAAUCAUGGCUAAAGAACACGAAGGUGCAUUAGAAAAGAAAGACUUUGUUAUUCAGUCUAUGGAAGGCUCCUUGGCUGAGGUCCAAGCCGAGAAUGACAGUUUAAAGAAUGAAUUGCUCAAACAAUCAGAAAAAACUGAGCAGGAAAAGAAACACCUUGAAGCAAGUCUUAAAACUGAGAUGGAGAAGAAUUCAAAUUUGCAAAAAUCCUUGAAGGAACAUCAAGAGAAAUGCCUAAGCUUCGGCAGCCGAUGCGUGCAGCGGCUGAAGGAUGUGUUUCAUUCUAUCGGAGCCAGCUCUGAAAAAUUUACACCUUCAGCAGAAAACCUGCCCAGCACAUUAGAAUAUAUUGAAGGCGAGGUUGAUGCUCUUGACGAAGUUAUUGGUGGUCAUGCCGACUUCUGCGCCCUGGUAGCUUCUCGGGGCACAGCUACCGCUUUUCUGAAGGCUGGUUGUACGCAUGGAAAAAUUGUGAAUAGACCAAACUUCAGCUUAUCAUCAUCAGAUCUGAUAGAUAUUCCAAGCCUAGCCCGAAGCAUCGGAAAUAGAUUUAUGACCCAGAUUUGGGUAAAUGGCGGGCGGAAAAUGGCGGGUGACGAAGCUCGAAGUCAUCUUAAGCCGGUAAGAAACUUAUAUUUAUUACUUUUACCUUCUCCUUGAAAUUUGCACCUUUCUUAUUCUGCUCUUUAAUAUACGUAGGAUGACGAAGCUGAAGUAUGACGAAGCUGAAAGUAUGACGACCUGAAGCUUGAUAGUUGCUACAAUAUUCUUUCCUGCAAAAAUUCUGGAGAGACUUUUGUAAUAUCAUUAUGGAAAAACUCAUGUAAAUUUAUACAUACCUUGUAAUAUAUUUUGUUUCCGCUAUCUGUGUACAAUCUGCUUUGCUGUGGACGAAACUUCUUUUUUGAGCCGAAGGCGAAAAACACCUUCCCUUCUUUUCGUACACAACGAAGCAUAAAAAAUGUUUCCUUUUUCGAAGUCUUUCCUCAUUGCUGAAGCACCUAUCUUUUUUGUGUGGUAUGAUGAUGAUUCUAUAUAUGUCUAAAUGAAUGUUUAUGAAUGCAAAUAACAUGAUGAAAUGUAUUGUGCAGAUGAAUAUUGGGACACAUGUUCAAAAACCAUAAUUGUAGCCCUUCAUCCCCUUGGGAAUGAUUCAAAUCUUUUUACUUUUCAGCUUCAUUGUUUACUUUUCGGUGUUUCAGCGUUGACUUUUCACUGUAAGCCUCCCUUAGGAGCUUCUUUGCCUUUUACUUUCAGCGGAAUCAGCGUUGACUUUUCGCUGUAAGCCUCCCUUAGGAGCUUCUUCGCCUUUUACUUUAAGCGGAAUCAGCGUUGACUUUUCGCUGUAAGCUCUGCAUUCCCUUAGGAACGACUUUUGAGCUUCUCCCUGUUUUCUUUUCUUUUCCCUUGGCAUUUACAUUUACAUUUUUUGGGGGAUAUCACUUUUAUAGAAUGGAAAUAAGGAAAAGAAAAAUUACAUGUUGUGGCCCCAUUAAAAACCUUUCUCCCCCUUUGGAAAGGAAAAGGGUGCCGCAAAAAAGAAUAGAAAAAAUUACAUCAGACUAAACAUAAUAUCGCCGAAGCUCAUCCGCAUUCCAUGAUCUAGGAAUGUCGUUGCCGUCCAUAUCCUUCAAUCUAUAGGAACCAGGUCUUGACGAAGAUACUACCAAAAAAGGUCCUUCCCACUUCAGCUGUAAUUUGCCUACUGUUUCAGGGUUGGCUACUCUUCGAAGCACCAGAUGUCCUGGUUCAAUGUUCUUCAGCUUAACCUUCCUGUCACGCCAUUUUAUUGUUUCGGCUUGAUAUUUAUUGAUGUUUUCCACAGCUUGAAGUCUGAUCCCUUCUAUAGCAUCUUUUUCCACAGAGCAAUCAGCUUCGUCUUCACCUUCUGCCGAAGCUACCGUUCUUAUCGAUCCUGCUUUGGCCUCUUCCGGGGUUAUUGCUUCAUCCCAAACAAUAGUUUGAAUGACGUAAAGCCUGUUGAUCUUGACAUGGUUGUGUUAUGGCUCCACACCACUUUGAUUAACUCGUCUGACCACUUUCCCCUAGGCUGAUUGAAGAUUGACUUCAUUAUUCCUGUCAUUAUGAUCCCGUUAGCUCUUUCGACAAGUCCGUUUGACUCCGGAUGUCGAACUGAUGCAAAAUGGAUCUUCGUGCCAAUUUGAUCACAAAAUUCUCUGAAAGCUUCAGAAUCAAACUGUGUCCCAUUAUCCACAGUAAUGGCCUUCGGCACUCCGAAGCGACAAACAAUAUUUUGCCAGAAAAACUUUUGAAUAGUAACCGAAGUUAUUGUGGCUAGAGGCUUUGCCUCAAUCCACUUAGAAAAAUAUUCCACUGCCACUACAACAUAUCUUAAGUUUCCUUGUGCUGGUGGUAAUGGACCUAGUAAAUCAAGGCCCCACCUUUGCAACGGCCAAGUGGGUUGUAUUAAUUGAGUUAAAGAUGAAGGUUGUUUUUGAUCUCUUGCACAUUUCUGACAACCUUCGCACUUUUGGACUAAAUCCGCUGCAUCCGAAGCUGCCUUUGGCCAAUAAAAUCCUUGACGAAAAACUCUCCCGAGCAAAGGCCUAGAUCCAAUGUGAGAUCCACACAGGCCUGCGUGUAUUUCCUUCAUUAAUUCUAUACCUUCGGAUCUGGAUAAACACUUGAGCAACGGGGAACAAACCCCACGCUUGUAUAGCUCCCCUUCUAUUAUGACAUAUGGUCGAGUUCUUGCUUCUAUCAUCCUGUUAUAAGCUUCGUCGUCUGAAAGAAAAUUACCCUGAAGGAAAGAAAUGAUUUCAGUUCUCCAAUCUUCACUAUAGAUAGGGGAUAUGUUGAGGACCGCUCUUUCAAGAAGCUCGACCGAAGGUGCUUUUAUUGUUUCGAAAAAUACUUCCGAAGGUAAAGGCAGCCCCUGUGCUGCUGACUUGGCCAAAAGAUCAACAUAUUCAUUUUCACCACGAGGAAUAUUUUUAACAGAGAAUCCUUCAAAAGAAGCCUCAAUCCUUCGAACUGUAUCUAGAUAUUUUUCAAGCUUCGGAUCUCUUGCUUUAUAGCUCUUGUCAAUAUGACCAGAAAUAACUUGGGAAUCAGUUUUAAGAAUGGCCCUUCUGAUCCCCAUUGCCUUUAACUUCCGAAGACCCAAGAGCAGAGCUUCGUAUUCAGCAAUAUUGUUUGUACAACUGAAAUCAAGUCUUGUCGCAUAACAAGUUUUAACUUUGGAAGGUGAAACCAACACAACAGCUGCUCCUGCUCCAAAGGUUCCCCAAGACCCAUCGCAAAACACUGUCCAUGCUUUGGCAUCUUUAUUCGUUUCUUCCUCCUGAGCCCCUGGCGUCCAGUCAGCAAUGAAGUCUGCCAACGCUUGGGACUGAAUCGAAGAUCUAUGGACAUAAUCAAUACAAAAUUCAUUGAGCUCUACAACCCAUUUUCCAAUCCUUCCAGUAGCUUCUCGAUUUCUCAUAAUAUCCUUCAACGGUUGUGAAGAAGGAACAAUUAUGUUGUAAGCUUGAAAAUAAUGCCGAAGCUUCCCUGGAGGCCAUCAAAACAGCAUACAGUACUUUCUCCAAUUCUGUAUAAUUUUUCUUUGAUAAACUAAGAACUUCGAAUACAAAAUAUAUUGGGGCCUGCUUCUUGACUUGGCCUUCAAGCUUCUCCUGGACAAGUGCUGCACUUACCGCUGAGUGCGAAGCUGCCACAUAUAAUAACAAAGGAGCCCCUGGCGUUGGUGGAGUUAGUGUUGUUAGAUCUAUCAAAUAUUGCUUCAGUUCUUCGAAGGCUCUCUGCUGGACUGGUCCCCAUUGAAAAACUUUGGCUGACUUCAGCACUUCAAAAAAUGGUAAAUUUCUCUCUGCUAAUCUAGAUAUGAAUCUGUUGAGAGAUGCCAGCCUUCCUGUCAAUCUUUGAGCCCCCUUCUUUGUACUUGGUGGUUCCAUUCGAAGUAUAGCUUCGAUUUUUCUUGGAUUAGCCUCAAUUCCCUUUGUUGAAACUAGACAACCAAGAAAUUUCCCCUUCUUCACUCCGAAGACACAUUUUUCUGGAUUCAGCUUUAAACCAGUCUGUCUAAAAUUAGUGAAGGUCUCCUGCAAAUCAGCAAUGUGAUUAUCUUGCUUCGUGCUUUUUACAAUGAUAUCAUCAACAUAAGUUAGCACAUUCCUGCCUAUCUGAGAAUGGAGAACCUUCGCAGUCAUUCUGCUGAAGCUUCCUCCAGCAUUCUUAAGCCCCUCAGGCAUCCGAAGGUAACAAUAUGUUCCACUAGGGGUUAUGAAGCUGGUUUUCGGUUCAUCCUCCUUCUUCAUCCAGAUUUGGUGAUAGCCUGAAUAGCAAUCCAGCAGACUCAUAAGCUCUGAUGAAGCUGCUGCAUCGACUAAGGAAUCUAUCCUUGGCAAUGGAAACUCGUCCUUCAGACAGGCCUUAUUGAGAUCAGUAAAAUCGAUACACAUUCUCCAUUUACCAUUGGCCUUCUUCACCAUAACAGUGUUAGCCAACCAUUCUGGGUAUUUUACCUCUCUGAUAACUCCGGCACUGAGGAGUCUUUUCACUUCAUUCCGAGCACCUUUGGCCUUGUCAUCAGACAUCUUUCGAAGCCUCUGCUUUCUGGUCUGAAGGAUGGAUCAACAUUGAGCGAAUGCUCAAUAAUAUCCCUGUUAACUCCGCAAAGAUCAUUAGCUGACCAAGCAAAAACAUCUUUAUUGUUGAUCAAAAACCUUAUCAAGGUUUUCUCCUGUUCUUCGGACAGUUGAGAUCCCAAUAGCACCUUCUGCUCUGCUAUGUCCUCACAUAAGAGCAUGGGCUUCGGCUGAUCAGCCGAAGCAGCUUUUUCCCUUCUGAACUUGUAUUGCUCACAAGCUUCAGCUCUGUUGGGGGCCUUUGGCUUCUGAAGGUCCUCAAAAACGUAAUUUGACUAUGCUUUCCAAGAGAAAUAUGUGAACAGGUACCUUCGAAGACAGAUUGUGAGUAUACAAGAACAUGGUUAAGACGAAGCUUGACUGGGACGGCGAUCACGACGAAGGAUAAGACAAUCACGAAGCUAUGUACAGAAGAGCUUCGGCAUAACGGCAGGAAGAGGAAACCGACUUAAAGAUGAAAAGACAAAUUAGACCCUGAAGAAUUACUAUAGAGUUAUUGAUAAAUGUAAAGGGCAUUAAUGUAAUUUUGCAUGGGCUGCGACCCGUGCCUAUAAAUAGGUGAACAGUAUUCCCGUACGGGACACGCUGAUUUAGCAUUGGUUUUUGCGUCACACUUGUACUUUUACCUUCUUACGAGCUGAAGGUACACUUGCAAUCUGAUAUCAUUUUUAUCUUCCCGUUGUAAUAAAAUGGAAACGGGUCGAUAGUAAUACACUAAUGUUUAUGUUAUCUUUAUGUUUCAUAUGAUUCCUUCUCCAUUAUUACGUUCUAUGUUUAUGAAGAUAUGUCCUUUAUAACCUUCGUCCGAAAACCAUUAUAUCCUUAGGGAAAUAAUGCUUAAAAGGACGAAGGACAUUAACAUUUAACAUUUUGUGUUGCCUUGUUCUUGAUUCAUAGCAUUUGAGAACAAGUUCCCAACAUUGGCGCCCACCUCCGGUGAACUCACUUCCAUUUUUUGAGUCUUGAACACUUUCGGCAAGCAUCACCUUCGUCAUGCCGCCGAAAAAAGCUUCAGCGACAGGGGCUGGUACUUUACAGCCGCUGGAUCCCAAUCAGGAUGUCCUUUCUCUUAGAGAGGCCCGAAGCCAGAAGAGGAAGGCUGUCAGUCCAACACCUCCGGAGGAUGACCUAGAUCAGGAAAUCCAAAACCUAGAGAUCCUUCAGCAGCAGGUUCAACGCAAGAAGGAGAAGAUGGCUCGUCUAGCUGAUCUUCAGAGACAGAUAGACGAAGCUUCUGAAGAGGUUCGUCAUCUUGUUCAAGAUGAUCAAAGCCGAAGGCCUCCACGCAGAGAGCUUCAUCAGGAAGACUUCCACAAUGAGGAUGACUGGUAUGAGGAUUUCCAUCAUGGAAACUUUGCUUUUGAUGAUGCUUCUCCUCUUUCAACAGAAUUGCAGGCUACACCAUGGCCACAGUCUUACAAGCCACCCCAGCUCCCCAUGUAUGACAGUCACUCAGACCCGAAGCAAUUCCUAAUGAGCUAUGAAGCGACAAUAUCUUCGUAUGGUGGCAAUACGGCAGUCAUGGCAAAAUCUUUUGUCAUGGCCGUCAGGAGCGUUGCUCAGACUUGGUACUCAUCCCUUCAGCCAGGGACAAUCACUUCUUGGCAGAAAUUGAAGGAUAUGCUGAUAACUAGCUUCCAAGGGUUUCAGAUGAAGCCAGUCACCGCUCAGGCUCUCUUCCAAUGUACCCAGGACCACGAAGAGUACCUUCAGGCGUAUGUCCGGAGGUUUCUGCGUCUGAGGGCACAAGCGCCAACAGUGCCCAAUGAAAUUGUCAUUAAGGCCAUGAUUAAGGGGCUUCGGCCGGGACCAUCAGCGUAGUACUUUGCCAGGAAGCCACCACAAACGUUGGAGAAGCUGCUCCAGAAGAUGGACGAAUACAUUCGAGCUGACAAUGACUUCCGCCAAAGAAGGGAGGAAGCAUUCAGGUUUUCUGAAAUGACCAGGGGCUUCGGAGGAAGAUUUCACCCGAGGCAUGUUAGGUCAAUCCAUAACUCUGCUCAAACUGAUGAUCGAGGAAGCCAGCAGCAAAGGCCACAACACUCUUCACAAGCUUCGGCCCAACAGCAGAAUUCUUUUCGGCCGCCAGUGCCAAGGGGCAGAGGCGCCAGGGGCUUCGGGGGAAGGUUUGGAGACCAGCCAAGAAAAAUAUAUUGCCUAUUCUAUGGUGAAGACAAGGGCCAUACUACCAGGAUGUGCCAUGUUACCAUCCAGAAGCAGAAGGAAAUAGCAGAAGCAGCAGCGCAACAGAGUCAGCCGAAGCAGGUCAUGCAUACUGCUUCGUAUCACUCACCUUAUAUUCCAUAAUAUGUAGGCAACCAUCCUGCAGCUUCUGUUGCUUCGGCAAGCCAAUCCCAAGCAUCCUAGCAGCAACCUCCACCGCCACCGCCGAUUCAAAGAGGUCAGCAGCCAGAAGGGAGUCAGCGCACUAACCUUCAGCGGGACUUCAGAGAGGAGUCCGAAGCUCGCACAGUCAAUAGCACUGUGCCAGAGUCGAAGCACAUUUACUGACGAAUAUCCUACCUCAAUAGCAGUUCUUUUGCAUUUUCUACAUUCCCUAUUACCCUUUUGUUAAUAAGGAACAAUUAUGAAGAGUUUAAAUGUCUUUAAUUGAAUUUCAAUUUCUUGUAAUACUUCCGUCUUUUACCAUAAUAAAAAUAUGUUUUUUCCAUAGGCUCGAGUUGCCGAAGCAUACGAACUUAUAUUGAUUUGAAGGAUCUUUGUAUUAUCUAAUGGACACAGUACAAAUUGUUCGAAGCAGUAAAAAGUCGUUCCUAAGGGAGCGCAGUGUAAGUUUUCUAAACGUACAGCGAAAAAUAAACGCUGAUUCCGCUGAAAGUAAAAGGCGAAGAAGCUCCUAAGGGAGGCUUACAGCGAAAAAUAAACGUUGAUUCCGCUGAAAGUAAAAGGCGAAGAAGCUCCUAAGGGAGGCUUACAGCGAAAAAUAAACGCUGAUUCCGCUGAAAGUAAAAGGCGAAGAAGCUCCUAAGGGAGGCUUACAGCGAAAAAUAAGCGUUGAUUCUGCUGAAAGUAAAAGGCGAAGAAGCUCCUAAGGGAGGCUUACAGCGAAAAGUCAGCGCUGAUAUAAAAAGUGUGUGUGCUUUAUCACAGGGGUAUGUAUCUGCGGCACAAAUAUCAUUUUUGUAUAACAUGACAUCAUCACAUCAUUUUUGCAUAACAUAAGCAUCAUACAGCAUAAUGCAUCUGGAACAAGAAGGGGAUACAGUAUUGACCUUCGGAACAUAUUUUGGGAAAGAAAAAAUCGUGCUAAGGCACAAGGCAAAUCGGGAUAAAGUGUAGCCCCAUCGGAAAAGCAACACACAGCUUUUUUACAGCUUCGAAGAAUAUUUCACGAAGCUUGGAUAUUUUUUAUCAGAAAAGUAAGCAAAUUCUUAUAGAAAAGAUUUUCUUCUCGAAGCAUGAAAAGAAGGGAAGGUGUUUUUUCGCCGAAGGCUCAAAAAUGGUAUGUAUGCAAAGUUUCAUGCAUCGUAAAGAAUUAAACUAUAAAUAGAUUGUAUAUUACAUUUAAAGUUACAAUAUAUUACACAUUUUUACAUUUCAAAUGUUUUUACAAUGGCAUUCAAUCCUCUUUAAGCACUAUUUCUGCAGCUUCGUUCAAUAGUUGGUUGACAACCUUGUCCAUAAUGGCUUCGGCCAUUUGUCUAAUUUCAUCGUCCCCCUUCGGGUGGGGGCCCGGAGAUGCCUCAGCAGUUUCUGAGGGAAGAAAAGAUACGGCUAUAUUACUAUUACAAACCGAGAACGGAGUUUGGAAAUAAAAAUUACAGCAUCAUAAAAACCACUAAUUAAUACCUAUGUGCCCUUCGGGCUCUGUACUCUUUUCGGCAGCUUUCGCCACUUUUCUAGCAUCGUGGAUGCCUUUUUCACUCCUUUGAAUAAUUUCUUGCGCCAGUUCUCGGCCGUCGUUAUCCCAGAUAUCGGUGAAGAAUUUUCCGCCGAUCAUGCUUGCUUCGGGUGAGGGGUCUUUAAUGUCUUCAGUAGACAAUGUAGCUUCGGACUGCGCUAAGGAUUUUACAUGUUCACAACCUUUCUUCUCCAAAACAGUAGCAAUCCCUCUAGCACCCGAAAAAGCGCAGAUGUCGCCGUGGCUGUUCAGAAUUUCCUCGAAGGCCUCCGCUUCGUGGCUGAUCCAUUCCAUGGGACCUUCGGGAUCGCCUCUUGAAAAAUUCUCUUCACUAGAGAACGCGCCAACGCUGGCAAAGCUGGAUUUUAUCUUUUUGACGCACUCUAUGGAUUUAACAUAACACUUCCUCUGGAAUGCACGAAGCUCCUUAACACUUAUCUCCAAAUGAUUGGCCAAUUGGUCACUAAGCUCUCGUUUUGUCUCUUCAAGUAUACGUUCUUCUUUAGCUCUAGCUAGCUGUUUCUGAAGAUCUUUAAUUUCACGUUUUUUAGCUUCGGCCUGGGCCUUCGAAGCAGCUUCGUCCUUUCUUACCUUGUCUAUCAAUGUAAGCAGAAUUUUAUCUUUUUCCAGAGCUUCGUUUCUCAGUUUAAUAACUUCUGAUCGUAGAUUGUUGAACGCAAUCUCAUAGCUCUCGUCCUCGGCACUCUUUUGUGCUCUCAAUGCGUUGCUUAGAAUUAAACCCUAUAUGAAAAAGAGUUUGUAUAAGAAUAAAAGAAUGAGUUACGAAUUAUAAAGUUUCCAAACGACUAAUCCCCAUACCUUCAGGCUAUUGUACGCAAGGCUAUCCGCGAGAUCUUCUUUCGUCAUAGCGCUUAAGCCAGCUUCGAGCUUCGGAAACCCCAUGCUUCUAGACAUCUCCCGGCAGACAGAUAAUUCUUUAUUGUCUGGGAGGCAGUAUAGGAAAUCCUCUUCGUCCGUCCCAUUGAAUACUAGUGCCCCCUCGGAUAUUUUAAUUCUUUGGCAUAGUGAUUAGCUUCAAAAACUUCUUCUUCCGAUAACUUUUUCCCCGCAGCAUGACGCAUAAUAUAAUCGUAUGUUUUGGAAGAUGCUUCGGGGACAGCAGUAUCAAUUUCUUCGACCGAGGCUGGCUCCGAAAUUUUCAGUUCCUCGGUUGCCUUUGCAAUUUUUACUUCUUCUGCUUCCGAAGGUACUACCUUGGUUGGUUCUGAAGGCCCAGAUUCAACUCCAGUUUGUUGCUUUGGAGCUUCAGCAACAGACACUUCAGCAAGUGUCUCAGAAGUUUCAGCAGUUUUUUUGGAGUUGUGCUUGGAAGUUUAAUUGUUUCCAAAACAUCUAACACAUUAACCAUUCUUUUCCUUUUUGGGGUUACUGUCGGCCCCUUUUUAAUUUUUGCUACUUCAAUUUCUACUGAAGGACUUAAAAUUUUUGAUAUUUUUGCUUCCUCAGUUGAUGCUUUUGCUUCUUCCAUCUUUUCUGUCGAUGGUGCUUCGGCCAUCUCUUUGGUUUCUGGUAACAGACUCUCUGGCUCCUCCAAUUCUUUUGUUGUUGGCGCUUCGGCCAUUUCUGCGACUUCUGGCAGCAGGGUUGGCUCUUCAGCCUCGGUGGCCGAAGAGGUCUCUCCGGUGAAUUCAGGCACCGUGGCUGGUUCAAUAUAGCGAGGCCGAUGUGUGAGAACUUUUACCCUUUUUCUCUUCGGUGCUGGCUCACUAGGAGCAGCUGCAGUUUUUUCUUUCGCAGAAGUUGUGCCUUUUCUUUUCUGCCCUCGAAUGGGAUAGCGGUAGUCGGGGUAGAUGAACCCGAUUGCAUCAAAUACCCUGUUGAGUCUUUUCCUUUUUCGGCCUCCGAAGGCUGCUGACAAAGCAGUAUCUUCGGCCUUUGAAUAUGCCCCAAGCAAUUCAUCACUUACAGUCUCAAUGCUCUUUAACCAAUCAUCAUCUGGUUCAACGAAUUUGUCUCCAUACUUGAAUGUGUACUUCAGUCGGACUAGCCCACCUUCGUCAGUUUCUUUAAUAGUUUCUUUCGGCAUUUCCCAAUUAUCCGCAAGAGGCCACACUCUGAAGGCAAUAUGUUCUUGUGUUAAAUCCCGCGUCCCAAUAAAAGAACAAACAACUCCGAAGGCUCUCUGGCAUUCUUCGGCUGCUUCAUUCAUUUCCACCUUCGGCCUUCGCAGGCCGAAGCGUUGCCAGAUGGGAUGCAUAAUAAUCUUCUUUAUAUCUUCUCGAGAUUUCAAGUCAUUUUUCACGUAAAACCAUUCCGUCAUCCAAUCGCCAGGCCACCUCUUGCGAAAGGUCGGCACUGGGCAGCUUGACCCAGAACGAGAGCCGAAGCUAUAUCAGCCAAAGUUGUUAUGAUAUUGUUCCUUACCCCAGGGUUUUGUCUCGUAUAACAAUUCGUGUAUAUUGCAGAAGCUCUUUGCAUCAGGUUCCAAGCCUUGGCUCCUCACAGCCCACACGAAAAUAUUCAUCCUUAUGAUCGCUUCGGGGAUAAGUUGGUGAAGGUGGAUUUCAAAUAUCUUCAGCACCUCCACAAUAAAACGGCUCAGGGGAAAUCGUAGUCCAGCUUUCAAGAAGCUUCGAAAUAUUACAACUUCAUUUUUCCUCAGGAGUUGGGCAAGUCUUCUCUCCCUCGUCGGCCCUUACAAUAGACAAAUCCCGAAAAUAUCUUCCCCUCAUGUUGGCAAGAUGACUUUCUUUAAUACUUGAUUUGCCGAAAACUGCAUGGCUUGGUCGCCAAGGUCGAUCUUCGGAGUCUUUGCCACCACUAUCCGCAUCAUAGCUGUCGCUGUCACCAGUAUCUUCAGAUAAACCUUCCAAAAUUUCUUUAGUGAUCUUCUCUGUGUUGGUCUUCGACAUAGACUGAAGAAAACCCAGAUGCAUCUCUUCAGAAAGACUCAGCUUCAUUUCGGCAACAACCUUCUUCUCCUCAGACAUCUCUUCGGAAUUCUUUCCUCUCGCUUUCGAAGCUUAAAACCAAGGAGGCAACAAAAUAUUUGUGGGCAGAAAACUAUUUGAGCAGGCAAAACGGAUGGCAAGGGAGCGUGCCGAGUAAAUUGUAUCGAGCCCGUAUUUAUAAACCCAUUAUGUUGGAAACAGGAGGGCCCCAUUUGCCAAUGACUGUUGCUAUUCUAGCAAAGGGAAGGUGUUUUUUCGGACCUUCGGCUCAAAGCCUUCGUCCAUGUCGCAAUAUAAACUUGUUAUUCCAAGCAAAUUAAUAUUGCGAGGGGCUACUGUUGGGGGCCUUCGGCUUCCGAAGGUCCUCAAAAACGUAAUUUGACUAUGUUUUCCAAGAGAAAUAUGUGAACAGGUACCUUCGAAGACAGAUUGUGAGUAUACAAGAACAUGGUUAAGACGAAGCUUGACUGGGACGGCGAUCACGACGAAGGAUAAGACAAUCACGAAGCUAUGUACAGAAGAGCUUCGGCAUAACGGCAGGAAGAGGAAACCGACUUAAAGAUGAAAAGACAAAUUAGACCCUGAAGAAUUACUAUAGAGUUAUUGAUAAAUGUAAAGGGCAUUAAUGUAAUUUUGCAUGGGCUGCGACCCGUGCCUAUAAAUAGGUGAACAGUAUUCCCGUACGGGACACGCUGAUUUAGCAUUGGUUUUUGCGUCACACUUGUACUUUUACCUUCUUACGAGCUGAAGGUACACUUGCAAUCUGAUAUCAUUUUUAUCUUCCCGUUGUAAUAAAAUGGAAACGGGUCGAUAGUAAUACACUAAUGUUUAUGUUAUCUUUAUGUUUCAUAUGAUUCCUUCUCCAUUAUUACGUUCUAUGUUUAUGAAGAUAUGUCCUUUAUAACCUUCGUCCGAAAACCAUUAUAUCCUUAGGGAAAUAAUGCUUAAAAGGACGAAGGACAUUAACAUUUAACAUUUUGUGUUGCAUUGUUCUUGAUUCAUAGCAUUUGAGAACAAGUUCCCAACAAGCUCCAUCUAUUAUGGAUUGCUUUUGAGUCUGUCCAAUUUCCUUCGGCCCUUCUGGCAGCUUCCUGACUUCCAUGAAUAGCAAUGGGCCCUUGGUCCGAAGGUAUCUUCAUGCAAAGAUAAGCUGGAUGAAGAAUUGCUUCGAAGGCAUUGAGAGUACCACGACCAAUGAUUGCAUUGUAAGGGUAUUCCAUGUCAACAAUAUCAAACACAACUUGUUCAGUCCUUGUGUUGUUGAUAAAUCCGAAGGUCACUGGCAUUGUGAUUUUGCCGAGUGCUACAAUCUGCCUUCCUCCGAAGCCGCAAAGGGGAUGUGUGGCAUCAUGAAUUUUAUCUUCGGGCUCUUGCAUCUGUCUGAAGGCCUUAGCAAAUAUGAUAUCAGCUGCGCUGCCUGUAUCAACCAAAACACUAUGGACCAGAAAUCCUUUGAUCACACAAGAGAUAACCAUAGCAUCGUUGUGUGGGUAAUCCUUGAGUUGAAGAUCCUCUUGGGAGAAGGUAAUUGGAAUGUGAGACCAUCUUGACUUGAUGAAGGGUCCUUGCACCCCGACAUGUUGUAUCCUUCUCUGUGCCUCCUUCUUCUGCUUCUUGUUGGCUGGCUCUGAGCAUGAACCGCCUGUUAUCGAGAGUACCAACUUCGGAGCCGAAGCAGCUCCAGCUUGAAUGUUGAACGAAGCCAUCAGCUCAAAAAAGUGGAAGUGAGUUCACCGGAGGUGGGCGCCAAUGUUGGGGACUUGUUCUCAAAUGCUAUGAAUUAAGAACAAGGCAACGUAAAAUGUUAAAUAUCAAUGCCCUUCGUCCGCCGAAGCAUUAUUUCCACAAGGAUUUAAUGAACCUCGGACGAAGGUCACGGGCAUAAUGUUACGAAGGUUUUCACCUUCGUAAGUGAGCUUAUAAAAAUAAUACAAAGUAAAGUAAAACAUGAAAUAUUAAAGUUAAAUACAUUGAAAAUAAACGACAUCAUUCACAUAUCUUAUUAAAUGAAUUUAUAAUAUCCGAAUACAAUGUUUAGGUACAUUUAUACCUUUGCCUUUAACAAACAAUAAUUCCCGAGUGGUGCGUUAGCAAUUACAGGAAUGCCUGAAUAGUAAAGGAAUAUUGUUCACUAUUUAUAGGCACAGGACACAGCUCAUGAGGAAUUACAAUUAUGCCCCUCAUAAAAGUUUACAACAAUGACUCAGACCCUUAUGGGCUAAAAGGUCAUUCUAUCUUUAAGUCGGUUCGACCCUUCGUCUUCGGAUAUGCUGUAGUUCUGAAGCUUCGUGAACGGUGUCUUCGGCAUCAUGUUCAAGCAGCUUCAGCCGAAGCUGUUUCUUUCCGCAGGACCUUCGGCGACGAAGCAUGGUCCCAACAAGCCACCUCAGAGCACUCGGGCUUCGCGCCCACUACUGGUCAGAGGUUCGAAGGUUGGCCCCUCGGAAGGGUUCAACGGACGCCUCAGGCCACUCGGGCUCCACGCCCACUACUGAUCAGGGGUUCGUAGACUGGCCCCCGAAGGGUUCUGACAGCCGCCUCAGAGCACGCAGAGCGAGGGAUGACCCUGGGUACGUUCGAUACAUAACCAAGGCUCAGGCUACGCUCCUGAGGUACCCUAGGACAUUUCUGAGACCAGCGGGAAUGAUUUUGUAGCUGAAUCCCACCAGAGGGAGGCAUCGAGCCCUUGGACCCCGUCAAAAGGGGACCAGGUCCGGCAAAUCACCCGCAGGUACUUUUGGAGCGCGCCUCCGGGCUACUAGCCGACCCCUAACGAAUGGGGCACGGGCGUCCACUCGGAUUACCCGUUAGCAACUCACUGGAGACACCAUGUUCGGCGCCCUCCGAGGGCAACAUGGCGCUUUCCCCCCUCCUCCUUGCAGAAAGGCGACGCAGGGGCGUAUGUAAAAAGCUGAGUCUGUCCCUGACCGUCCUCUCGCUCUGUGCGGAGGCUCGGGGGCUGCUCUCGCAAACCCGGCUCCGGCCAAACCGUUGACAGCGUCAACAUACCAGCCCGAGAACUUGGGACUCGACUAUGCACCCGGGCUACGGCCAGUUCGCAUGAGGGAACAACCAGACCGGCCGAAGCAUCACAAAACGCGCUAAGACCUCGAAGGAGUCAAACCACUCCUCCGAGGCCUCGGGGGCUACACCCGGCGAGUGCGCUCGCGCGCACCCAUCUGAACGAAACGCAACCGAGAAAGGCCGGUCCCCUUGCAAAAAAGUGCGACAAAAGCCUCCAAGCGAGUAUCAACACUCCCUUCGAGGCUCGGGGGCUACUGUCAGGGACCAUAAUUAGGGGUACCCCCAAGACUCCUAAUCUCAGCUGGUAACCCCCAUCAGCACAAAGCUGCAAAGGCCUGAUGGGUGCGAUUAAGUCAAGGCUCAGUCCACUCAAGGGACACGAUCUCGCCUCGCUCGAGCCCAACCUCGGGCAAGGGCAGCCGACCCCGGAGGAUUCAUGUCUCGCCCGAGGGCCCCCUCAAGCAACGGACACACCUUCGGCUCGCCCGAGGCCCAGUCUUCGCCGAGAAGCAACCUUGGCCAGAUCGCCACGCCGACCGACCGUAUCGCAGGAGCAUUUAAUGCAAGGAUCGCCUGACACCUUAUCCUAACGAGCGCUCUUCAGUCGACAGAGCCGAAGUGACCGCAGUCACUUCGCCGCUCCACUGACCGACCUGACAAGAAGACAGCGCCGCCUGCGUCGCUCCGACUGCUGUGCCACUCGACAGAGUGAGGCUGACAGCAGCCAAGUCCGGCCUCGGGCGCCAUAGGAAGCUCCGCCUCGCCCGACCCUAGGGCUCAGGCUCAGCCUCGGCUCCGGAAGACGACGAACUCUGCCUCGCCCGACCCCAGGGCUCGGCCUCAGCCUCGGCUCCGGAAGACGACGAACUCCGCCUCGCCCGACCCCAGGGCUCCGACUCAGCCUCGGCUCCGGAAGACGACGAACUCCGCCUCGCCCAACCCUAGGGCUCGGACUCAGCCUCGGCUCCGGAAGACGACGAACUCCGCCUCGCCCAACCCCAGGGCUCGGACUCAGCCUCGGCUCCGGAAGAUGACGAACUCCGCCUCGCCCGAGCCCAGGGCUCGGACUUAGCCUUGGCCUCGGACGACGGUCUCCGCCUCGCUCGACCCGAGGCUCGGACUCGACCUCGACCUCGGAAGACAGACUCGACCUCGACCUUGGAGGAGCCUCCGCCUCGCACGACCCAGGGCUCGGACCGACCACAUCACAGGGGGGCCAUCAUUACCCUACCCCUAGCUAGCUCAGGCUACGGGGAACAAGACCGGCGUCCCAUCUGGCUCGCCCCGGUAAACAAAUAAUGAUGGCGCCCCGCGUGCUCCAUGACGACGGCGACUCUCAGCCCCUUAUGUAAGCAAGGAGACGUCAGCAAGGACUCGACAGCCCCGACAUCUGUCCUUACGCAAGGCUCCAGCGCUCCUCCGACGGCCACGACAUCACAUGAACAGGGUGCCAAAACCUCUCCGGUUGCCACGACGGCUUGUACUUAGGGCUCUAGCUCCUCUCUGCUAGACACGUUAGCACACUGCUACAUCCCCCAUUGUACACCUGGGCCCUCUCCUUACGCCUAUAAAAGGAAGGUCCAUGGCUCUCGUACGAGAAGGUUGGCCGCGCGAGAGAACGGGCCGGCGCGUAGGGCUCUCUCUCUCUCCCGCGCGGACGCUUGUAACCCCCUACUGCAAGCGCACCCGACCUAGGCGCAGGACAACACGAAGGCCGCGGGUUUCCCUUUUUGCCUGUCUCCUUCCCCCCUUCGUGCUCCGUCUCGCGCCGACCCAUCUGGGCUGGGACACGCGGCGACAAUUUACUUGUCGGUCCAGGGACCCCCCAGGGUCGAAACGCUGACAGGCGCCCUUUCACGGGAUCAUCCCCGGGAAGCGCGUCCAGCCCCUUGGACAACUCGAUCUGCCCGUCUGCUUCGGGACUCCCUCCAACUUCCGAAAGGAAACCCUCACGUUCGAGGUGGUCGGGUUUCGAGGAACCUACCACGCAGUGCUGGGGAGACCAUGCUACACCAAGUUCAUGGUCGUCCCCAACUACACCUACCUCAAGCUCAAGAUGUCGGGCCCCAACGGGGUCAUCACCGUCGGAUCCACGUAUCGACACGCGUAUGAAUGUGACGUGGAGUGCGUGGAGUAUGCUGAGGCCCUCAUCAAAUCUGAGGCCUUCAUCGCCGACCUGGGGUGCCUCUCUAAGGAGGUGCCAGAUGAGAAGCGCCACGCCGGCAACUUCGAACCAGCAGAGGCGGUUAAGUUCGUCCCUCUCGACCCCAGCAACGACGCCUCCAAGCAAGUCCGGAUCGGCUCCGAGCUUGACCCCAAAUAGGAAGCAGUGCUCGUCGACUUUCUCUGCGCGAACGCCGAGGUUUUUGCGUGGAGUCCCUCGGACAUGCCUGGCAUACCGAGGGAUGUCGCCGAGCACUCGUUGGAUAUUCGAGCUGGAGCCCGACCCAUGAAGCAGCCUCUGCGCCGAUUCGACGAAGAAAAGCGCAGAGCCAUAGGCGAGGAGAUCCACAAGCUGAUGGCCGCAGGGUUCAUCAAAGAGGUAUUCCAUCCCAAAUGGCUAGCCAACCCUGUGCUUGUGAAAAAGAAAGGUGGGAAAUGGAGGAUGUGUGUAGACUACACUGGUCUAAACAAAGCAUGUCCGAAGGUUCCCUACCCUCUGCCUCGCAUCGAUCAAAUCGUGGAUUCCACUACUGGGUGUGAAACCCUGUCAUUCCUCGAUGCCUACUCAGAGUAUCACCAAAUCAGGAUGAAAGAGUCCGACCAGCUCGCGACCUCUUUCAUCACACCUUUUGGCAUGUACUGCUAUAUUACUAUGCCAUUCGGUUUAAGGAAUGCAGGCGCGACAUACCAAAGGUGCAUGAACCACAUGUUCGGAGAGCACAUCGGCCGAACGGUCGAGGCUUACGUCGAUGACAUCGUAGUCAACAGGAGGAGAGCCUCCGACCUCCUCUCUGACCUUGAAACGACAUUCAAGUGUCUAAGAGCGAAGGGCGUGAAACUCAACCCAGAGAAGUGUGUCUUCAGAGUCCCCCGAGGCAUGCUCCUGGGGUUCAUCAUCUCCGAGCGGGGCAUCGAGGCCAACCCAGAGAAAAUCACGGCCGUCACCAACAUGGGGCCUAUCAAAGACUUGAAAGGAGUACAGAGGGUCAUGGGAUGCCUUGCGGCCCUGAGCCGCUUCAUCUCGCGCCUCGGCGAAGGAGGCCUACCCCUGUACCGCCUCUUAAGGAAGACCGAGCGCUUCACUUGGACCCCCGAGGACGAGGAAGCCCUCGGGAACUUAAAGGCGCUCCUCACAAGCGCGCCCAUCUUGGUGCCCCCCGCUGCAGGAGAAGCCCUCUUGAUCUAUGUCGCUGCAACCACUCAGGUGGUCAGCGCCGCGAUCGUAGUCGAGAGACAAGAAAAAGGGCAUGCACUGCCCGUCCAGAGGCCGGUCUACUUCAUCAGUGAAGUACUGUUCGAGACCAAAAUCCGCUACCCGUAAAUUCAGAAGCUACUUGUCGGCGUUUCGAGACAGGGGGGUCCCUAAGCCGACGAGUGAGUGUGCUGCGUGCCCCAGCCCAGAUGGGUCGAGCGCGUGGGCGAGCGCGAAGGGGGGAGAGGCGAGGUGGCCGGAGUCGAGCGUGAGAGAGGUGGAAGUCCCGCGGCCUUCGUGUUCGUCCCGCGCCCAGGUCAGGUGCGCUUGCAGUAGGGGGGUUACAAGCGUCCACGCGGGUGAGGGAAGCGAGCGGCCCCAAGAGAGCGCCUGUCCCGUCCUCGGUCCCGCGCGGCCAACCUUCUCUAAGAAGGCCCUGGUCCUCCCUUUUAUAGUCGUAAGGAGAGGAUCCAGGUGUACAAUGGGGGGUGUAGCAGAGUGCUACGUGUCUAGCGGAGAGAGAGCUAGUGCCCUAGGUACAUGCCAAUGUGGCAGCCGGAGAGAUCUUGGCACCUUGCUGGCGUGAUGUCGUGGCUGUCGGAGGUGCGACGGAGCCUGGCGGAGGGACAGCUGUUGGAGCGGUCAAGUCCCUGCUGACGUCGUCCUGCUUCCGUAAGAGAGCUGGGGACCGCCGUCGUCACAGAGCUGGUGGAGCGCCAUCAUUGCCCAUCCGGCGGAGCUGGCCGGAUGGGAUGCCGGUCUUGUUCUCCGUGACCCGAGUCGAUUUGGGGUAGGAUGAUGAUGGCGCUCCCUGUUGACGUGGCGGGUCUGUGCCCUAGGCAGGGUGACGUGGGGGCUCCUCCGAAGCCGAGGUUGAGUCUGUCUUCCGUUGCCGAGGCCGAGCCCGAGCCAUGGGGUCGGGCGAGGCGGAAGUCGUUCGGCCGAGGCCAGGGCGGAGUCCGAGCCCUGGGGUCGGGCGAGGCGGAGUUUCGUCGUCUUCCGGGUCUUAGCCAGAGUCCGAGCCCUGGGGUCGGGCGGAGCGGAGUUCGCCGUCUUCCGGGUCUUAGCCCGAGUCCGAGCCCUGGGGUCGGGCGGAGCGGAGUUCGCCGUCUUCCGAGUCUUAGCCCGAGUCCGAGCCCUGGGGUCGGGCGGAGCGGAGUUCGCCGUCUUCCGGGUCUUAGCCCGAGUCCGAGCCCUGGGGUCAGGCGGAGCGGAGUUCGCCGUCUUCCGGGUCUUAGCCCGAGUCCGAGCCCUGGGGUCAGGCGGAGCGGAGUUCGUCGUCUUCCGGGUCUUAGCCCGAGUCCGAGCCCUGGGGUCAGGCGGAGCGGAGUUCGCCGUCUUCCGGGUCUUAGCCCGAGUCCGAGCCCUGGGGUCGGGCGGAGCGGAGUUCGCCGUGGCGCCUUUGGCAAGGCCUGACUGCCUGUCAGACUCACUCUGUCGAGCGGCACCGCAGUCGGAGUGGCGCAGGCGGCGCUGUCCUUCUGUCAGACUGGUCAGAGGAGCGGUGGAGUGACGGCGGUCACUUCGGCUCAGCCGGGGGGGCGCGUGUCAGGAUAAAGGUGUCAGGCCACCUUUGCGUUAAAUGCCCCUGCAAUGUGGUCAGUCGGUGUGGCGAUUUAGUCAAGGUUGCUUCUGAGCGAAGCCAAGGCCUUGGGCGAGCCGGUGAUGUGUCCGCCGUAAAAAGGGGGGCCUCGGGCGAGACGGAAGUCUCUCGAGGUCGGCUGCCCUCGGCCGAGGCUAGGCUCGGGUGAAGCGUGAUCGAGUCACUCGUGUGGACUGAUCCCUGACUUAAUCGUACCCAUCAGGCCUUUGCAGCUUUAUGCUGAUGGGGGUUACCAGCUGAGAAUUAGGUGUCUUGAGGGUACCCCUAAUUAUGGUCCCCGACAGUAGCCCCCGAGCCUCGAAGGGAGUGUUAGCACUCGCUUGGAGGCUUUCGUCGCACUUUUUUGCAAGGGGACCAGCCUUUCUCGGUUGCAUUUUGUUCCGGUGGGUGCGCGCGAGCGCACCCGCCGGGUGUAGCCCCCGAGGCCUCGGAGGAGUGGUUACACUCCUUCGAGGUCUUAAUACCUUGCGUAAUGCUUCGGCUGGUCUGGUCGUUCCCUCAUGCGAACUGGCCGUAGCCCGGGUGCACGGUCGGGGCCCAAGCUCUCGGGCUGGUAUGUUGACGCUGUCAACGGGUUGGCCGGAGCCGGUUUUUGCGAGAGCAGCCCCCGAGCCUCUGCACAGGGCGAGAGGACGAUCAGGGAUAGACUCGACUUUUUACAUACGCCCCUACGUCGCCUUUCCGCAAGGAGGGGGGGAGUGCGCCAUGUUACCCUCGAUGGGCACCGAACAUGGUGUCUCCGGUGAGCUGCAAGCGGGUAAUCCGAGUGGACGUCCGUGCCCCGUUCGUUGGGGGUCGGCUAGGGGCCCAGAGGCACGCCCAAAAGUACCUGCGGGUGAUUUGCCGGACCCGGUCCCCUGGCGACGGGGUCCGAGGGCUCAAUGCCUCCCUCCGAUGGGAUUCCGUUACAAGAUCGUUCCCGCGGGUCUCGGAAAUGUCCUAGGGUACCUCGGGAGCGCAGCCCGAGCCUCGGUUAUGUAUCGAACGUACCCCUGGUCAUCCCUCGCUCGGUGUCUGAGGCGACUGUGAACCCUUCGGGGGCCAGCCUUCGAACCCCUGAUCAGUAAUGGGCGCGGAGCCCGAGUAGCCUGAGGCGGCCAUGGAACCCUUCGGGGGGCUGGCCUUCGAACCCCUGACCAGUAGUGGGUGUCGGGCCCACGCGAUCUGAGGCGACUGUUGAACCCUUCGGAGGGCCAGCCUUCGAACCCCUGAUCAGUAGGGGGGGCUCGGAGCCCGGUUCCUUCGCGGAGAAGGAUCCUUUUCGGGGUAUCCCCCUUUCCCGGUCCCUGUUACAAGAGAUAGAGAAAGAGGAAAAAGGAAAAGGAUACGAAACCGAACGACGUGGCGUACCUUUUCUGACGCGGUUAUUACGGUGAAGGUGAAGCGUCGCGCGCUCCUCCCGUCAGAGGCGCCGCCUGUCCCGCCGCGGAGUUAAUGCGACGGGGCGAGUGGUUGGCGGGGCGGCCGUUGCGCGUGCGUGAUCCGUUCGAGGAACGGGUCACGGGGGCACCGUCUUCACGCCGUGAGAGGAGGCUCUCUUGCUGUCCCAGGAUGGGACGUGAGCCUGGCCGACGACGUGACUGCUGCGCCCGCCCGCCUGCCACCGCCAUUACUGCCGGCCCACUUUCGGUCGCUUUGAUCGACGCGCCAGGCUGGCGCUGUUGGGUCGUGCGCUGGGUCGCCUCAAGUCGCGGCAUAGGCUCCACAAUCGAAGAGGCGCGACGGUGGCACAAGUGGCGGUGCGGUUGCUUGCAUGCAGCAACUGGCGCGCCGGUUGCUUGACGCGUGGGCCUGGCCUUCCAAGCUGGCGUGUCAGAAGUCGGAGAAGCGCGUCCACCUGGCGUGGUUGCAUGCCGCCUGCAUGGCUGCCUGCCCCUUCCGCCCGUUGGUCUGGGCAAAAGUGGGGGUCGCUUGUAACUGCUGGACGGUCGUGCGCACCACGCGCGGCGGUUUGGCUUCUUCUGCCCUGAGCCGGUUUGCAUGACAUGCGGGACCCAGCCCCCGAGUCGCAGGGGAGGGCCUCGGAGCGUGUUGGAGAAGACUCAGCCCGCGGCGUCUGGGGGCGCACGUAGGGAGAGUUGUCUUUAAAAGGAGGGAGACUCCUUUCGGAAGGCAACCAUGUCUUCUUCCUCCCUUAUGCGUCAUGUCUUUCCAUCUUCCAAGCCCCCGGAUGGGGGGUAUCCGCCGCCUUUCCGCCUCCUUGUUGGAGGGACGCAACUCCAUGGGAGUUGGUACCUCUCAGCCAUCGUUCGGCUUCAAGGAUUUUCAUCACGCAGCCCGGCCGCACCCCUCCACCGGCGGUCACCCAGGAUGGUGACCUCCGGCUUGAUGGUGGGGGAAACGGGCCAGGCCGCGGCCUCUACUCCUCCCUUGGCCUCAAGGAUUUUCGUCAUCCAGGCCAAGAUGGAAGACGAGGCGAGUCGGGGGGCACGGAGCCGUGUUUUUUCCUCAUUUUCGAGCACUAAGUCUCGCCUGUUGAUUAUCUGAACCGCUUUACCAAGCAUGAGUCGCCCCGUGUCAAGGUGACGAGUGAGGUAUCCGUAUCCCGGAGGCGUAGGAAUCCCUCGGCCCGAUCGGCCUUGUUGUCUGGGGCUCCUCUAGCUUAGUUAAAGAGACCCCUCGGCCGCCCUUCGAUGGGCCGAGGCCAGGGGUAGCGAUAUCAGUAUGAACAGAGGCGGAGUCGGCUCGAGAAUGGGAACCUGGUUGGCCAGAGCCUAGUCGUGUUGUCCGUCAGUGGAGCCGACGCCAAAGUCGAUCAGCCGAGGCCUCGGGUCGGGCCGGCGCCCUUGGAAGCCGGUUGGCCGAGGCCCCAGGGGUAACCGGCCGAGCCGCCUGCUCGGGCCGGAUUCCCGGAGGAGUCCUUGGACCGCGUCGCCGUCCGAGGCUGGGUCGGACUUUGCUGAAGACGUCGUCGAUGCCGAGGGUGCUAUGGCUCCCUUCGGCGUGAAGACCCGAGCCUGCAGGAUCAGAUCGUCUUGUAGCGUGUGCCUUCUGCGGCCGCCGAGGCCGGAAAAAACACACCCUCGUCGCGCUUGCGAAGCUGCGUCUUUUUUCCUCUUGUUUCGAGCAUCUGGACUCUGUCGGUAACAGGGAUGUUUGUGUGAGCGAGAGUUGCUUCUCGCGGAAGGGACGAGUGAGGUAUCUGUAUCCCAGAGGCGUGGGAAUCCCUCGGCUCGGUCGGCCUUGCCGUUUACGCGUACUUUCACCCGUUCAUGAGGCCCUGUUCCCGACUUAGUCGAGAAAGCUUGAAGGACUGCUUCGGCAGGAGAGCUUCCGAACGUGAAGACUUGUUCAGUCCACGGAGUCGCUUUAUCCGAGCGCGAGUUACUUAUCGCAGAAGGUGAUGAGUGAGGUAUCCGUAUCCCGGAGGCAUAGGAGUCCCUCGGCUCGGUCAGCCUUGGCUGCUUACGUGUACUCCGUCGUUUCCAGGAUCCGCUUUCCGAAGUAGUCAAGAAGCAUGAAAGAAAUCCUGCUAAAAAGAGAUCCUUUUUCGAGGAAAAAAUUCGACGCAGAGGGGGUCUCCCCCCUUUUAGCCCUCGAGGGAGGGUCGGGCUUUGCCGAGGCUAGGCCGACCCUUCCUUGACGACUAAACUUUGCGUAGGUGCGAGGUAUAUGAACAACUUGAAAACAUCUUAAGGGUAGAAGCGACGUAGCUGUUUGAUGUUCCAAGCGUUGCCGUAGAUCUCGCCUUGAUUGUUCGCCAGCUUGUAUGUUCCGGGCUUCAGAACUUUGGCGAUGACGAAUGGCCCUUCCCAAGGGGGCGUGAGCUUGUGCCUCCCUCGGGCGUCUUGCCGCAGCCGAAGCACCAGAUCGCCCACCUGGAGGUCUCGGGACCGGACCCCUCGGGCGUGGUAGCGUCGCAGGGACUGCUGGUACCGCGCCGAGUGCAGUAAGGCCCUGUCCCGAGCCUCCUCCAGCUGGUCCAGCGAUUCCUCUCGGCUAGCUUGGUUGCUUUGAUCGGUGUAGGCCCUCGUCCUCGGGGAGCCGUAUUCCAGGUCAGUGGGCAAGAUGGCUUCAGCCCCGUAGACCAGGAAAAACGGCGUGAAACCUGUGGCGCGACUCGGCGUCGUCCUUUGGCUCCAGACCACCGAGGGGAGUUCCUUCAUCCAUCGCUUGCCGAACUUGUUGAGGUCGUUGUAGAUCCGAGGCUUGAGCCCUUGUAGAAUCAUGCCGUUGGCACGCUCUACUUGCCCGUUCGACAUGGGAUGAGCCACGGCGGCCCAGUCCACCCGGAUAUGGUGAUCCUCGCAAAAAUCCAAGAAUUUUUUGCCGGUGAACUGGGUGCCGUUGUCGGUGAUGAUGGAGUUCGGGACCCCGAAGCGAUGGAUGAUGUUGGUGAAGAACGCCACCGCCUGCUCGGACCUGAUGCUGUUCAGAGGUCGGACCUCGAUCCACUUGGAGAAUUUGUCGAUGGCGACCAGCAGGUGCGUGUAGCCCCCUGGCGCCUUCUGCAAGGGACCGACGAGGUCCAGACCCCAUACAGCGAAGGGUCAGGUGAUGGGUAUUGUCUGCAGAGCCUGAGCGGGCAGGUGGGUCCGCUUCGCAUAGAAUUGGCACCCUUCGCAGGUGCGGACAAUUCUAGUGGCGUCAGCCACCGCCGUUGGCCAGUAGAAGCCUUGUCGGAAAGCAUUCCCGACAAGGGCUCGGGGCGCUGCGUGGUGGCCGCAAGCCCCCGAGUGUAUUUCUUGCAGCAAUUCCCGACCUUCGGCGAUGGAGAUGCAUCGCUGGAGGAUGCCCGAGGGGCUGCGAUGGUAGAGCUCCUCUUCAUCGCCCAGCAAGACGAAUGACUUGGCGCGUCGCGCUACCCGCCGAGCCUCGACUUGGUCGAGGGGUAGCUCUCCUCGACGGAGAUAUUGCAGGUACGGGGCCUGCCAAUCCCGAUCUGGCGUGGCCCCGCUCUGCUCUUCCUCGACGUCCAGUGCCUCGCCCUCGGGGGCCGAGGGUACCUCGGGCUGUGCCGAGGGUGCCUCGGGCUGAGCCGAGGGUGCCUCGGGCUGAGCCGAGGGUACCUCGGGCUCGGGCGCGUCGUCGAUCUUGACAGAGGGUUGAUGCAGAUCCCGGGAGAAGACGUCCGGGGGGACCGUCGUUCGCCCAGAGGCUAUUUUAGCCAGCUCAUCUGCGGUUUCGUUGUAGCGCCGAGCGAUGUGGUUGAGCUCGAGCCCGAAGAACUUGUCUUCCAGGCGCCGAACCUCGUCGCAGUAGGCCUCCAUCUUCGGGUCGCGGCAGUGGGAGUUCUUCAUGAGUUGGUCGGUGACGAGCUGCGAAUCACCGCGGGCGUCGAGGCGUCUGACCCCUAGCUCGAUGGCGAUCCGCAACCCGUUGACCAGAGCUUCGUACUCGGCCACAUUGUUGGACGCCGGGAAAUGGAGGCGCAGCACGUAGCGCAAGUGCUUUCCGAGGGGCGAGAUGAAGAGCAGGCCCGCGCCGGCUCCUGUCUUCAUCAGUGACCCGUCGAAAAACAUGGUCCAGAGCUCCGGUUGGAUCGGAGCCGUCGGCAACUGGGUGUCGACCCAUUCGGCCACGAAGUCCGCCAACACCUGGGACUUGAUGGCCUUCCGAGGGGCGAACGAGAUCGUUUCGCCCAUGAUUUCCACCGCCCACUUUGCGAUCCUGCCCGAGGCCUCUCGGCACUGGAUGAUCUCCCCCAAGGGGAAGGAUGACACCACAGUUACCGGAUGAGACUCGAAGUAGUGUCGCAGCUUCCGCCUUGUCAGGAUCACAGCAUACAGCAGCUUUUGAACUUGUGGGUAGCGGAUCUUGGCCUCGGACAGCACUUCGCUGACGAAGUAGACCGGCCUCUGAACGGGCAAUGCAUGCCCUUCCUCUUGCCUCUCGACUACAAUCGCGGCGCUAACCACCUGAGUGGUCGCGGCGACGUAGACCAAGAGGGCUUCUCCAUCCGCCGGGGGCACCAAGACAGGCGCCUUUGUAAGGAGCGCCUUCAGGUUGCCGAGGGCUUCCUCGGCCUCAGGGGUCCAAGCGAAACACUCGGCCUUCCUUAAGAGGCGGUACAGGGGCAGACCUCUUUCGCCGAGGCGUGAGAUGAAGCGGCUCAGGGCCGCGAGGCAUCCCAUGACCCUCUGUACACCUUUUAAGUCCUUGAUGGGUCCCAUGCUGGUGAUGGCCGCGAUCUUCUCCGGGUUGGCUUCAAUGCCUCGCUCGGAGACGAUGAACCCUAGGAGCAUGCCUCGGGGCACCCCGAAGACACACUUCUCAGGAUUGAGCUUGACUCCUUUCGCCUUGAGACAUCGGAAUGUCACUUCAAGGUCGGAGAGGAGGUCGGAAGCCUUCCUUGUCUUGACUACGAUGUCAUCGACGUAGGCCUCGACUGUGCGACCGAUGUGUUUGCCGAACACAUGGUUCAUGCACCGCUGGUACGUCGCGCCCGCAUUCCUCAAACCGAACGGCAUGGUGACAUAGCAGUACAUGCCGAACGGCGUGAUGAAAGAAGUCGCGAGCUAGUCGGACUCUUUCAUCCGGAUCUGGUGAUACCCUGAGUAGGCAUCGAGGAAGGACAGGGUUUCGCACCCAGCGGUGGAAUCCACGAUUUGGUCGAUGCGAGGCAGAGGGUAGGGAACCUUCGGACAUGCUUUGUUGAGACCAGUGUAGUCUACACACAUCCGCCAUUUCCCCCCUUUCUUCCUCACAAGCACAGGGUUGGCAAGCCAUUCGGAAUGGAAUACCUCUUUGAUGAACCCUGCUGCCAUUAGCUUGUGGAUCUCUUCGCCAAUCACUCUACGCUUUUCCUCGUCGAAUCGGCACAGAGGCUGCCUGACAGGUCGGGCUCCGGCCCGAAUAUCCAGCGAGUGCUCGGCGACAUCCCUCGGUAUGCCGGGCAUGUCCGAGGGACUCCACGCAAAGACGUCGGAGUUUGCGCGGAGAAAGUCGACGAGCACUGCUUCCUAUUUGGGGUCGAGCCCGGAACCGAUCCGGACCUGCUUGGAGGUGUCACCGCCGGGGUCGAGAGGGACGGCCUUAACCGUCUCCGCUGGCUCGAAGUUGCUGGCAUGGCGCUUCACGUCUGGCACCUCCUUGGAGAGGUUCUCCAAGUCGGCGAUGAGGGCCUCGGACUCGGCGAGGGCCUCGGCGUACUCCACGCACUCCACGUCGCAUUCGAACGCGUGUUUGUACGUGGGGCCGACGGUGAUGACCCCGUUGGGGCCCGGCAUCUUGAGCUUUAGGUAGGUGUAGUUGGGGACGGCCAUGAACUUCGCGUAGCAUGGCCUCCCUAGUACGGCGUGGUAGGUUCCUCGGAACCCGACCACCUCGAACGUCAGGGUCUCCCUUCGGAAGUUGGAGGGCGUCCCGAAGCAGACGGGGAGGUCGAGUCGCCCGAGGGGCUGGACGCGCUUCCCAGGGAUGAUCCCGUGGAAGGGCGCAGCGCCUGCUCGGACGGAGGACAGAUCGACGCGCAGGAGCUUGAGGGUCUCGGCGUAGAUGAUGUUGAGGCAGCUGCCCCCAUCCAUCAGGACCUUGGUGAGCCUGACAUUGCCGACAACGGGGUCGACGACGAGCGGGUAUUUCCCCGGGCUCGGCACAUGGUCGGGGUGGUCGGCCUGGUCGAAGGUGAUGGGCUUGUCGGACCAGUCUAGGUAGACUGGCGCCGCCACCUUCACCGAGCAGACCUCCCGGCGCUCUUGCUUGCGGUGCCGAGCCGAGGCAUUCGCCGCAUGCCCUCCAUAGAUCAUGAAGCAGUCGCGGACCUCGGGGAACUCUCCUGCUGGGUGAUCUUCGUUCUUGUCGUCGUCGCGGGCCCUGCCACCCUCGGCGGAUGGCCCGGCCCUGUGGAAGUGACGCCGAAGCAUAACGCACUCCUCGAGGGUGUGCUUGACGGGCCCCUGAUGGUAGGGGCACGGCUCCUUGAGCAUCUUGUCGAAGAGGUUCGCACCUCCGGGGGGCUUCCGAGGGUUCUUGUACUCGGCGGCGGCGACAAGGUCCGCGUCAGCGGCGUCACGUUUCGAUUGCGACUUCUUCUUGCCUUUCUUCUUGGCGCCGCGCGGAGCAGACGCCUCGGGAGCCUCUUUCGAUGGGCGGCCCUGGGGCUGCUUGUCCUUUCGGAAGAUAGCCUCAACCGCCUCCUGGCCAGAGGCGAACUUGGUGGCGAUGUCCAUCAGCUCGCUCGCCCUGGUGGGGGUCUUGCGACCCAGCUUGCUCACUAGGUCGCGGCAUGUGGUGCCGGCGAGGAACGCGCCGAUGACAUCCGAGUCGGUGAUGUUGGGCAGCUCGGUGCGCUGCUUCGAGAAUCGCCGGAUGUAGUCCCGGAGCGACUCCCCCGGCAGUUGCCGGCAGCUUCGAAGGUCCCAGGAAUUCCCGGGGCGCACGUAUGUGCCCUGGAAAUUGCCAGCGAAGGCUUGGACCAAGUCGUCCCAGUUGGAGAUCUGCCCCGGAGGCAGGUGCUCCAACCAGGCGCGAGCAGUGUCGGAGAGGAACGGGGGGAGGUUACGGAUGAUGAGGUUGUCGUCGUCCGUGCCACCCAGUUGGCAGGCAAGGCGGUAGUCCGCGAGCCACAGUUCCGGUCUCGUUUCCCCCGAGUACUUCGUGAUAGUAGUCGGGGGUCGGAACCGGGUCGGGAAUGGCGCCCGUCGGAUGGCCCGACUGAAGGCCUGCGGACCGGGUGGUUCGGGCGAGGGACUCCGAUCCUCCCCACUGUCGUAGCGCCCCCCACGCCUGGGGUGGUAGCCUCGGCACACCCUUUCGUCGAGGUGGGCCCGACGGUCGCGCCGAUGGUGCUCGUUGCCGAGGUGGCCCGGGGCCGCAGGCGCGGUGUUGCGCGUGCGCCCGGUGUAGACCGAGGCUUCCCGCAUGAAUCGGGAAGUCGCGGCAUGAGGUUCCGAGGGAUAUCCUUGCCUUCGGGAGGCAGUGCUCUCGGCCCGUCGGGCCGCAGCGCCUUCCAGGAGAUUCUUGAGCUCUCCCUGGAUUCGCCGACCCUCGGUGGUUGAUGGCUCCGGCAUCGCGCGGAGGAGCAUCGCUGCGGCUGCCAGGUUCUGACCAACCCCGCUGGAUGCGGGCGGCGGCCUGACCCUGGCAUCAUUGGCGACGUGGUGCUGGAGACCUUGGGGCAGGUGACGUAUUUCUCCGGCCAGGGGUUGGCCCGCCCAUACCUGCCCGACGUCCCGACGGUCCGGCUCAAGCGCUCCUGUUCCCUCGUUGAGCCUGGCCUGCGCCUCGCGGACUUGCUCGAGUUGUGGGUCGUAACCCCCCGCCGGAGCGGGGACCACAGCUAGCUCCCGUGGGAUGUCGGCGCGAGGCACCGGCCUAGGAAGAUCACCGUCCUCCGGCAUGCCGAGAUGGUUGCCUUUGGAGGGAUCCCCUAGCUCGAUGUGGAAACAUUCGCGGCUUGGGCCGCAGCUCUCGUCGCCAAGGCUGUGGCUUCCGUCGGAACAGUCGGAUAGGCAGUAGUCACAUGUGGUCAUGAAGUCCCGCAUGGCACUGGGGUUGCCAAGUCUGGAGAAAUCCCAACAGAUGCUGGGAUCGUCAUCUUCCUCGGACCCAGAGGGCCCGUAGGUCGAGACGUCCGUCAGCCGGUCCCAAGGCGACCGCAUACGAAACCCCAGUGGGGUUGCACUCGCCUCAAUGAGAGCGCCCGCCAAAACGAGGUCGUUUGGCGGGUUGAGGCCGAGUCGAAAUGACGCAAGAUGGGAGUUAGUCGGUACCUUUUGGUCGACGAGGAGCGACGUAGUCACAUCGGGGACUGGUUGCACCGUCGUCUCAGGUACAAGGGCGACGUCCUGCAGGCUUUCCGCGAGCGCGCUGGCGUCGUCUUCUUGUUCGGGGUCAGCGUGUCGCGGGGGGACGGCGCUUGCCUCCGUCUUGAACGCGAGGUCGACGUCCGGCGUGCCUUCCGUCGGGGCGUCGGGGGCGUCGAUUCGCUCGACGGCCAACGAAGCGCGGCCUCCCGCCUGGCCUUGAUGGCCCCGCCUCCUCCUCCAUUGGCGGGGGAGAGGACGGUGCGAGCCCGAAUGUUGCUCUUCCACCACGCGGGGAAGAUGUCGUCGAUUCCGCCGCCGGCGGGCGGGUUGUCGGCCGCCAUUGUCGUCGUCGCGCGGCGGUGGAAGAAGUAUCAUGUCGUAGCUGCCGUCGAAGGACAUGAACUCAAGAGUCCCGAAACGAAGCACCGUCCCGGGCCGGAGAUGUUGCUGGAGACUGCCCAUCUGGAGCUUGACGGGGAGCUGUUCGUCAGCACGCAGCGUGCCCCUACCUGGCGCGCCAACUGUCGGCGUUUCGAGACAGGGGGGUCCCUAAGCCGACGAGUGAGUGUGCUGCGUGCCCCAGCCCAGAUGGGUCGAGCGCGUGGGCGAGCGCGGAGAGGCGAGGUGGCUGGAGUCGAGCGUGAGAGAGGUGGAAGUCCCGCGGCCUUCGUGUUCGUCCCGCGCCCAGGUCAGGUGCGCUUGCAGUAGGGGGGUUACAAGCGUCCACGCGGGUGAGGGAAGCGAGCGGCCCCAAGAGAGCGCCUGUCCCGUCCUCGGUCCCGCGCGGCCAACCUUCUCUAAGAAGGCCCUGGUCCUCCCUUUUAUAGUCGUAAGGAGAGGAUCCAGGUGUACAAUGGGGGGUGUAGCAGAGUGCUACGUGUCUAGCGGAGAGAGAGCUAGUGCCCUAGGUACAUGCCAAUGUGGCAGCCGGAGAGAUCUUGGCACCUUGCUGGCGUGAUGUCGUGGCUGUCGGAGGUGCGACGGAGCCUGGCGGAGGGACAGCUGUUGGAGCGGUCAAGUCCCUGCUGACGUCGUCCUGCUUCCGUAAGAGAGCUGGGGGCCGCCGUCGUCACAGAGCUGGUGGAGCGCCAUCAUUGCCCAUCCGGCGGAGCUGGCCGGAUGGGAUGCCGGUCUUGUUCUCCGUGACCCGAGUCGAUUUGGGGUAGGAUGAUGAUGGCGCUCCCUGUUGACGUGGCGGGUCUGUGCCCUAGGCAGGGUGACGUGGGGGCUCCUCCGAAGCCGAGGUUGAGUCUGUCUUCCGUUGCCGAGGCCGAGCCCGAGCCAUGGGGUCGGGCGAGGCGGAAGUCGUUCGGCCGAGGCCAGGGCAGAGUCCGAGCCCUGGGGUCGGGCGAGGCGGAGUUUCGUCGUCUUCCGGGUCUUAGCCAGAGUCCGAGCCCUGGGGUCGGGCGGAGCGGAGUUCGCCGUCUUCCGGGUCUUAGCCCGAGUCCGAGCCCUGGGGUCGGGCGGAGCGGAGUUCGCCGUCUUCCGGGUCUUAGCCCGAGUCCGAGCCCUGGGGUCGGGCGGAGCGGAGUUCGCCGUCUUCCGGGUCUUAGCCCGAGUCCGAGCCCUGGGGUCGGGCGGAGCGGAGUUCGCCGUCUUCCGGGUCUUAGCCCGAGUCCGAGCCCUGGGGUCGGGCGGAGCGGAGUUCGCUGUGGCGCCUUUGGCAAGGCCUGACUGCCUGUCAGACUCACUCUGUCGAGCGGCACCGCAGUCGGAGUGGCGCAGGCGGCGCUGUCCUUCUGUCAGACUGGUCAGAGGAGCGGUGGAGUGACGGCGGUCACUUCGGCUCUGCCGGGGGGGCGCGUGUCAGGAUAAAGGUGUCAGGCCACCUUUGCGUUAAAUGCCCCUGCAAUGUGGUCAGUCGGUGUGGCGAUUUAGUCAAGGUUGCUUCUGAGCGAAGCCAAGGCCUUGGGCGAGCCGGUGAUGUGUCCGCCGUAAAAAGGGGGGCCUCGGGCGAGACGGAAGUCUCUCGAGGUCGGCUGCCCUCGGCCGAGGCUAGGCUCGGGUGAAGCGUGAUCGAGUCACUCGUGUGGACUGAUCCCUGACUUAAUCGUACCCAUCAGGCCUUUGCAGCUUUAUGCUGAUGGGGGUUACCAGCUGAGAAUUAGGCGUCUUGAGGGUACCCCUAAUUAUGGUCCCCGACACUACUGUACGCAGUAAUUCUGACGCAACAAAAGUUGUGACACUACUUCGAGUCUCAUCCGGUGACUGUGGUGUCAUCCUUCCCCCUGGGGGAGAUCAUCCAGUGCCGAGAGGCCUCGGGUAGGAUUGCAAAAUGGGCGGUGGAGAUCAUGGGCGAGACAAUCUCGUUCGCUCCUCGGAAGGCCAUCAAGUCCCAAGUCUUGGUGGACUUUGUGGCUGAAUGGGUCGACACCCAACUUCCAGCAGCUCCGAUCCAACCGGAACUCUGGACCAUGUAUUUCGAAGGGUCGCUGAUGAAAACAGGAGCGGGUGCGGGCCUGCUCUUCAUCUCACCCCUCGGGAAGCACCUCCGCUAUGUGUUGCGCCUCCAUUUCCCGGCGCCAAACAACGUGGCCGAGUACGAGGCUCUGGUUAACGGGUUGCGUAUCGCCAUCGAGCUAGGGGUUCGGCGCCUCGAUGCUCAUGGCAACUCGCAGCUUGUCAUCGAUCAAGUCAUGAAGAACUCCCACUGCCACGGCCCGAAGAUGGAGGCCUACUGCGACGAGGUUCGGUGCCUGGAAGACAAGUUCUACGGGCUCGAGCUCAACCACAUCGCUCGAUGGUACAACGAGACUGCGGAUGAGCUGGCUAAAAUAGCCUCGUGGCGGACAACGGUUCCCCCGGACGUCUUCUCCCGAGACCUACAUCAACCCUCCGUCAAGACCGACGACAGCUCGAGCCUAAGGAGGCCUCGACCCAGCCAGAGGCACCCUCGGUCGCCAAGGGUGAGGCACUGCGUGUCGGGGAAGAGCGGAAUGGGGUCAUGCCUAAUCGAAACUGGCAGACCCCGUACCUGCAAUAUCUCCACCGAGGAGAGCUACCCCUCGACAGAGCCGAGGCUCGGCGACUGGCGCGGCGCGCCAAGUCAUUCGUCUUACUGGGUGACGAAAAGGAGCUCUACCACCGCAGCCCCACUGGCAUUCUCCAACGAUGCAUAUCCAUCGCCGAAGGUCAGGAGCUAUUGCAAGAAAUACACUCGGGGGCUUGCGGUCACCACGCAGCACCUCGAGCCCUCGUUGGAAACGCCUUCCGACAAGGUUUCUACUGGCCAACUGCAGUGGUUGACGCCACCAGGAUUGUACGCACCUGCCAAGGGUGUCAAUUCUACGCAAGGCAGACACACCUGCCCGCUCAGGCCCUACAGACAAUACCCAUCACCUGGCCGUUUGCUGUGUGGGGUCCGGACCUCGUCGGUCCCUUGCAGAAGGCACCCGGGGGCUUCACGCACCUGCUGGUCGCUAUCGACAAAUUCUCCAAGUGGAUCGAGGUCCGACCCCUAAACAGCAUCAGGUCCGAGCAGGCGGUGGCGUUCUUCACCAACAUCAUCCAUCGUUUGGGGUCCCGAACUCCAUCAUCACCGACAACGGCACCUAGUUCACUGGCAAGAAGUUCCUGGACUUCUGCGAGGACCACCACAUCCGUGUGGACUGGGCCGCCAUAGCUCACCCCAUGACGAAUGGGCAGGUAGAGCGUGCCAACGGCAUGACUCUGCAAGGACUAAAGUCGAGGAUGCACAACGACCUCAACAAGUUCGGCAAGCGAUGGAUGAAGGAACUACCCUCGGUGGUCUGGAGUCUGAGGACGACGCCAAGCCGAGCCACGGGCUUCUCGUCGUUCUUUCUAGUUUAUGGGGCCGAGGUAUCUUGCCCACAGACUUAGAAUACGGUUCCCCGAGGACGAGGGUGUAUGACGACCGAAGCAACCAUACCAGCCGAGAAGACUCGCUGGACCAGCUGGAAGAGGUUCGGGACAUGGCCUUACUACACUCGGCACGGUAUCAGCAGUCUCUAUGACGCUACCACGCCCGAGGGGUUCGGUCCCGAGACCUCCAGGUGGGGGACUUGGUACUUUGGAUACGACAAGACGCCCAAGGGCGCCACAAGCUCACUCCUCCCUGGGAAGGGCCGUUCAUCAUCGCCAAGAUUUUGAAGCUCGGAACAUACAAGCUAGCCAACAGUCAAGGAGAGGUCUACAACAACGCUUGGAACAUCCGACAGCUACGUCGCUUUUACCCUUAAGAUGUUUUCAAGUCGUUCAUAUACCUCGUUCUCUUUACAUACACAAAUAGAGUCUAACCGUCAAGGAAGGGUCAGCCUUGCCACGGCAAAGCCCGACCCUCCCUCGGGGGCUAGAAGGGGGGAACCCCCUCUGCGUCAAAAUUUUCCUCGAAAACUUUUCCGCCAAAACGACUUUUGUGUUUCCCGACUAUAUCAGUAACAGAGCCCCGCGAAACAAAUAAGAGCGCAUGUAAGCGGCAAGGCCAACCGAGCCGAGGGACUCCUACGCCUCCGGGACACGGAUACCUCACUCAUCACCUUCCGCGAAAAAUAACUCUUACUCAGAUAAGCGAUUCUACUACUGACGAAGAAGUCCGGAUACUCGAAAUAGGAGGAAAAUAAACGUAGCUUUAUAACACGACGACAAAAUGUUCAGGCCUCAGCGGCCGCGAAAGACACAUGCAUGUUCAAAACAAAUUGCUCCGGUAGAAUCAGACAUCGCCCGGGGGAGGAGCAGCACCCUCGGCUUCGUCUCCACCCUCGGCGUCGUCUCCACCCUCGGCGAGAUCCGCCCCGGCCUUGGACAGCGACGCAAGCAGAAGGAUCUCCACCUCGAAGGAGGACGCCAACACCGCGCUUGGGCACGCGACGGCCGUGUCAAGCCUCUGUACUUCAGCCAGGGCAGCUUCAUCUUCGUCGGGAAGACAGUACCCCUCGCUGACUCGCUCCAGAUACACAUCGUAGUGGGAAGCGAGCACAGCAAAGGCACGCCUAACGCCGUGAUGCAGCGCCUCGCGGAGUCUGCCGCGCACAUGGCCGCCCAAGGCCUGCAGGCGACUCUGGGGGGAGCUUCCCGAGGGGACGUCGUCAAGACCAAAGACCUGGUAGAAGGCCGAGAUAGCUUUGGACAUGGCCAUGUGGUCGGCCUCCUUCUGCUCAGCCGCCUGGGCAAGUGCCUUGGCGGACUCGUUGAGGGCUGACUCGAACUCUGCAAACAGCCAAAAUAGAAUUCUUCAGACACGAGUUGAUGAAUGAAGCUGAAUCAAAGUCUCAAAGCGGCCAAGACAUACCUUCAGCGUGGGCACGCUGCUCCGAGGCUGCGGCUUGGGCGAACUGGGCAGACCCGACGGCCACGGCCAGGUCCUCCGCAAGGGCUCUGGCCCGAGCAGACACCUCGGCUAGCUGGCCCCCAAGGGCCUCAGCCCGACUUUCAGCCUCGGUAGCCUGGUUCCGAGAUUGGUCCCGCUCACCGAUGACCUGGCCAAGCUCCAACUGCCGCCACUGCGCCUCUGCGCGUGCCGCCGCUGCCUACACCCCCAGCUCAUCACAGAGCAACCGAAGGUCCGCCGCCUCGGCGCUCCAUUGGGAGAGGCGCUCGGUAGCCUCGGCAAG